RNAcentral lists this long non-coding RNA (116838 nucleotides) under Ananas comosus (pineapple). RNAcentral describes it as "long non-coding RNA (ACOM_LNC024337)". The stretch from base 83857 to 84173 matches the Rfam family "Bacterial large subunit ribosomal RNA", at positions 1705 to 2024 of the family's 2925-position model. The record is from RNAcentral. Lineage: Eukaryota; Viridiplantae; Streptophyta; Magnoliopsida; Poales; Bromeliaceae.
GAACUCCGCCAUCGGUAAAUAGUCGUGCCAUCCGCCUUUGUAAUCAAGUACACACGCUCGAAGCAUGUCCUUGAGGAUUUGUAUCGUCCUCUCUGAUUGGCCAUCACUCUGAGGAUGAAAUAUCGUGCUAAAAUCGAGCCGUGUGCCUAGAGCGUCCUGUAAGCUCUUCCAAAAAUGAGAAGUGAACCUGGGAUCUCGAUCUGAUACUAUGGAAGUAGGUACCCCGUGUAAUCGCACAAUCUCAUCCAAAUAAACCUGUGCGAGUCUCUCACCAGUCCAAGUAGUGUGGAUAGGUAUGAAAUGUGCCGAUUUCGUCAACCUAUCCACAAUCACCCAAAUUGCGUCAUGCCCGGCUUGAGAUCAAGGCAAACCGGUCACAAAAUCCAUUGCGACAUCUUUCCACUUCCAAACGAGUAUAGACAAGCUUUGCAACUUUUCCGCCGAAAAUCGACGUUCCGCUUUCACUUAUUGGCACAUUAAACAUUGCGCCACAAACUCUCUAAUAUCCCUCUUCAUCCCCGGCCACCAAUAAUGCACUUUUAAGUCUUUGUACAUCUUAGUGCCGCCCGGGUGUAUGCUAUAGGGAGAUUGAUGCGCUUCUACUAUGAUCGCCUUCCGAAUAUCCUCAUUUUUGGGUACACACCAACGAUUUCGGAAUCGAAGUGCGCCAUCGGUUCCAAUGCCGAAACCACCGACACGUCCACUUUCAACUUCACCCUGCACCUUUUGGAGAUAAGGAUCGGAAGCUUGCUGCUCUUUAAUUCUCUCCAACAAGGUCGGUUGAACUACCAACACGGCAAAAAUAGCCGGCACCUCAGGAGCUACUACCUCAAGACCAAACCGUUGCAUCUCUUUUUGUAAUGACGGUUGGGGUGCAAUUGUCGUAGCCAAAUUUUCCACCGACUUUCUACUUAGUGCAUCGGCCACAACAUUGGCUUUUUUCGGGUAGUAUAAAAUAGUGACAUCAUAGUCCUUUAGCAACUCUAACCACCGCCGCUGUCGCAUAUUCAAUUCCUUUUGGGUGAACAAGUAUUUGAGACUCUUAUAAUCUAUGUAAAUCUCACAAUGCUCACCGUACAGAUAAUGCCUCCAUAAUUUCAGCGCGAAUAUCACCGCAGCUAGCUCAAGGUCAUGUAUCGGAUAGUUCUUCUCAUAACUGUUCAACUGAUGAGAAGCAUGAGCAAUCACUCGCCCAUUCUGCAUCAAAACACACCUGAGACCACUAUACGAAGCAUCACUGUACACCACGAAGCUUUACCCCGGAGUCGGUAAAGCAAGUACCGGGGUCGAAGUUAACCUUUCUUUCAACUCAUUGAAGCUUCGAUCACAAUCGUCGCUCCACACAUACGUUACUCCUUUGUGCGUAAGGCGCAUCAAUAGAAUAGUUAUCUUAGCAAACCCCUCCACGAACCGCCGAUAGUACCCCGCAAAACCAAGAAAACUGCGGAUCUCCGUAACACUCGUCGGGCGAGGCCAAUCCCUAAUUGCCUCAACUUUCUUCGGAUCCACCGAGACACCGCUCCCGGAUAUCACGUGGCCUAAUAAGGUAACCUUCGAAAGCCAAAAGUCGCACUUUUUCAGCUUGGCAUAAAGCUUCUCUUUUCGAAGUAUUUGCAUCACUGUUCUCAAGUGCUCCUCGUGCUCCUCUUCACUCCGCGAAUAAACCAACACGUCGUCAAUGAACACCACGACGCAUUAGUCCAACAACGGCCUGAAGACUCGAUUCAUCAGGUCCAUAUAUGCUGUAGGGGCAUUAGUAAGUCCGAAUGGCAUCACCGUGAACUCAUAGUGGCAAUAUAGCGUACGAUACACCGUCUUGUGCACAUCCUUCGGCCUGAUCUUCAGCUAGUGAUACCCUGACUGGAGAUCAAUUUUCGAAUAUACCCGCGACCUUUGCAACUGAUCGAACAAAUCAUCAAUUCUAGGCAAUGGGUAUUUAUUCUUGAUUGUCACCUUGUUCAACUCGCGAUAGUCCACACAGAGUCGAAGUGUUCCAUCCUUCUUCUUCACGAAUAGCACCUGAGCUCCCCACGGUGACAUACUCGGCUUCACAAAGCCUUUAUCGAGUAAGUCUUGCAAUUGAGCUUUCAACUCUACUAACUCUGCCGGUGCCAUUCGAUACGAAGCCUUCGAAAUUGGCGCCGCUCCGAGAAUAAAGUCAAUGACGCACUCGAUCUCCCGGUUAGGUGGCAAUCCCGAUAACUCCGCCGAAAACACAUCCAGAAACUCACAUGCCACAUGAAUAUCUACAAGCAUCGGGGGCUCCUUUUGGGUCUCCACCAUUGUCGCCAAAUAGGUCACACAUCCACCUUUAAUCAUCUUCCUCGCCCUCGACGCCGAUACAGUCGCCGCAAAGUGCGAGCUUUUACACGCACGAUACACCACCUCCUCUCGGUUAGGCUCAUGAAAAGUGAUCACCUUGCUCUCGCAGUCAAUAACGGCAUAAUACUUCGAGAGUGAAUCAAUUCCAAGGAAAACAUUGUAGCCCUACAUCUGGUUCAACACAAGAAAAUCCGCCGGCAUAAUCCAAUCGCCAAUCUGCACUGGACAAGCCGCGCAUUCUUCCUUGACACUAAAAGUAUGCUCUGGUGCAUAAACCCACCAAUAAUCUAGACUAUCCAACACUUCUAUACCAUGAGUUCUAGCGAACAAUGCGCCAAUGAAUGAAUGGGAUGCAUGAGUAUCAAACAAUGCUCUAGCUCUAGUGCCAUUAAUUAAAAUAAUACCUGCCACGACAUCAUCUAGUACAGCAGGCUCCUCCACCUGAGCGGUAAAAACCCGGCCACUCGGUGCUGCUCGCGAUCCCUCCGGUUGACGCGGCACAGAUGAGCAUCUAGUCGACAUAGCGGGUUGCAGUCCCGCGGACUGUCUCGGGGUAGACAGGACUGAUGCAGCCGUUGGGGCAGACGAUGUCCAACUCGGGCACUCCCGGAUGACAUGUCCAACUUGACCGCACUUGAAACACUUUCCAUCACGUUGUGGGCAAGCCGGCGGUCGAUGAUCACCGCCGUAGAUAACACACCGGGUAGGCCUCCAGUUCUUUGACUGCUGCCGUGGGUACCGAGGAGGCUUCUUAGCAUUCGGCCGACCCCGGCACCACCCGCAGCUCGCUUCUUACCCUUGUCCCUGUCCUUGUCCAUAGACUCGCGCUCCCCGCGCGCAUAGGCACUACCGUACUCCGCCCACAAUGCCCGAUCCAAAACCUCCACAAAGGUUGUAAGCUUAAAGAUCUGCACCUUCUCAUAAAUCCUUGGUUGAAGUUCUCGCAAGAACCAAUCGGCACGAUCCUUGUCAUCCCGAACAAUAUCUGGGACACAGUCGAUAAUGUGGGAGAACUCUCGCUCGUACUCUCCCACCGAGCGAUCACCCUGUCUUAGCUUUCGGAACUUAUCCUGUAACUUCCGCUUCUCACUAUCGGGGCAGUAAUUUGCAAACAUCAACCCUCGAAACUCCUCCCAAACCAUAAACAGAAGGUCGGAAGAUCGAUCACGCUUCACCCGUUUCCACCAUACUUUCGCCGCCUUCUCUAAACAAUGAGUGGCGAGGUGCACUUUAUCCUUCUCCAAGAUAUAAAUAUCCUCGAAGAGUGUCUCCAUCGAGUCGAUCCCCGACCCAACCAUCCAUGGCUCCACUUUCUCCCCGUCAAACACUGGCGGGUUGAACUUCUUGAACAUUGCGAGAGCCACCAACGCACGCUCCCGCUCCCCCUCUAUAGCCGCACCAUCGGGAUUUGAGGUUCCCGAACUGGCCGCCACCGCCGUGACUAGUAUAGCUACCGCAGCCACUCGCUCAGCCGCACUUGGUAUCACGAAAGGAGGCGCAGGUUGCUCGACACCCACAUGAGCUGUCGCCGCCUGCUGCUGCGCUAAGGCCUCUUGGGGCCUUUGAAUUUGCUCCCCUUGGCGUUGCACCGAUUCCACUUGCCGCUGCACCACUCCUAUGAGAACGGACACCUGCUCCCGGAGCUCCCCGUCGCCGCUCGCUCCGGAUUGCUCGAGAGCCGAACUCGGUUCCUUGGGCAUCGACCUUGUUCGAGGUCUACCACGAGCCAUCGCUUCCUGAAACGUAGCAAUUCACACUAGCUACUCGACCAACAUACUCAAACAAACCAAAUCCAGCGAAAGCAAACAAGUGUAGCCAUUCUUAUUCCAAGGCAUUAUGUCGUCGGCCGCCCAAGACAACACUUGGAGUAGAGAACAAAUAUCAACUUGGAUUAACCCCUAAUAAUAUUAGAGACAUACUAACAUCACCCAAUCCAUAAGGUUUUCGCAACAAAUUGAUUCCACGUCACUCACGUCCCUAAGAGCUCCUAAGGUUUCCAUCCUAAGGUGUAGCACACUGGACCUUUGCAAAUUGCAAGGUUCAAGUGUUUGAUAUAUGAUCUGAGUUUUUUCAGAUAUUCUGGAGGGUCGUUGACAGUGUUUCGACCUAUGGCUCGUAUCCCGAGAAUUGUGGUAUUUAUAGUAGUGCUUAGGUCGCCGAAGUGGAGGACUUAGGUUGCUCUCGGGUUGCCUCAGUAGGGCUGUGUACCGAUACAACAUUGAAGUUGUACCAGAACAAGUGGUUGUGCCGGUACAGCAUCGGAAGUGUACCGAUACACUUGGCUGUUUUCUGCGAACCCGAGCCUCGGGUUUGCGCGUACAGGGUUUUGUACCGGUACACUUUUCCGUGUACCGGUACCAAUGCAGUCCGCAGACUGCUUGUUCUGGGAGGGUGUUUUUGCAAUUGUUGCUUAUCUAUAAAGCACCCCACGCCCCUUUGGAGUUCCCUGAGCUUGAGACCAGACGAGGAGAAGGUAGGGAGGCCAUCUAAACCCUCUCUUUGAUUUUUCUUCUUGCCAUCUAAACCCUCUCUUUGAUUUUUCUUCUUUUGUUGGGACUUUUGAUGAUUUAUUCCCUCUUUUUUCUUCUUGGUGUGAAUUUCACCAUGGAAGGAGCUUGGAGCUUGGUUUUGGAGCUAGUUGGAGGAGAGGUGUCACGCCCCGGGACCCAGCGGAAGCCCGCCCGGUGCGUGCCCAGACCCGCCAUAUGUCUACAACAUAUAAGGCGUCUAAAAACAACAAUAAUAAAAGCAAUAAUACAAGACAUCUAGAAGUAUCAGAGCAUAGUAAAUGUCUAAUUGCUACAACAAGGGAUAAAGUUAAAACUGUAAUUCCACUAAAUAAAACAUAAAGUAAGUACAAUAGGGAUCCCAUAACGAGUGCUAAAAGUAGGUACACAGGUGGUCUUUCUAUACAUGGAAACCAAAAGCCUCACGCUCUCNAAUCCACAAGGUAUACGAGUGAAAUAAAGAGAGUACUUUACUAACUAUUAUAAUAGUUGCAUUCUUUACAUUUGAUCUUCAAAAUACAUAGCUCUCCAACCUCGCCUACAUGAGUCUCUCUCAAUACAUACGGGUGCUAAUGCAAAAAGGAAAGCUACUAUACUACCACAGCCUCACUGAUCGGGCGCGAUGCCUUUGCCGCGGUCCUCCCUCGACAAUCCUGAACCUACCACUGGAAAUAGAGUGGGGUGAGAACUAUCUUCCAUAGUUCCCAGUGGGCUCGGCCGCCGACUCUACCGAUCUCCCCACUAGGUCCAAGUGGGCACAAGUAACAACAGAUAGAUAGAUAGAUAUGUAUCUGAAAGCUGUAAAUGCAGUAGUAGGAAAAACUAUGCUACUAUGCCCAUAAUCAUGAAUAUGAAUGCAUGCAUCAUAUAAAUAAGGUUUGCUACCAUGCUAACAAAUUCGAUCCAUGUUCGAAUAGUAAUGUUCAAUGACAUUAAUAAACCUUUCCAUUUACUCAAUCUGUAGCGAGGCCCUAGGGCUCGCCUAUGACUCACCAUUUAAUACCAAAGUGGGGAGGGAGCUCCAAGUGCACCCAGGCCCGGGACCGUCUGCGGACCUCUAUGUGGUCCGGACCUCCAAGUGGUCCUAGUCGCGCGACACUCCGGAGUACUCGAUGACAAUCCCCUCCAUGUGGGGAUUGGAUGGUUAUACCAUCCCAAACGCAGACUGUGAACUAGAUCUAUCCUCUCCAAGUGAGGAUACCCUACAACUAGGGUCAACAACCCAAUCCAAUCCUCUCCAAGUGAGGAUGCCCUCCAACUAGGGUCAACAACCCAAUCCAAUCCUCUCCAAGUGAGGAUGCCCUGCAACUAGGGUCAACGACUAUCGCGGAAUCAUCAGUUCCCGACAUUCAUGCAAUGCUAUUUAGCUUUCUAAAUUCAUUGUUCACAAGGCAUUUUCUAAGGGAUCCACCUAUCCCUAGGUCCAUCGACCUCUAGUGUUAUUUACACUACAUUAAUGCCACUCAUUAUCAUUCAAUAUUUGGAUGCCACUCGUUUGUUCUUUAACAAUAACACUACUCUCUAUGUCAUCAAUUCCCCCAUCGUGUUCAUCUCUUUUCUUUCGUACCAUAGGAUUCACGUCUCGACCCAAUCCUCACCUAUCUAAAUUACCAAGCGUUCCAAGUACACUAGGUUAUCAAUUAGAAAGCAUAAGGAAUGGAACUACUAUGGAAUCCUACAAUGCACAUGAAGAGAUGAGAUUAAAUGCAAUCUAAGACAUAGAAAGGAGUUCGAAAGUUUCGGAUGACACCCCACACCUUUAAUCGAUGUAGAGGCUUGGAAAAUCCUUCUCGGCGAGCUCUAUGAAAAGGCUUUAGCCUUCCUCGCCCGAAUCGACACUAGCUCGGCCCGAUUUUGCCGAGAACUUCACGUCGGUUCGCCGAAUGCCAAAAGCGACUUCGCCCCCGCAUUUUGGGACCUAUCAAUAGGGUUUCCAAGGCUUCAAAUGAGAUAAAUCUCAUACUUUUACAAAAACCCCAUUUUGGAGCCCUAGGUUUGCACCUAUAGCAAACCACCCAAUAAAUCCCUAGAUUCUUGGGAUUGAUCUAUUUAGAAGCUUGCAUAGGAUCCAUUUGACCCAUUCCAAGGCAUAAAAUCCAAAAACCCUAAGUUUACAAAGCUACGGUUUAGUAGCUUACCUCUAGAGCUACACCAAUGGGAAGAGGAGAGGGAGAUGGGGGUGCUCAAAGCCUUCCUCUUGAUCUCCUUCUUCUUCUCCUUCCUUAUCUUCCUCUUCUUUUCCUUCCUCUCCUUCUUGUUCUUCUUCUCCUUCUUUCCUUUCUAGAGAGAGAGAGAGCAAGAAAGAAAUGAGAGUGAGAGAGAGUGAAAUGAGAGAGUGUGAGGGAGAGAGAGGGCUCAGCCCACUCAAAUAAAGGCCAUUUUGCAUAAAAGCCCCUCAACUUUCACCCUGCUGCACUGCCCUCACUGCAGUUUAUCGCGCGAAGUCGGACGGUCUCCCUGACCUGAGACCGAUCCCCGAGAGCUUCGCCUCGGGCACACGGUGUUCAGGGAACCGAGUCUCUCCCCGUGGAGACUGCGUCCUCGGGAGACGGUCUUCGACCUGAGAGACCGGUUCCCCGAGAGCUCGAUUUUUCAGGAUUAUCAAUUUUUGGCAUUCUGCGCUGGACCCGUUCGAACGGGUCCCUCCCUGCAGGGACCGGUUGGCCAUCAGCAACCCCGCGUCACCCGCUAGUGCGGGAACCCGGUCUCUACCUCACGAGACCGGUCCCCGAGAGUAAUUCUUAGACGCAAUAGAGGCAGUUUGUCUUUGCUCGCGACCUCAACUCCAAAGCCACUUUUGUGUUUGGGAUCAUUCUCAACUCCCACAGAGGUAUACGUUUCGACAUUAGUCAAGUCUGCGAUGAAGUACAAUCCUCGUAUUUCGAGGAAUUCUACUUCCCUUUAAUUUGACCUAUGGCUCGUAUCCGGAGAAUUUCGGUAUUGUAGGUAGUGCUAAGGUCGCGUAAGUGGAGCACUUAGGUUGCUCUCGGUUGCUCAGCAGCGGCUAGUACCGAUACAACAUUGAAGUUAUCCGGAACAAGUGGUUACCGAUACAGAUCGGAAGUGUCCGAUGACCUUGGAUGUUUUCUGCGAACCGAGCUCGGGUUUGCCCGUUUAAGGGUUUGCACGGUACACUUUUCCGAUUACGGUUACCAAUGCAGUCACGGACUGCUUUGUUCUGGAGGGUUGUUUUGCAAUUGUUGCUUUAUCUAUAAAGCACCCAACGCCCCUUUGGAGUUCCCUGAGCUAGAGACAGGGAGGAGAAGGUAGGGAGGCUCUAAACCCCUCUUUGUUUUACCUUUUUUGUUGGAAUUUUUUAUGAUUUAUUCCCUCUUUUAUGCUUCGGGGUGUGGAUUUCACCAUGGAAGGAGCUUAGAGCUUGCCGUUUUGGAGCUAAGUCUGGAGGAGAGGUCUUCAACCCUAGCUCAUCCCAAGCCUUGUUUGGAGUUUCUCUUGAGGUUAGUUGCUUGUUUCCCCUCUCUAGAUCAUAAUUUUCAUGAUUUUUGUAUAGAAACCCUAGAAAUGGAAAACUUAGGGUUUAUUUCGGGGUUUUGGAUUUAAGGCUUUUGAAGCUUGAUUUCUUGUAUUAGAGCCUUCCUCUAGGUGGGAUUGGAAGGGUUCUAGCUCCCAUUUGGAGCUUGUGAGGGGAUUUCUACUCUAUAGGUGAGUUUUGGCCCUUUCGUUAAGUUGGUUAAUGUUUAACCUAUUCGUUAUUCGUAACGUUCGUGUAACACUCCUAGUUUAACCUUUAGGGAGCUAGGAGGCUUGUGGGCACCUUCGUCGCCGCAAACGAAGGGUUGCGAGGAGACUUGUUGGGUUUGGCCUCACCAAAACGGGAUAAAUCAUCGCUAUAAUGGUUUUUACUUAUCGUAAAAUGAAGAUACAUGCAUAUUCAUGCAAGAUAGAUUAUUUGUGAACUUUAGAAUGCUUAAAAUGCACAUGUUAUGUAUAAUGUAUUUUUGGACCUCUAUGUAGUAGAAGUUUGCAUGUUGGGCUUGAGCCUAUGGAUAGCGCUCCUAUGUGUGAAUUUGGAUCAUGUUUCAUAUAGUGAAAAUGACAAGUGCAUUGCAUUCUUGGACUUAGACUCAUGCUUUAUAUUGUAAGCUAAUGUCAUAAAGAGACAUUGGGCUUGGAGUUGGUAUAGUAAGCUAAUAUCAUAAAGGGGCAUUAGGCUUGAACUAGAUAUGGACUUAGCAAGCUAAUGUCAUAAAGGGGUAUUAGACUUGGAAUAUGUGUGGACUUAGUAAACCUAAUGUCAUAAAGUGGCAUUAGCGUUGGCACAAGAUUUUGGCAUAGUGUGAUAUAAUGCCAUAAAGGGGCAUUGGACAUAAUGAAUGGUUAAACCUUCACUUGAGACAUUGGACUAGACCUAUGAGUUGCUAGCGAUCAUUUCCAUGGUAGAGUCAUGAUGACCGGAUCGUUGAGACGAUGACUUUGCUUGCUUGCCAUUUGUGCUCAUUCGCACAUGCUUUUGAGGGUCGCUCCCUACAAGCCGGCACUUCGGAGUUGGCCUUUUUGCGACGUAGUUCGCGCGUGCGGGAUUGAGACGCCUGUAGGGUCGCGUGGGACAGCUUUAUUCAAGCUUGGGAUGAUGUGCUACCACGGGCAGCUAAGCGGCGAGGCGCCUGUAGGGUCGUGUGGGACAGUCCCAUUCCUCAAGGGGGAAUGUUGGUACUACCACUGGCAGCUAGGCUGCACAAGCUGAACUAUCUUGGGUAGGUCCUUAAUUGGAAAUGAAAAUCGACACGGAGUCGUUUAUGUAAUAAUCACUACUUGAUAGUAAAUCGUAGUUGGAUUCAAUGGACAUUGGGACAUAUAGUAUAUUUGGUCGCUAUGAUAGUGCAUACUACAUAUGUAUUGGACACUUGGACAUGUAGUAUACUUAAUAGUAUUGCUUAUUGCAUUUUAAUAUACUUGGGUGCCGUGAUAGAGCAUACUAGACAUGUUUUGGUAUAUUGGAUCAUGAUAGAGUAGAUGUACUCCAUGUUCAUAUCAUGUAUAUUUGUGGCAUAGUAGUGUAGCAUUUAUUAUAUGCUUUCUUUUCCGCUGUUAUUAUUAUCCAUAUCUGCUUAUGUUUUGGGCCUAGUGGUGCAUUUUGCUCAGGUCAGUAAUUGCCCACUGGGAACUAUAAAUUAUAGUUCUCACGCCCCCUGUUUUAUGAUUUCUUUCAGAGCCUUCCACUUCGGGAGAGGCUCUGGAUCGCGGGAAAGGUAUCGCCUCAAAUUAGCUUGCGAGGGGUUCAGCGAUAGGUGGUCCACCUUUCUUUUGAGUUUUGUUUUGUAGAGGUUGAGAGAGACUUGUACCAUUUUGUAGAGACCACCCCAUACUUGUAUCUUGAGAUUUGUGUUGUAUUAAGUUUACUUCUUACUGUAGUGGUUUUGUUUCUGUUGACUAUAUUUGUUGGUAGAACCUAGCUGUAUACUGCCUAAUAUCUCUAGAUACUCUCGGUUUUUUAUUCAUUUAUUCGCUAUUGUUGUAGACGCCUUAUAUGUGCAGGCAUAUAGCGGGUCUGGGCACGCACUGGGCGGGCUUAUGCCGGGUCCCGGGGCGUGACAUAAGGGUUCCUAGGUCCAUCCUAAACUUUCAUUUUUCAAGCUCUAAUACCAUUAUAUCUGUCACGCCUCGAGCCCGCCUAUUUGGUCAAUUCGGGUACGUCAACAGACGCCGAACAGACAACACCUCUCCUGUCCGCCCAAGGCUCAACAAGACAACAACAUGUAUAUAAAUUUUACAUAGCGGUAGCAUACAUAUACAUGGCUUGCACGAGGGCAAGCAACAACCAAAAGUGAAAGUUCUAUAACUAUUACAUCUAUACAAGUACUAUAAUUACCUUUAAUCACAUACAUGCAUAUGAACAUUUACAUUCUUUCAUUAUUUUCUUUAUACAUCACAUGAUCCUCCAAAAUAUAAGCCUUUUACAUUUAUACAUCAUUUAUACAACUUUCAUCAUCAAAUACAAAAGAUGAUAAUAACAGGUAUGAAACUAUACUCAGGUGAAGAAUAAAGCAGAUAGAUAGGUAACCAAGCUAAAUAAAUACAGCUAAUAUGCUUGAACAAGAUACGAUCAAUAAAGGAUGCUCAUGAUGCAUGCCAAAUAUAUUUUUAAUACCCAAUCCUCUUGGCUAACCCGUAGGUUUCGCCCAAAACUCACUAACUCAAAUUCCUACUAUCGGGGAGAAACUCCUACAACCCAACGGGACCGUCCUCUGGGAAAACUCCAACCCAGUGAUGACUACUAUAAGAAUGUUAUGCUCAAUCUAAUCCUUAACUAAAAGGAUGCUAUGCUCUCACUAAUCCACAACUACGAGGAUGUCACAUUCACCAUGCCACAACACACUAUGUGUUCAAUGCUCCAGCAUUCAUUAUGCCAACUAAUGCCACACACCAAGCAUCUCAUUCUCUAACAUUCUUUAUGCUCAUUAAUGCCACAAGGCUACUUUAUUCAUGUGUCAUAAUGUCACUAUAUUCUUUACCUCAACUAGGUUCAUGUCACAAGGUUGCUUUACUCAUGUGUCAUAACACUACAACAAAACUAUAUUUUAGCGGCGAUUAUUUUUUAAAUUAGCGGCAAUUACAAUUGCCGCUAAAAUGUUUUGUGGCAAUUUUAACAAUUGCCGCUAUUGGCAGGGUCGCUAAAAGUUUUAGCGGUAUUUAUUCUGGCGGUUGGUAAAAAUCCAAAUAAAUGCCGCUAAAUAUUAUACAAUAACGACUAUUAUAAAUGCCGCUAAAUAGUAUGCAAUAACAACUAUUAUAAAUGCCGCUAAAUAAUAUACAAUAACAACUAUUAUAAAUGCUGCUACAAUUAAUUAUAAUUGUCGCAAAAAACAUACUAAAUGAUUGAUUAAUAAAGCUUAUAGCGGCAAUUAAAUUAAUAUUAAAAUACUUGAUUAACAACUAAAUACUACAAUGAAUUGAAAUAUUAAAAAAUAUUAGUAACCAAAAAGCAUUAAUAAUUUGUAUAACAAAUAGUCUCAACUCUCAAAUUACAAUCUCAGAAUUCAAAUUAAAUUUCAAACAUAAGUUCUAACAAAAAAUACUUGUUCAAAAUGUAGCAAAAAAAUAACAAACACCGCAUGUCUUGCUUCCAGCUUCAAUUUCCGCAGCUCCAGCUGAUCUGGAUCAACCAAAAAGAAGUCAUAAAAUUAGUAUCUGAAAUUACCAAAUAAAAAUCAUCAUAUCAAAUUUCUGAAAAAUAUAGAAAUUAGGUUGUACUGUUCAUCAACAAAUAAGAAGACAAUAGUUAACAAUAUAUAAAUACCAUAAAGCAUAUCCGCAAAAUAAUUAAUAAUGUAAAAGACCAAGUUCUGAUUGAUGGUUAAUCCUAUUUGUGCUUGGUUGAGGAAUAAAGAUUGUUCCGCUAUAGGGGAUAGUAAACAACAUGUUUUGAUUGGGUUUACUCAUAACUUGCUUGGCUAGGGAUAUGAGGUAAUCCAUAAUUAGGGUAGUAGCUCUAUUGGCAGAAGGUGGUAGGUCAUUUUCGCCAUAAGUCAAUAAUAUAGCUUUUGGAUCAUCUUGGAACUGAGAGCAAACCGAAGGCAACUUUUCUUCAGGAGAGGCAUGGGAAUGCUCUUCCAUUGCCCUCGUCAGGCAGCACAAGAUAUCAACAAGAAGGUGAAAAGCAAUCUAUUUUAGAAGUAUUUAAACACUCUUCAAAUAAGUGUAUCAAAUGGAGAAACUUGUAAAAACAGUAUAUCUUGUAUGGAAACGACUUUUUUGGCCUUUCACCGAUUUCAUCGAUAGCUUGUAUGUAUGGAAACGACUUACCAGAGAUGUCCUACGAAGUUCUGGGUUUAUGAACUCCAGUAUGCGAGCAAUGAUAUAAACAAAGUUCAGAUCUGCAACCAGUAUAUCUUCUAUACCAGGUUUCAAUACUUAUAUAACCACAUCUUCCCCAGAAUUUUCAGCCUUGCAGCAUGAACCUGGAAGGAAGUUACAGAAAUCUUCAAAAGUGCAACCUCAUAUGAAACAAAGUAAAAACAAAAAGGGUCUUUCACAUACAUAAACCCUAACAAUUCAUCUACUUACAAAUAUAUCCAUCUAACAUCUGAAUUUCCAUAUAUAUCCCCCAAAACUACAAAAUACACUUAUCUUAAGUUGGGUGUCACCCAAUUUAUGAGGGAAAUUGGUUUUAUAUUAAGAGAAACUAUAAAUAAGGUAUUUUCGUAAAUAUAAGGAUAGCAUUUCUUGAAGGGUAAAUAUAUCAAAUCAAGAUUGAAGAGACAAAUCCAUUAAUAGAUAUAUUUGCAGGAUUAAACAAUAAAUAUUUUAAUUAGGGAGGUCAACAUACAAACCUGAGCAAUUGAGGCUGAGGCAAUGGGAACUGGAUCAAUAUACUCAUAGACACUAUCUAAUGGCCUCUGCAAUUCUUCACGCAAGAUAGCCUCAAUCUGAUUGAAAGCACUUCUGAAAUUCCUCUACAUAUUCUGUAGGAAACAAUGUUAGGUGCAGAUGCUAUGAACUGCACCUCUGAGUAAUCAGUUGAAAUUCUGGUUGAUGAAUUAUGAGAAAUUAUAACCACCAAGAUUUGUCAGUAAACUGGGUGCCACCUUUUCAGCACAUAAAUAUGACCACAAGAAAACAUAGCUAUAAAUUUGAGAAAACAUCAGAGGAGAAAUAUAUUCUCUUUCCAGCAGUGGAAGAUUAGUAAGCUUAUCGAUUUAAGAGAAUACGAAAUAUACCAGAAAAGAGAAUACAUUGCUAAAGUCUUCAAGCUACAAAAGGGGAAUUAAAAGUUAACAUAUAACAUGCAUCUCUUUACCUGGCCUAACUUGAUGUAAGUUGCUCCCAUGCGUUCAAAUAAUUUCCGCACAUAAAUUGGGGACAGCAAUCCAAGCUGCAUGUCGGUUGGUAGCCUCAAAGAAGUGCUUGUGCUUGUUGCCUGCAUGAAAUCGAAGAUAAAAGCUUUUACUACUACUGAAGUUCCUCUCUAUAAUUUGAACACCACAGAAGCAGCAUCUAGAGAUAAGUUUAUAAUACGUAUCAUGGUUCAUGGAGGGUUAAAUGACUCCUCUGUACUAAGAACUAUAUAUCCUGUUUGCCUAAGUAUAUUAGUUAUACGGAAAAUUGUCUAGCUUGCAUAGCUUAUUUGCUUUAUUUGAGAGGUUUUUAGUCCAACUCAUCAUUGGGCAAGUCCGGACAAACUGUACAGCCUUUUCAGAGAAAGGACCUUAACAUAAAAGAUAAGAUCUAGACAUAUUCGUUGCACCUCCCUCGAAAUACUUUCUUGGAGAGACAAUAAGGUACAAAAAAAUUUAAAUGAAAAAAAUUUAUUCUUUAGGAUUAGUGAAAAGUGCACACACUUCUCAGCUCAAUAAUCAAUUAUAAUUGUUUAUAUUGGGUAUUGACAUUUGCACAAAGCAUCUAGAUGAUUCAAUUCACCAAAUCAGAUAAGCAUUCCCAGAAAAGCUCUUAACUAAUGCAAAGAAAGCAAAAUUUUUACAUUGAUAAUGUUUCAUCUAUUGCUGGGAACUUUAUUUUGUAGAGGAUGUAUAUCUCUGUACCUUUGACACAUCAUUUAGCCACUCUGAACCAACCUCAAUAACAGCUUGGAUGACUUGGGCCAUCCUCAGUGCACCCCGAGGUCCUAUACUGAGUGAUGUUUGGAGAAUGUCUUCCACUAGCUUCGGCAACUCAUUUAUCUUGUCUGGAUCAAAAUAAAGCAUUAUACACAACUGUGCCUGAAAAUUAGGAUGUGCGGUAUAGUUAUACUAAAUCAACAAGACCAAGAUGAAAUGAUGAGGCAAUUUGACACUCUAAAUUUGAAAAUGUUGGCUUAUAGAUACUGUACUAUUUGCCCAACAUACAACUAUGUAAGGUUGUUAGGGAUUGAUUCUACAACAGUCACCCCUUAACUUUGGACUCAGGUUGAGGCCAGGCUAAUGUUGAAGUUUGCGCAACACCUCACCAUAUCCAAUGUGAAACAAUUGAUUACUCUAAAAGCUUAAGCUACUAAGGAAUGGUAUUCAUACAAUUUUAUAUUUAACACUUUCCCUCGUAUCUGGGCUCAAGGCUUAGGUCCAAAACCAUGAUAUAAAACUAAGUAAAUUUUAUUUAAACGCCAUUAAUUAUUAAUUAAUUAAAAAAUCACAAGGUAAUAUUUAUAGGACCAAAGUUAAUUUUACAGCUAGUGAGAUAGAACAGAAUCUAAAAUCCUGUUAAGAGUAGAGUGAUACUUUUCAAAACUCAUACUUUUCUUUUAUGAAAGUCAGUCAGAUAACAUCAUAUCUGAAAAAACAUCUUGAGUAUAUCAAACUGAAUAUGAGGCAAAAUUCUAGUUACUUGCGGAUAAAAAGAUAUUCACAAUCAAACAUUUUAUGAAUAAAAAGUCAAACAUUGAUCACGAUUUUGGAGGUCUAAAUAAUCUCAAGCGUCCCGAAAUUCGUACUGAACUUCCAACUUAGUAGGUACUAUUAAGUUCGAUUGUCAGGCCUCAUCUAGUUCUUCUGUCUGUAUAUUUUAACUAGUUCUUCUCGAUCCGUACAAAUAAAAUUAAGAAUCGUCUCGAUCUGAAUUAAUAUUAGAAGAUACAUCUUUGAACUUCGAUUCAAUCUGAAUCAAACUUAACCACCUAAAUUUUCUGUAUCAGGAUGUUCUCAUGUUAGUCACAACACUUUUUAAGAUGACCCUCAACUAAUUAAGAGUGCAAAUUAAGUUUGUCCUGUAGAAUGCGAAAUGCAUAAGAUACAUAAAACUGAUAUGUGAGAUGAGAUCUUAGGAUUUGGCUCCUAUAAGAAAUGAUCCAGAAUUGUAUGUACCAAACGAAGGUUAGAUAAACAGCGCCAGCAGAGUUUAGUAUAAACUUGAAAUAUAAAAUCGAAAGUAAUAAUGCUUCCUAAUUAAUCAACUUGGAUGAAGGCUUAUACAGACAUUCUUUAGAUUAGAUGUAUUAAGAGUAAAUUAAAUAGGUUUUCAUUACUCGUUCACUUACAUAAAGUAAUAACAUAUAAUUUCCUUGAAAUUUUGAAGCAAUUCAAAAUACAUCAUUAGACAAUGUUAUUAGAUCUCAGCCAAGAGAUAAGAAGUAGCUAACUCAAAAAUUUACUGUUAAUUAAAAAAAAUUCUAAAAGCAAUCAGAGUAUGAAACUAAGUGUUGGAGGAGGCAAAAUUUAGAUAAAAAAAUUAAUUAAAUUAGAUGGGGGUAAGAGGGGAAAGGAGGGAUGCGAACUUGAUGCGAUGGAUCUCCUCAAAGAACUGGAGAUCGUAGACCUUGUCGGUGACGGCGAAGUGGACGACGCCGGCGAUGUGGUGGCGCUCGAUCGAGGUGGUCGACGGCGACGUUGCGCCGGCGCACACGAGGCCUAGAAGAUCGAGGGCCGAAAAGAUCAGGGCGAAUACGAGGGCGAUUUGGGACUGGGAUCGGAGCUUGGAGAGGACGCGGAAGAAGAGGGAGGAGGGGAUGAGCAGAGGUGGAGAGAGCGAGAGCUCGAGCUCGCGCGAAGGGGGAGAGCUCGAGCUCGCAGAGAAAGGGGUGAGGGAGCAAAGGGAUCGACGCAGGGGAGGGGUGCGGCAGAGUGGGAUCGGGUUGGGUUCGGAUGAGGAUGAGGGUUAGUGUUAGGGUUAGGGUUGUAUGAGUGCUCAAAGUAAAUAUAUUUAAUGAUAUUAGUCGGUAAAGAUACGUAGUUUAAAAUAAUUGUCGCUAAAGUACAAAUAGAUAAUAAGUAAUAGUGGCUGUUCAAUAAUCGCCACUAUUAAAUUGCCGCUAAAAGGUAAUUUUGUUGUAGUGUAAUGUCACUAUAUUUUUAUCUUUAUACUAAAAGCAUGCAAAUAACAUAUAUCCACACAUUCUCAACUUAACUCUACAAUGCAUGAAACCUAUAUACACAUACAUGCUUAAGUGACAUUUAGACAUAAAAGGAGAUUCGAUGAAUUCAGGAAGCACUACCCAUCUCGUAGGGUUACUAGGGUGCUAGAAUCCAUGUUCCGGAAUUUAUAGUCGCCAAUCGCCCACGACCCUCGGUAAAUGAAGCCAAAACGGGGUUUUUCCUCAAUUUCUUUGCGUAGACUUGUCGGAUCCUCGAACCGAGUCUCCCAACGCGUCGGUUUUCUCACCAAGUAGGGCUACAAGAGAUCAAACCUUAGUUAGAUCUCAAUCCUAGCAAAACCCUAAUUUGACCCCUAGGGUUUCCAUUAUUGCCAAAUAUUCACAUAAAUCUCAUAAUACAUGGAGAUUUAUACACUAAUCUACCAUAAUAGCUUCUACAUAUCAUAACUAGAAGAGAUUAGCAUAAACCCUAGCUAAACAUCACAAGAACUCACCUUGAGUUCUAGCUUCUUCCUCCACUUGUUGCACAAGUGCUAACUCUACCCUCCAAUAGGCUUUCUUCUCCACCAAGGCCCCCCUCUUGCAGCAAUCCUAGUGAGAGAAGGAGAGGAAAGGAGGGAGAGAGAGUAAGAGGGGCUCUAGAGAGAGAAAGAGAAAGCUUGUCUCUUUGGGUCUCAAAUGGGGAAAUGAGAGCUAGGGCAGCCAACUCUCCUAUAUGGUCCCAAAAAUGACAUUUACACUCAGGCCCUUCAACAAUACACCCAACUGAACGAACCCACGCAUUUUGCGAGUACGUGGUCCGGACCUUGCAUAGGGUCCGGACCCCGAGAGCAACAUUUCACAAUUUUCGCAGCGAGGGUCCGGACAGUGCUACAGGGUCCGGACCCCGAGAUCAAAACAUAUUCAAAACACUCUAAAUUUUUCCAGAGUUGCUCUCCAAGGUCUUAACACCAUAUAUAACCAUUUCGACGCACUCGAAACCUCAUUUCGGUCAAUUUGACUGAAGUUCAGUACAACCUACCGAAGUUUCGGUAUAUUACAUAGAUAGUGGGGUCACCGAGUGUAGGUCACCUUAUGUAUGAUAAAAGAAUGUAAAUGUUUAUUGGAGAUGUAAUUUGGAAUGUAAAUGUAUUAGAGAGCAAAGGUUGUAUAUUGAGGAAAGAAUCAUGUAUUAUGUAAAGUGUAUUAUGUAAAGUGGAAAAAGCAUGUAAAUUGUGAAUGUCCAAUGUUGUAAUAGUUAGAAUUUACUUUCACUUGCUCCUGCUGCUUGUCCUCGUGCAAGCCAUAUAUAUUGAAAUUUUCCUGGGCAAUUAUUUCUUUAUACAUGCUUAUGUUGUUGUGAUUGAGCCUUGGACGGACAGGGGAGGCUCUGUCCGUUGGGCGUCUGUGCACGUGCCCAAACACCAAAGUGGCGGUCCCGAGGCGUUACAUCCAGACACGCACCGGGCGGGGUUCCGCUGGGUCCCGGGGCAUGACAGACUGCCAGCUGCAAGGAUGACGAGAAGUGCAAGCAUAUCAUUGCCGAAUUGCUGUUGCAACCCAUACCACACUUGCAGUACACCUACGCCCAAGACUUGUUACGAUACAAGGGAAGGAUUUACGUGGGGGACCAAGGUGACAUUAAGGAGAGAAUAUUAAGCCAGUUGCACUCAUCGGCCCUGGGAGGCCACUUGGGGGUGCGACACACCUACAGGAGACUAAACCAAUACUUUUACUGGUCGAGUCUCAAACAAGUUGUACAAAACUACACCAAGAACUGCAUGGUUCGUAUACAGAAUAAGGUGGACGGUCAACUUUAUGCUGGCUUACUUCAACUGUCACGCCCCGGGACCGGCGAAGGCCCUCCCGGUAGCGCGCCCAGACCCGCCAUAUGUCUACACAUAUAAGGCGUCUACAAUACAAGCGGAAGUAAAGCAAGAGAUAGAAUAAAUAGAAUGAACAGCAACUAAUGAUAUCAGAGCGAGUAAAGUUCUAUCAUUUAAACCAGAGUAAAAGAAACAUAGUUAAACCAUAAAAGAAAAUAUAAGUAGUACAACAUCGAUGUCUAGUACAAAAAUGGUGGUCUCUAGUACACGGGUAAACUCUCAACCUCUCACAAAAAGAAAUACAUCGAGAGGAAGACCACCUAAACUCGUCUCUCACUGAAGGGCUAACUCGAAGCAACGCCCUUCCCACGGUCCCUAGCCUCUCCCGGCGUGGAAGGCUCUGAAAGAAAACAUAAAACAGAGGGCGUGAGAACUAUAAUUUAUAGUUCCCAGUGGGCAAUUACUGACCUCAGCUCAAUGCACCACUAGGCCCCAAAAGGAAAGGGUAAGUCGAAAGCAAUAGUAAUAACGAGUAAUUUGCAUUUAUGAAAGCAUAAUGGAAAUGCUAAACUACUACUUGCAAUUAAACAUGGCAUUUAUGCAAUGCACAAUUAUCUUGUCAUGAAGGAUAUGUCUCUACUUAGGCAUAGAUAAUGUCAUGGUUUGCUUAAUGAAAUUAUGAGGAUUAUCCUUUAUCAUAGCAACAUUGUUUAUAUGAAUACAAUUAAGCAAUGCCUCCUAGCAUACUACAUGUAUGUAUAUAUACCCAAGUCCAAAUCUAUGCUAGAAGCAAGUACGAGUAAUCCAACUACUACUCUUUAUUUGGUAGUGAUUAUAACAAACUCAUCCCGUGUCGAUUUCCAUUUCCAAUUAAGGACCUACCAAAGGUAGUCCAGCUUGUGCCGCCUAAGUGCCUGUGGUAGCCCAACAUCCCUACUCUUGGAAUGUGUCUGUCCCACUCGACCCCGUAGGCUUCUCAAUACCGCACGAGCGAAACAUAAGUCGCGUAGGCUAACUCCGGAGUGCCGGCUUGUAGGGAGCGACCCUCAUAAGCAUGUGCGAGUGAGCACAAAUGGCAAGCAAGCAUAGUCAACGCCUUAAAUACCCAAUCAUCAUGUCUUUAACAUGGCAAUAUUCGCUAGCAUCUCGAAGAUCUAGUUCUAGGUCACAAUGUGAAAUUCUAAUAUUCACUAAGUCUAGUGCCCCUUUAUGACACUUAGACAUUUCGAUGAACAAGCACACUCCAACUCACUCAAUGGCACUAUCCACUAAAUUCACACAUAACCUGAGCUCAAUGCCCCUUUAUGACAUUAGCCCAAUUGUACACAAGUAGUGCAAAUCCCCGAGCCCCUUUAUGGCUCACAAGAAACCUUUAAAUCUCAAAUAGAAAUAACUUUAAAUGCAUGCAUGAGAUGCUCAUUUUCACCAUAGGAAUUAUGAUUCCAAGUCUCAAUAGGAUGCUAAACCUGUUCACGUUCCAUAUGCUAGCUCUCUACUACAUAGAGGUCCGAAAUUUUCACCACAUGUAACGUAGGGAAUUUAAGCCUUCUAAAAAUCAUAAUAAAUAUAUCAAACAUGAAAAUGCAUGAAUAAACAUUUAAUAGUACUCAAAUAAACACAAAUAAGAUUUUCUCAUUGUGUGGCUAGGUUAAACCCACCGAACCGUCGCGUGCUCCUUCGAUUCGCCGAACAGAGUUGUCCACAAGUCUCAAAAUACCCUAAAAGUAUUGAGCGAAGAGAUACACGGGCAUUACGAUCAACUAUAGGAUCAAACAUUAACCAUCUCGAAAAUAGGGUCAAAACUCACCUCUAGUGCAAAAUCUCUUCCUAAGCUCCAAAAGAGAGCUAAAUCCCUUCCAAUCCAACCCAAAGGAAGGCUCUAAUCCAAGUGAUCAAGCUCCAAAAGCCCUAGAUCAAAAAUCCCCAAAAUCAACCCUAAAAUCUCAUUCUAGGGUUCCAACACAUGAAAACCUCAAAUCCAAAGUCUAGAUGGAGAGAAAGGGCUACCAACCUCUAAGAAGCUUCAAUCCAAGCUCAAAGGGUGAAGAUCUUCUCUCUUGCAAGCUCCAAGUCCAAGCACCAAGCACCAAGGAAGAAGAUAGGGUGAGGAAGAUGCUCCAAGUCCACUAGUAGCUCUCAAACUUCUUCUUCUUCCCUCCUUCUUCCCCUUCUCCUUCUUCUUCUUCUUCUCUAUCAAGGGUGUAGAGAGAGUUGAGAGAAGAGAAAUGAGGAGAAGAGAGAGUGGAUGGGUCAUAUAGACCCUCUAUUGUAACAAAAUCCAACUAGGUCCCUCAAAAAUCCAAUAUUGCAACAGCCCGGUCUGGGCAGUUUUCGCCCAGAGGGACCGGUCUCUCCCCAGCAGGGACCGGUCUCUCGCUGCGAACCCGAGAAACCAACGUUCGGGAACCGGUCUCUCCCUGCGCGGGACCGGUCUCUCACUGCGUAGACGCGCUCGGGGACCGGUCUCGCCCGCCAGGGACCGGUUGCCUCAGGACUGCCGCAACACUGCUCACUGGGGGACCGGUCUCUCCUUUCAGGGACCGGUCCCCGAGAGUGAAAACUCUCAGGACUGGUCCAGAAUUCAGGUUUUCGAACUUUUUAGGUUGGAAAACAUUCUACGACCCUCCACCAAGUGUGGAAAAGCUCGAAACACAUCCAGUCACUCGAACCUCGCAAUUUGCAAAGGUCCAGUGUGCUACAUCAACCCCUGUCGAUUCCCACAAGGGAAUGACAAGAAAUUACUAUGGAUUUUAUUGAAGCCCUACCAAAAUCCGAAGGCAAAGACAGUGUUAGUGGUGAUAGACCGACUCACCAAGUAUGCCAAUUUCCUCUCCUUGACCCACCCCUUCACAGCCUCAAGCAUCGCGAGAGCCUUCCUCGACACAGUCUAUAAACUGCACGGGUUGCCUAAAACAAUACUGACGGACCGAGACAAGGUGUUCACAAGCAAGAUGUGGUAAGAAAUAUUUAAACUGUUGGGAGUUAAAUUGCUAAUGAGCACAGCCUACCACCCGCAAACCGACGGCCAAUCCGAGAGGCUAAACCCGUGCCUCGAGACUUACCUUCGUUGCAUGUGCUCUCAUCAGCCACACACAUGGCAUAAAUAGCUGAGUAUGGCGGAAUGGUGGUAUAACACCACAGCUCGCUGGGAACGACACCCUACCAGGCUCUCUACGGACAUCCGCCGCCCAAUGGUUUAGUCGUGAAUUUAGGAGUAGAAACCUCACCUACGAUACAAGAGUGGGGAAGGGAACAAGAAGGGAUGACACGACUGCUAAAGGAAAGACAGCUAUAAGCCCAAAACCGCAUGAAGCAGAAUGCCAACAAAAGAAAGGUACAUAAAGAAUAUCAAGUAGGAGAUUAUGUAUACCUGAAGCUGCAACCUUAUAGCUAAGUGAGUGUCGCAGUUAGGUGAAACCUGAAGCUCUCAGCGCGAUACUACGAGCCUUUUAAAAUCAUGGAGAAGAUUGGACAAGUGGCAUAUUAACUACAGCUGCCGGAAGGAUCGAAGAUCCACUCGGUGUUCCGUGUAUUAUUGUUGAAAAGGAGCCCCCAAACGAACUCACCGGUAAACCCAAUAGUGCCCUUGGUCGGGGAAGAUGGUCAGCUGCUCGCACGGCCGGAGCGAAUAUUGGAGAGGCGCAUGGUGAAGUAAGGAAACUGAGCAGCUAGCCAAGUGCUCGUGAAGUGGGAAAGCCUGGACGAAGGAGCAGCUACCUGGGAGGAUUAUUGGUUUCUUAAGUCCCAGUUCCCGAACUUUGAUCCGGAGCCCGAUCCGUGAGGCCACGGAUCUUCUAAAGUGGGGAGGAGUUGUAAGACCUAUAGAAUAAAUAGUAGAAAUAAUUAGUAAACAGGGAGAGAAAGGUAGCAACUUUACUUAGUAGAGUAACCGGUAGUCGCAAGAAAGAAAAUGGUGAGCUCGGGGAGAUGAUCAGGCUGAAGAUGCUUCGAGAGAGCUCUAGCCAGUCGUCGGAGGAAGAGGAGGCAUGAGGAAGCUAGGGCAUCCUCCAAACAGGGAAGGAGGAGAAGAUCAGAGUAGAGAAAUAGAUACACAAAAUCUGGAGUCUGGGCGAAGUAGUAAUACUUCAGAGACUGGCGGGUCAGAGGACCAAAACUCUGGAUCGGGGGGAAAUGGCGGACCCAAAACCCCCUAUUUGGAGGGUUGAAGAAAGAGGGCGCCCGCUAACCCACGUUCGACUACUAGGAUGCUUUGGACUGGCCGAGCCCAACUAAGGCCCAAGCCCCUACUGAAUUGAAGCCAAAUCGGUCCGAACCUCUUUUUAUCACUUUUGCGAUAUAACCUUCAUAGAAUGGCUAUUUUCAUUUCAGUAUGAAUCACUAGGCAUUAUAAGUGCCAAAUUAUGCUGUAAACAAAAACAUAUGGAAUAUAGUAAAGCUUUUUCUUCCCAAAUUCUCUUCCUCCUUCCCGUCUCUCAUCUUCUUCUCCUACCUUCAUCUCUCUUUUCCCUCUUUAACCCUCUCUUCCCUUCUCGCUCUCAACUCAGCCGACUAGCAUUAUCGGAGGUAAUUCUGCUGUUGUAACGCCAUCAUCCUCCCUGCCAUCCUUGUCUCGGCAAAAUCUCGUCAUCGACGGGUUGCGAGUUGUCUGGGGUGUUAUAUCCGGUCUGAAUCUACAAAAUAGAAAAUACAGAUCUAGUUUUGUAAAAACUCAAACUUGUAAAUUUUUUAUGCAAACUGGCAUAUUUUUUAUGCAAAUAGAUUAAAAAAAAGGGGCCAAUUUGCAUAAAAAAUCCACUAAUUUUAGCUUUUGCAAAAGUGGGCCAUCUUUUUCGUUUUUGCAGAUUCGGACCGAAUUUUCAGCAAACUGACCAAAAUAUCAGUUAUUACUUUUUCUCUCUCCUUUUUCUCUCUCCUUUUUUUUUUUUUCUCUUGUUCAUUUUUUUUUCUCUCGCUGAAGAGGCAGCGGAGGCAGAGGCGGAAGCGGAAACCGCUCGCCUCACCUCUCACCCUCAUGCUCUCGCCCUCGCCCUCGCCCUCGCCCUCGCCCGUGCACUCCCCAGCUUCCUCGCCUCCGACCCCGCCAAGGCUGCGCCGCAACUCUUUUUUUUUUCCUCUCUGACUCUCCUCCACCAUCUCCGACGACGACGACUCUCUCAUCCUUCCCCGCCAUUCUUGUCCUCUCCCUCUCCUUCCUCCUCUACCGCCUUCGCCGACGACGCAUCUUCGCCGAUGCCGGCACCGUGGAGAUCGCUGAGGCGCUGCAGCCUCGGAGCGUAGGGUUCUUAGCGGUGCUGUCGCCGGCGCUUGCAGAGACGGGUGACAAAAAAAUAUAUAGAAAAAACAAGAAAAAAAUAAAGAUAAAAAAUUAUAAAAAAAAGAUGAAGAUGAAAUUGCACUGUUAAAAAAAAAUUUACUGUUUUAAAAGAACGUUGCACUAUUAAGAUGUAAACUGCAGCUUUAAGAUAAAAAUUACACUCUUUAAACAAAAUUACACUCUUUAGGAGAUAUUUACACUGUUUCUCCUCUUAUUGCACUCUUUCAGAUGUAAAAUGCAUCCAUUAAGAUGAAAGUUACACUAUUUAAACGAAAGUUGAACUCUUUGAGAGAUAUUUAUAUUGUUUCUCCUCUUGUUGCACUUUUUAAGAUGUAAACUGCACCCCUUUAAGAGAUAUUUAUACUGUUUCUUCUUUUGUUGCACUAUUUCUCCUCUUGUUACACUAUUUCUUCUCUUAAAGGGUGCAGUUUAAGAGAAAAAAUAGUGUAACAAAAGAAAAAAUAUUGCAACAAGAGAAAAAACAGUGCAACAAAAAAGAAAUAGUAUAAAUAUUUCUUAAAGGGGUGUAAUUUACAUCUCAAAGAGAGCAACAAGAGAAGAAACAGUAUAAAUAUCUCUCAAAGAGUGCAACUUUCAUUUAAAGAGUGUAACUUUCAUCUUAAUGGAUGCAGUUUACAUCUGAAAGAGUGCAAUAAGAGGAGAAACAGUAUAAAUAUCUCCCAAAUGGUGCAAUUUUCAUUUAAAAAGUGUAAUUUUUAUCUUAAAGCUACAGUUUACAUCUUAAAGAGUACAACUUAUGUCUAUAAUAGUGCAAUGUUCUUUUAAAAUAGUACAAUUUUAUUUUAACGGUACAAUUUCAUCUUCAUCUUUCUUUUUCUCUAAUUUUUUAUCUUUAUUUUUUUUCUUACUUCUUUUAUAAUUUUUUUUGGUCACCCUCUCUGCCAACGGCCACGGCGCCGACGACGACGUCGCUAAUUAAGGAUCCCUCGCUCCGAGGCUGCAGCGCCGCAGCGACCUCCACGGUGUCGACAUCGGCGAAGAUGUAUUGUCAUCGAAGGCGACAGAGGAGAAGGGAGAGCUAGAGGACAAGAAAGGCGGGGAAAGACGAGAGAAGCGUCGUUGUCAGAGACGGUAGAGGAGAGUCAGAGAGGAAAAAAAAAAAGAGUCGAGGCGCGGCCUCGGUGAGGUCGGAGGCGAGGAAGGUCGGGGGUGUGCGGGCGAGGGCAAGGGCGAGGGCGAGAGUAUGAGGGUGAGAGGCGAGGCGGACUGUUUCUGCCUCCGCUGCUUUCUUCGGCGAGAAAAAAAAAAAAACAAGAGAAAAGAAGCGGAAAGAGAAAAAAGAGAGAAAAAGUAAUAAGGUUAAUAAGGGUAUUUUGAUUAGUUUGUUGAAAAUUCGGACCGAAUUUAUAAAAACGAAAAAAGUAGCCCACUUUUAUAAAAAUCUAAAAUUAGUAAAUUUUUUAUGUAAAUUGGGCCAAAAAAAAAGAACAAAAAUUGUGCACUAGCUGCACGGAAAAUUGCCCACUGCUCUCAAAUCAGGGAGCAGCGAGCACCUGCAUUUGAUGCCACGCGGCGUCCAUCGGGAGUGGCCCCAGAGAAACUUGCUUGGGGCUACUUCCCCACAAAAUUUGGGCCGUGUCUCUUCCUCUUCUCCUUUGCUUCCGAGACUCAAGAACCCUUGCUUCUGUCCCGUCUCUGUCUUGCCUCUAGGGUUCCAAAACAAUCAGCUUCCUCCUCUCCGACAAAGCUAGCGUUCAUGGCGGGGAUGCGGGUUCCGCCGCAGGAGGACUCGGAGCUCCCCAUGUCCCGGCCGCCGCCUCCCCCGGCUGCCGGCGAUCUGGUGUCGGACGACGACCGAUCGGUGGCGGCCGACUCCUGGUCCAUCAAGAGCGAGUACGGAAGCACCCUCGACGACGACCAGCGCCACGCCGACGCCGCCGACGCCCUCGCCGCCGCCAACUUCCCUGCUGCCAUCUCCGACUACAGGUUUGCCCCACCCCCUUCUUGAUCAUCCUUAUCUCUUCUACUCCUUAUAUGUUAUUAGAGCAGUGCGUUUAGGAGAAGUACUUUGCUGAAAUCCCUCCCCUCCAGCAGCUUCUCUGUGUGAGCUUCUGCUUUUGGAACGCAGAAUCGCUUUUCUGCUUCCCUCCGCACCAGAAGCUCCGCGCUUUUGUGUUUUCUUGCGAAACCCUUUUGUUGGCGACUGGUUUCUUGCUGCUGAAAGACAGAAAGAGUAAUGAUUUUAGGAGAAGCAUUGUAUUGAAAUUCCUCCGGUAGCAUCUCUCUGCACCAGAAUCAAAAGUUCGCAAUUUGGGCUCCAGCUUUUGGGCCUCAGAUCUCACUUCUGCCUGCAUAGGCUCCGUACUUUUCCUAUUGCCAAACACUCUACUAGAACUGCUAAAAGCAGAAAUCUAUAUGCUUCUGAGUUCUUUCUGUCUGUUUGAUUGUGUGAUUAAACUAUUGACAUUUUGAUCAAAUCUGAACUUCUUGAUUUGGAGUGAUGCCUGUGAUAAUACAACAGUGCUCGUGGAACAACUUAAACUGUGCUUCAUGCAAGUUGUCGUUCUUAGCAAAGAGGGAAUGAUUACUUGCUGGACAUCACUCAUGAUAUUUCGGUCCUCAUUUCGAGUAAUUGUUCUGUUGAUAGGUUCCAUGAAGUUGGAAAAGUUGCCUUGAAGAACCAAGACUAGGUUUACCAUGAGUAUUUUGUUCUUCUGCUUUUGCUUGUGCUUAGAUGGCCCUGUUUUCACGUGUGCAUGUAUUACGCGCCUGCAUGUGAGGAGCGCAUGCAUGUGAUUGUCGUUGCACCUAAUUCUUUUUGUGUAUGUGUUUAAUGGGAUAUGACUGGUAAAUUGCAGAACUAGACUUUCCUCUGGAUUGACUAGUGAGGGAUAUGUUGCAUGCAGUCUACUUUUAUGGUGCAACUGGUUGUUUUUGCUUCUCGAUAUCGAGGAAUAUCCACAAUCAUCUUGUGUUGAGCUUUCCAUGUUUUGUCUUCUUAUGAGCCUUCUGGAUAUCGUUGAAUAGACGUUUUUGUCUAAAUGAAUUUGUUGCAUUACCAUGAAAAUUUCCAUUUUUUUGCUUCUUAAGUUAUCGGGUGCAUAUAGAUCAUAGUAAACUGAAAUGAUACCAAUAUAUAUAGGGCCUAUCAAUUAGGCUUCAAUUUUAUUAGCAUUCUUUGAUAUUAAUUAGUGGUAUGCCAAUUGAAUGGAAUUCAUUUUGCAAUACCAUAUAAAUGAAACUGGAACCUCGCUUAUUAUCUACUUCUUGUGCAUCUAUGUUGUGCCCUUCUUUGUACUUAAAGUUAGUUGAUUAUGGUGGUACAGGGCUAAAAAGUAAUAAAAAAGUCUAACAUAGGGCUACAAGGAUAGGUUGCAAAUUUAAUAUUGUCACGCCCCGAUUCCACAGCGGAAGUCCACGGGGAUGUCAACAGACCUGCCGAACAGGCAGAGUUUUUCCUGUCUAGACGUGUUAACAUAACAUAACAGUAGCAAAGCAAUUCUAGAGAUCACAAACUAAAAGUUUUCCAAAUCACAAGAGCAAUAAUAAAGUCACUAAAAAACGAACUAUAUGUAUCAGAGCAUUAUAAACAAAACUACUAUACAUCACUGUAUAACAUUAUGUAGUCCUACUAACCAGAAAGAUAGACGUACAAAUAAAAGGCCAUGGCCAUCGCUGGUCCUGAUAUAUAGCAUAAACUGAAACAUCUAGCUGGUGGUCCUCUAUCGCUCAAGUACACUGGUAGGAGGUACUAUCUAAGAAUAAUUCCUUACCUCGAUCAAUAGAAGGUGUAGCCGUCUCUGAAAAAAAAUCACAAGAGGGCGUGAGAACUACUAAACAGCAGUUCUCAGUGAGUACAAUUGACGACAACCACGACCUUCCCACUAGGUCUACUAGAGGCAAGAAUAAUGAAAGAACAGUGAAGUAUACUACAGAAUGAGUAACUGAGCAUAAUAUGAACAGAUAUAUAAUUACUGAAUUAUCAUGCCUCUAUUCAUGUAGUGAAAAGGAAGGAAAGGAGGUAACUAAAGCAUGCCUCAAUGCUAAUCUAAUAAACAAAUGCUGUAAUAGUACCUAAUCGCAACGACCGACUUAUAGGUUUGGUAAGCCUGUGCCAGCCUAGUGCGCGGACACACUCCCGCAGGUGUAACGGCAACACCUAGGAUACUGUCUCUGCUAUCGUUGGCCAGCAUCCAGAGCAGCACUCGAGGGGAGCGACCCUUACCGAGUAUCAUAGCACGUAUCACUGUCAAUCUGAAUACGGUUUUGUAGGCUAUGGUCUAUGCAAUGCUACGCUUUAGCACGUAUCACUAUCAAUCUGAAUAUGGUUUGCAGGCUAUGGUCUAUGCAAUAUUGUAAUGAUAAAAAAGAUCAGUAAUAUUGAUCCAUGUGCCCUCGGCACGAUCAUAGAGCCUAUCAAUUCACUAAUCACAAUGGCAUACUCAUAUACCUCCUAAUAUCUCAAAAAUAGUGCCUGCUAUUGCUGCACUCUUCCACGGCCUUUAUCACAAGUAUUUUAGGAUAUAUAAUGCAAUAAUCAAUACAUGUCAAUGUCUAGUGAACCCUUUUGGCAUAACCUCAUAUAUGUAGUAUAUCAACAAAAGAAACUUGAUAAUCUCAAGAAACUAAACUGGUCAUUUCCAUAUGUUACACAUCAUGAAUCAUGUAUCAAACAUAAUGCAUGUAAUGUCAAUGGCCUCUUUCAGCUUAGACUAGUAUAUGUACCUUAUUACAUGAGGAGGAAUUCAUUGUGAAAAGCAAUUUGACCUAUUGUUCAUACAGUCUAGUUUAAGUUAGUACCCUCAAGAAUACAUCAUAUUAUCUUUUCCUUCUACUCAAUUCUAUGCCAUUACCACACUCUACCAACAUAUAUAAUCAUAUGCAUAUACAUAUGUAUAUAGAUAGACAUAGAAGGAAAUUUGCCGUUUUCGGCGACACGGAAUCCACCUCAGAUUGCUAAUCCACUAGCGGCAAGCAAUCAACCUCCAAUGCGCCUUUCCUCAGCUCAAAUCUAGUAGGGAAAACACUAAGAAAACACCAAAAUCAGCGAGGGUGCUGUCAAGGCAAUUACAAGAACGAAAUUCUAUAAUUUCGGCAAUUCGAUUAAUAAAUGCUUGAUUUUAGUUACCUCAACAUCCAGUAGGAAGAACUUUAAAACAACCAAAAGUGGUAGAGGAAUUCGGUGAAGAUCACAUAAUGCUCGGCUGGAAGAAAUGGACGACGAAAUCAAUACAAUUCUCACAAUCGCUCAAAAUCAGUUCAAUUUCAAUUAAAUUCAAAAUCGUCUUUCGGUUCAACUUACUAACUUGAAAUUUAGUUGUAAGGACAAGUCUACAAGUUCCCCUUCCCUAGUAGAACAUCAACACGAAUUCAGUUUGAUGCCUACAACUCAAAUACGAGAAAAGGAUGGAGAAGUUAGUAAAAAUCCAUCAAAAUCCAAAUUUCGGUUCGCUUCGAUCAAUAACUUAAUUUCAUUCCAGUUCACUUUAAUUCAAUCGGAAUAAGGUGCGACUAGAAGAUUAUCACCAUUCUCACCUUGGAAUCAAUUUCAAUUUCGAACUUAGAGGCGAAAUUGGACUAGAUUGGAGCCUCCAAAAGCACGGUGUUGCGGCUGCGAACCGACUACCUUUACUAUUGCCGCGCCCGUUACUGCGUCUGCUGCUGUGCUUCCUGCUGCUACUAUUUGCAGCCGCAGCCGCAGCCACAGCAGCAGCCCCUGUUGCUGCUGGCUGUAGUGGUAGCAGCCCCUGCUGCUGCUGCUUGUGGCGUCGACAAACAUUCCAACAGUGCCUGAAAGUUCACGGCGAAAAGCAUGUGAAAAACGGUUCCAAUUCGCAUGAAAUUCGACUUCAAUUUAACUUCAACUCACAACGAAAUCCAAUAAGACCUCCCAUCCUAGAUUCUACCAUCAAGAAUCAACAAAAACUAUAAACGAGAAAAUAACAAUUAUUAGAAUACUAACCUGAGCGUCGAAACACCAAAAAUCAUGCGCGCGGUUUCGAUCGGCUCAUCAAACGGCACCAAAACCAAAUCCUUCUCUCCUCCUCCUCUUUCCUCUCUCUCUAUGCGUGCUGGUUGGAGAUGGAGAGGAACUUCAAGAGAAUUCUCAGGUGCUUUAGUGGAAUUCCGCUAAAUGUAACAAUAUGCUAAUAAGUCCACAAGUGACCAAUACUCUCAAUUUAGUCCAAUUUCCACCUGAUACACUCAAUUGGAGCCCUUCUGUAGGUUGGUUUAUGCUCAAAUUUGAUGGGCAAUUUCAAGUAACAUUCAUUGGUAGUAAUUCACCUUAACCUUUUAGUUUGGACAAUUUUCAAUCACUGAAAAUCACUAAAAUUUCUAAAGGAUUGCUGUUAAGCUCCGUUUUCAUUGCUCGAGUAACCGAAUAAUACAAAACUUUAAAUCCGGUCUUAGAAAGUUAGUAUAGACAACUUUGCAAAGUUUCAUAAUUUUUUUGCCACUGUAAAUUUUCUGCUAAAAUGCAAGUUCUGUUCCUUGUAGAAAAUUUCAAAUCUCCUUUUUUUCAUUUGAUUUCACUACAAAUCAUUUCAAAUUAUCUUUUACUUCUUUAAGUCCAAUAAUAAUAGUAUCUCCCACAGUUUUUAUUUGCACUUGCUUAUAUAAUAAAAAUCCAAAGUACUACAAAUAUGGUAAGAGUUGCUCAAGUCAACCACCAGAGGAAAUCGUUAUAGGAAUUAAUUUCUACUAAUCCACUGUUUAAAAAAGCGCGCCUAGGCGCAGCGCCUAGGCGCCUAGGCUCUAGGCGCACAAGCCAGCGCCUAGAGCAGCUCUAGGCGGGCGCCAUGACUCAGGCUAGCGCCUAGGCAGCCUAGGCGCGCGCCUGGGCCUAGGCGUAAGGCGCCCUCAAGGCGCGCCUAGGUAAUAUUUAUAGUAACGGGUUUGGAUCCAGAUUUUAUUGGUCUAACGGGUUGAAAUAUCUAAAAUAAACCCAAUACCCUAAACUAAACCCUAAAUAAUCAUCAAUUAUUUCCCUAUUCCCCUCUCCCUGUCCGCUCUUCCCUCUCCCUCUCCGCUCAGCCCCUCUCCCUCUCCGCUCGCCCGCUCGGCCAUCUCUCUCUCUCCGGCGCUCCCUCUCCGGUUGUCCUUGCUUCCGGCACCUCCUCCUUGCUUCUUCAACUCGCUCGCCUCUUCUUCUAUGGUUUUUUGUCUCUCCCUUGGCCUCUCUCUAGUUUCUCUUUUAGUUUUUUGUGUAUAUUUCUAUUUUUUUUUUUAAAGCAGUGCUUUCUAUGCUUUUUUUUUAAGUAGAAAUUUUCUGUUUUAUUUUUUAAAAAAACAGCAUUUUACUUGAAAAUAAAACAGCAUUUUAACAUUUUAAAAAACAGCAUUUUACUUGAAAAAACAGCAUUUUACUUGAUAACCUUUAUGCAUAUUACUUUUUUAUGAUCUUGUGCUUAUGAUUAUAUGCUUUUCACAUCUAACUUUUCUAUAUGUUUGUGAAUUAAUACUUACAUUUAUGCUGUCCUUUAUUUUGAGAUAAAAAGAUAAUUUGUUCUUUACUUUUAUCUAUAUUAUUUAGAUAACUAUAGAAUAUUUAUUGUGGUAAUAUGAUUUUAUAGAGUAUAUUUAAUGCUGCUUAACAAUUAGUAGAAAGAAUGGUAAGAAACUUCUUGAUUAUUUACUUAUUUCAAAAUUUUAUGAAAGUGUGCGCCUGACCUCUCUCGGGCGCGCGCCUGCGCCUUUCGCCUUGCGCCUAGGCUCCAACAGGCCUUUGCGCCUAGAUGCGCCUUGGGCUUUUUUAAACACUGUACUAAUCUAAUUUAAAUAUAGAUCGAAAGUUAUUUCCCUUCAUUGCAUAUCUGCAAGGUUUUGAUGAUCUAGCAUAAAAAGGGAUAGCUAGUGUUAGAAAGGAGAUAAAUGAGGUAAAGGAGGAAAAAGAGGAUAGGGAAAAUGCUCCAAUGUGGCGUAGAAAUUCAUUCGUGGAUAGAAUCUACUAUAAUUUAAUGAAAAUCGGCUGAAUAUGUAUAGUCCCAUAUUCAAUGUGUCUUCACACUGCUUCUCCAUUGUUGCAACUCUUCUAAUUGUGGAAAAUUCUUUGGAAUCCCUUCGUAUCUCGUAUAAUGAAUUCUAUCACUAUUAAUAUCAUAUAAAACUCCUAUCUACAAAAAUAGCUUCAUGCGUAUCUGAUAUGUCUAAACUCAUUUGCUAGCUGUUUGCAUAGUCCCACUUGAAUCUUAACUUUCGAAAGGAAACAACCAACACGUCAUUACUCAGUGGCUUCCAGCCACCAUCUAGUUGGCAAGAACUCAAUCUAAACUUCAUUUUGUAACAACAAUGUAUGAUAGAAGCAAGGUUUGCUGUGCCAACUAUCUGGCACGGCCAACACGUGCCACCAAUGCCAACCGUUUUGACAUAUAAAAUGUGAUGUGUACGGAGGUGUGCCGACGUGCCGUGUCAUGUUGCUGGCACACCGUCAUGCCCUAUGCUGGUGGCGUGGCAAUCCUUGGGUAGAAGUAUGAGAUAUAUUUGAUAAUAGAAAUUAUGCGUUGAAUCAAUUGGAUGCAAAUUAUGAAAGCGUAAACUACUUUUCAACAAAUUUAAUGUGUAUCGAUUUGAUUUUAGUACGUAUUCUUGGCCAUCAUUCUCUAUGUUUAACUUCCAUGUUUGAUUAAUAGAAUUUCUCAGUUGAACAAGGUCUUUAUUAGUGCCAUGUACACAUGAUAAUUGUUUUGAUCUUCAAAGCAUAACGGGCUUUGAAUCAAUUCCUUAUACAGUUGAAUUUUCAUCCUCUGCAUUAUCAAUAGAAACCCUAGACUCACGUAUGCUAGACCCACUGUUUAAAAAAGCGCGCCUAGGCGCAGCGCCUAGGCGCCUAGGCUCUAGGCGCACAGGUCAACGCUUAGAGCAGCUCUAGGCGGGCGCCAUGACUCAGGCGCGCCCCUAGGCAGCCUAGGCGCGCGCCUGGGACUAGGCGCAAGGCGCCCUCAAGGCGCGCCUAGGCAAUAUUUAUAGUAACGAGUUUGGAUCCAGAUUUUAUUUGUCUAACGGGUUGAAAUAUCUAAAACAAACCCAAUACCCUAAACUAACCCUAAAUAAUCAUCAAUUAUCUCUCUAUUCCCCUCUCCUUGUCCGCUCGCCCCUCUUCCUGUUCGCUCGCCCCCUCUCCCUGUCCGCUCGCCCGCUCGGCCAUCUCUCCCUCUCCUGCGCUCCCUUUCCGGUUGUCCUUGCUUCCGGCACUUCCUCCUUGCUUCUUCAACUUGCUCGCCUCUUCUUCCAAGGUUUUUUGUCUCUCCCUUGGCCUAUCUGUAGUUUCUCUUUUAGUUUUUUGUGUAUAUUUCUAUUUCUUUUUAUUAAAGCAGUGCUUUCUAUGCUUUUUUUUGAAGUAGAAAUUUUAUGUUUUAGUUUUUUAAAAAACAGCAUUUUACUUGAAAAUAAAACAGCAUUUUAACAUUUUAAAAAACAGCAUUUUACUUGAAAAAACAGCAUUUUACUUGAUUAUUUACUUAUUUCAAAAUUUUAUGAAAGUGUGCGCCUGACCUCUCUUAGGCGCGCGCCUGCGCCUUGCGCCUAGGCUCCAAGAAGCCUUUGCGCCUAGGUGCGCCUUGGGCUUUUUUAAACACUGGCUAGACCUGAACCUAGACAAAUCUAUGUUGAUAUUGAGUUGCAUAAGUAUUUAUUGCGAAUGCAAGUCCUAAAAAUUUAGAUGAAUCUUCCAAAUUUUCAUAAAAAAUAAAAAAAUAUUUUUUUUUGUAAUUUUUUAUCUUGUAAUUUUUAAAAUAUUGAAAAAAUAGGAAAAAAUUGAAAGAAUUUUCAAAAUUAAUCAAUUUUUAUCAUAAAUUUGCUUAAUUUAUUUAUCGUCUAAUUUAUUGUUAAAUUUUUAAGGAUAAAUCUUACAGCUUUUAUUACAAAUAAUUUUUAAAAAAUAAUUUAGUACCGUCAUAUAUUAGAUCUUAUAGAUAUUAAGAAGCCUAACACUGUAUUAAUUAGCAAGUGUAAUAAGCUAUUGUUGCCAACAGGAUGAGACAAAUUAAUACAUUGCCAAAAUUCAUAAAUAUUAUCUUAAAACUUUCAAAAUAACAUUAUAAGAUGUUAUUAAGAUUAAAAAACUAAAAAAAGGUUGCGCCAAAGCGUGCAACUAAGAUGAUGUGCCUGCCAAUAGACACGCAAGUGUGCCACAUGUUGGCACAGGAGCGUGCCGGACCUGCCGGUGCCAUACCGUGUCGGGCCAGUACCGACACGCCCUAGUGCCACGGUACUUUAAUCCUCGGUUGGUGGCAUUUAAUUUUGGGAAAAAUGUAUGGAGACCCUUUGAACUUUAGCUUUUUUGCAAAUAGGCUCCUGAACUUUUAUGUUCGGCAAUCAGAUCCCCUAAACUUUACCAAAUAGUUUAAUAAGCCUCUCUCCUCAACCGUAGUUAUUAAAUAAUUAUACAAUCAUUUUGAUCAUAUAUCAUACACAUGAUAAUCUUGUAAGACUUCAAAGUAUAAAAAAAAUUAUUUUUUCUCUUCCAUUUUUGAUAAGCAUAAGAAUUGAAGAAUAAGGUGAAUCUAACUUCGAUUUUUUGUAUCUUAGCAUAUGAAAAAUGUUUUUUUUUCUUUUGGUGUGUUUUGAUGCUUUAUUGGAUUAUAUGCGAAAAGACAUUAGAUAGACUGGAUUAGAGGGAUUGGUUAUCCGAAAAUAUUUGGAAUUGCACAAAAAAGAUUUUUUUUCGCAAAAAGGUCUAGAAGGUAUUGUUAAAAGAUCAUCAAUUCCUAAUGAAAUAGAUGUAGCAUUGGCUUGUUAGAAACCCAGUCUUUGACCCAGGAUAUGUGAUGUAUGUCCCAUUACAAAAUGAUCGGUCUUUUUCAAUGAAAUCAUUAUGUAAUAUAUCAACAAAACCCAAAGUCAUCUCGCAUCCCCUUUCAUUGUUGAGUGAAAAAUGGGAAAUCAUGGAAAAUUGCAAUCCUCACCACGUUCGUUGGAAUAAUUUCAUAACCCGGGUCAGCUGAUACACUUUAAAAUGGUUCUAGUUUUUGUAAUUAGAUGCAUCUCGAGUUUCUAAGAACCAUUUAAAUUUGACAGUGGUCAAAAUGGCUGUGUAAUUUAUAAUUUCAAUUGAGGAGAGGAACCUAUUAAACUAUUUGAUAAAGUUUAGGGGAUCUAAUGGUCGAAAUUGAAAGUUCAGGCGCCUGUUUGCAAAAGAAAACCUAAAGUUAGUGGGGUCUCUAUACAUUUUACCCUUUAAAUUUUGUAUCAGAUAUGAUUCAUUAUGGGAACAUUAUGGUAAACAAGAAUUUACAUAGGAAACUUUCUUUUGCUCUCUUUGACCCAUAAAAUUGGCAAAAGACAAUAAACAGAACUCCCACAUACAUUGGCAAAUUUGGUAAAAUUUGCUCCACCUGCAUGUCGAAUAAGAGUGAUUCCUAAUACAAAAUGCUUACGUCGCAAACUAGGAUAAUACUAUUAUGGAUCCUUUAGUACUUCGUUGUGUUGUAUCAAUAUCAACUAGGCGAAUUAUAAUCACAACUUUUCUAUUUUGUAUUGCUCUGUUCCAUUGCUAACCAAGUAUACAAUCCUACUUUUGGUUUCCCUUAACCUCGUUUCAUUUUCUUUUGUUGACGAAUGGUUUAUGCAUCACUUUUUGAAAUCUUGGCUCUUCUCUUCCUUUUUAUAUGUUUAACAAUUUGUUGAUGUUAUUUCCUCUUAUUUUGGAAGUUCAUUUGAAAAUGCUUCAUUCUUCAAUUUUCUAAGCUUGGAAGUGAGAAUUUUAUGAGAAUUUUGGAUAACAAUCAUAUUACAUCUUUUUUAAUGUGUUCUGCUAUGUUAUGCUUUUGGAACAGUUCUGAUAAGGAUGAGACAGAUGCCAAUGAUGUCGAAGCAUCAAUGCUAGGCUUACAGAGCUACUGGGAUGCUUCUUAUGCAGAGGAUCUAGCAAAUUUUCAUGAGCAUGGACAUGCUGGCGAAAUUUGGUACUUAUUUGUACAUUUUCAUGAGCAUUCAUAUAUAUCCAUACCUUUACUGUAGAAGUUCUGCGCCUACAUGAUCAUUUGUUUAUGUAGCUUCAAGUAUAGGAUCUUCACUCAAAACCUAUUAGAAUGAUCACUUCUUAGUAUGCUCCUUCAGAUACCUGUUGUUUUAUAUGCAUGAUGAAUAAUGUUAUGACCAUAGAGUGGUUCUUUAUCUUUAUAAAUUAAAAUAUUCUAAUAAAUACCCUUCCUACAGCCUGAAAUUUCAUCGCUACCCUUUCAAAGUUGAAAAUGUGAUCAAUGCCCAUCUAUAUUGUCACGCCCGGGCUCCAGCGGAAACCAACCCGGCACGUGCACAGACCCGCCGUUUACACAAGGUACCCCUCUGGUGCACACAAGGUGUCAACUACAAAACAUUCAAUAGAUAAAAUAAGAAAUAUAACAGUAGCAUGAUAAUCAGAGCAUAAGUAUAAAACUAAUCCAUAAAACAAAAAUUUACUAAAGGGAAAAAAAAGAAGUUAAAACAACUGUCUCCAAAAAUAUACAUCAUGUCACCACCAAAAGAUACUAGGAUCAUAGGGUAGUCUCUAUAUAUAAUGGUUAGGUACACCUCUCGAAGCUAAACAAAAGAAAGGUGUCCACGUAUGCAGGUAUCUCCCGAAAGGCUCUAGCUAGACGCGACUCCUUUACUGCGGUCCCUAGCCUCUCCCGUAGUGGAAGGCUUUGAAAACAAAAACAACAAAUAUAUAGGGGUGAGAACUAUUAAACAAUAGUUCCCAGUGGGUAAGUUGCCGAGAAAAGCGGAUUACACCACUAGGUCAACUGAGGCAACAGUAGAAAAAUAACUAAUAGUAUAGCAUGAAUAAUCUGCGAGAAUUAACAGUUCUAGUACUAUUAUGCCUCUAAUUUAUUAUGUUAUUUAACAUGCAUGGAAAUUACUUUAUUACAUGAAUGAGCAUUAAAUGACUAAUGCAUAUGUUCAAUGUCAUGCACUAUCUAGUAGUAAUGUCCAAUCAUUAAGUUUAAUUGUCAUUACCCAAAUCAACGAGAACUUACACAUGGUAUAGUCCCGGCUUGCGCUAUGCCUAAUGUCCCCGUGGUAGUCAACAUUCUCUCGCUAGGAAUGAGGCUCGUCCACGGCAAUCCACUUUGGCGUCCAAUCUCGCACCGGCGAGCAUGAUGUCGCAAAGGCCAACUCUGGAGUGCCGACUUAUAGGGAGCGACCCUCACAAGUUUGUGCGAAUGAGCACAAUGGCAAGCAAGCGUGAUCAUCAACAUAGGGAUCUCGUUCGUCAUGUCUAAAACGUAGUAUGUCAACUAGCGACCUAGAGGUCGAGUACUAUGUCAUAAUAUUGAAUUCUAGUUGUUCAACUAAGUUAAGUACAACAUGUUUCAGUUCAUAUUUUGCCACUACUAUACUAUAUGUCGUAUUUACCUUGUCUAUAACAAGUAUGUUGAUUAUCAUGCAAGUUGAUCCAUUAAUUUCACUAACCAUAUAAGGUCCAAGAGACAUCAUUUACUCAUCUCUAAUAUGCUUUCUAUUGUUGCAUAAGAGGAAAACACCAUUAUGUACUAUUUAGUAUACAUAUCCACAUUAUAACCCUUUACGAUAUAGAGUAUAAAACCCCUACAUGUAACAUGUGUAUAUCAUGCAUUCAAAAAUUCUAUUAUGUCAUAACUAGCAUGAAUAUGCAUCAGUUUAAGUCUUAAAGCAAAGUAAAAGAUAUAGAGGGAGUUCACCCAUUUCGGUGAGGUCAAACCCACCGGAUACCCUUCGAAACUCGUUCGUUUCUUCGAACAAAGUUGUCCACUAGACUUCUAGCACCCUAAGAAAAAUUCUAAAAGGGUUACAAGGUUCUAACAAACUUCCCACGAAAUUCACCAAAAAUCACACAUAAAAUAGGUGAAAAAUAUCUUUAACCAAGAAGAACUUGUCCAAAGUCCAAAUCAAAGCUACAAACCUUCAAAUCCAACUUAAAAGAGAGUUCUACACUCAUUAAUUUAACCCCAAGGGCUAAAAAUCAAGAAAUCCCAAAAUAAAUCCUAGUUUUUUCAAAACUAGCUUUUCUUCCACAAUCUUUGCAAAAUCCACAAUCAAAGGUAGUAAGAAGACUACUAAUCUCAAUAAAAGCUCCAAACUAAGCUAGGCAAAGCUUGGGUUGGAGUUAAUUCCUCAAACAAGCUUCCUUCCUCACUCCCAAGCCUCCUUCAAGGUCCAAGUAGCAAGUUCCAUGGAGAGGAAGAAGAAACAAAAGAUCAAAACGCAAUCUAAAAGGGUUUGGAAGUAGAAAAUUCAAGAGAGAGGGUGAGGAAAUACCUACCUAUUCCUCUCUCUAACUUCAACACGAAGGCUGAGUGAAUGAGGGGUGAAGAGGUAUAUACAUGCUGUGACAAUCCCCAUUAGGCCCCUCGACAACUCACGAUUUGCAUACUGCACGAAAUCACACUCUGCAGCAUUGAGUACCGGUACUCCUUAGUUCCGGUAGCAUGGGUGCAGUUCCUCAGAACCCGUACGUUGGAAAUUCUGGUUUAUAACUGCGUUCCGGUACCAGUCCAAUGCAGUACCGGUACUCGGCCCGGUACCGGUACUUACAAUCCGAUUCAGCAAAACCCGAGAGCUACUCAUUUCAACACUAUUGGGUUCCGGUACCUCAACCCAGUACCGGUACUCAACACUAAAAUCUGUAGUUUAUAGAUUUUAAUGUUGGAAACCAGUUCUCGUGCCUAAUAAGCUCCAGAAAUAGGCCGACACUCAACCAAAAACCCUCAAAACCUCCAAAAUAGUUUAAAAUACUAUUCUUACACUAGAACCUUGUAAUUUGCUAAAGUUCAGUGUGCUACAUAUAUACACAUAAUCUUUACAAAUACCCUUAUGGGUGACAAUCCGCCCAAAACUAUGUUGUACAUAUAUGGAUACGACAUGAUAUGGAUAUGGUGAUAUGACAAUUCCUAAAAACUCUAGGAUUCGAUACGAUACUUGAAUAAAAUUUUAUUUUAAAUAUAUAUUAAUUAUAUGUAAUAUUGUAAUGACAUAUUGAGGACAAUCAAAAUAUCUAGAUUAUAUUAAGAAAUAUAUACCGAUAUACAUUUACUUGUACAAUUGUUCGAGAUUUGUUCAUCAAAAAAAGAUAAUCAAUCGUAUGAAAGAAAAAAUUGAAAAAAUAUUUACCAACUAUUAUCCAGCUUGAUUAAAUAAUAACAAUAGAUAUUUGAUUGCAUAAACUAGAUAAUAGUUACUCAUCAUAUAUGUCUAUUUUGUUUGGUUCCAUUAUAUAAAAUAGUAAUAGAAGAAAAUAUGCUAGCAUUUUAAUAGAAGCAGGAAAAAAAAACUCUUGUGGCCAGAAUCAUUGCUUAAUACUGUGUGGAUAUAGAGUGAGAGAGAGCAUCUUCCACUAUCCAAGAGCAAAAAAAAUAGAAAAAAUGAUGGAUUGAACAGAGAUUGGCAUUUUCCUCAUUGUUUUCCUUAUUUCCAAUGGGUUAGGAUGUGGGCUUUUUGAAAAAUUUUGAGUUAUGAUCAUUUUAGAUGAAUAAAGAACCUAGUCAUAUCCACCUUGUAUCCCAGCCGUAUCCGAUUUUUUUUCUAUUAUUAAAAACUGUCAAAAAUUUCAAUCCCAUAUCGGACGCGUAUUGGGCACGUACUAGUAUCCGAUGUGUUCAAUACAGGAACAUCAUAAAAUUUGAAGUAUCUGCGCAUCAUAGGCCCAAAACUAAUUGAACAAAUUCUAAGUAUCUAUUUUCCAAAUAGCACUUUUAAUAAUGUCCUCAAAUUUACAACUGAUAAUUACUUUAACACUAUUAUUAUACUAUUAAUGUUUGAUUUAAGUACUGAUGAACUCUAUUUUUUAAUUAAAUAUUCAAUUUUUGAGGUUUUUAUCUGAUGUAUAAUUCUUGUUUGAAAGUUUAGUCCAUUUCCUUUAUUGCCAAAAAUAUAAGGUUCUUUCAACGACCUAUAUUUUCUUUGCAAGUCAUUUUUUUUUUUCUUAACCUAGUUCAGAAAAAUAAAAAUAAGGUAAAAAAUCAAUUUUGGGCCCUAAAGAUAACCUAUGACUUUUCGACAUAUUCUGUUUUAUGUAAUCGUGUUUUAUACUUUCGUAAAAAGCUUAUAACAAAGAUAUGAAAAAUGUGAAGAUGGAAGAAUGAAGGGGUAAACUUGUCAUUCUGCUUGUUGAAUGUUGACUUGUGGUAGACCGCCAUUUUAACAGUGGUGAAGUUAAUGUCUGUUGAAUGUAAUAGAUGGGAAGGGCAUUCAGGAUAGUUUAGUAUAUUGAAGGGGUAACUUUUAACUUUACAAGAGCAUCAACGAAAGUUCUGAAUUUUGUAGGGGUACUGAUGAAAUUGCCACUUUUAAAUUUAAUUACUUCUUCAAUUAACAUUCAUUUUCUAACAUUAAAUCAUUUUACUCUUUAGAGAAGGCUUGAGACUAUUGAUUUAUACAUAAUACAGCAGUAAGUCCAAAGGAGUUAUUUCAUUCCAGCUUCCAAAGCAAGGUCUCAUAAUUUUUCUCAAGUUCUAUUCUCCUAUUUUCUUACUCAUAUUUUCUCUUCAUUUUACUAAUAACUGUUCAAUUGAAAAUCAAAUUCUGAAUCUGCUGAAACUUUAAAACCAUUUAAUUUUUCUACUUUGGACUUUUGGAUUCUUUGAAGCAACUGUGAAGUGAAGAGACCUCAAGAAGCCAGCCAGCCAUGUCCUUAUCGAUCCGUAGAUGGUGCAAUAACUAUUUUAUAUUCUCAUAUGUACACAUCAGAUACUUGUGAUUAGCUAGUUAUUGAAGUGAAUAUGUUUAUAAGAAAAUUAAUAUAGCUCAGGCCUUUAUAUUCAUUUCUGUGGAUCUAUGAUGAUGGCUCAAGUUGGAGGUUUAUUUCCAAUUUUGGCUUCUCAACACUUGUUCUAUUUCUUCUUGCAUUUCAUACUGCAAAUUCAUUAAGUAUCCUCUGCAUAUUUCAUUAUAAAUGGUUACAUUUUUUUACUGUAAAUGAGAUUAAUAUUCUUGCUUAAUUAAACAAUAUUCUAACAAUAACUCUACUUUCGCCACAUGUAUGACAUUCCUACAGUGUAUUUGUAGACUUAUCUUUAAGUUAUGUAUAUAUACAUAGACAAGGUUGUGUGUGUAGUGAAAUUAAGAACUAAACUCAGGUUCUUUCCAUUUAGGUUUGGUAAUGAAGUCAUGGAUACUGUUGCAACUUGGACUAAAAACUUAUGUCUCAACUUGUCCCAAGGUGGGAAUGCUGCUGCCCAAAGCAAUCACAUAUCUGAAUCUGGUGAGACUAUCAAAGACUUGUCAAGCUGGAGUGUGCUUGACGUUGGAACUGGGAAUGGCUUGCUUUUGCAAGCACUAGCAAAGCAAGGGUAAUCGGAAAUUUUCAUUCUAAUUUUCCUCAUGUUGUACUUCAAAUGUAACUAAAAUGUUAAAAUCAUUUGUUAUCUUUUUCCUUUUCUUGUACUGCCAUUUAGAUAUAUUUUUUCCAUUAGGCUGAUUCAUUGUCAUAGUCAUAAAAAUUUCUAUUAUUAAUUGUUUGGCUGUUGCACAGCCAAUAAUCUGAAAGCUUCCACAUGACAUCAGCCUGUCAGAAUUAGUGUUGAAGCCUAGGACACAAAAUCAACAAAGAUAGGGGCUCACAGCUUGUUCUUACCUCGUGUCUGUUAGAUUUUGGGCAUGUUGUGUGAAAGUUGUCAGAAUUGAAUGCUGCAUGAGUUUUCUUUGGCUGCACUCAUAUUUUGUAGUUAUAUUUUUUUCCUUCUGUUUGCUUUUUCUUUUUUUAUUUUCUAAAUGAAUUUGCGAACUAUUCAACAAUGACAAGAGCAGCAUUUGCCAGUGGAUUAGAUCCUAUAGAACUUGAGGGGAAAAACAAGUGAUGCAUAGUCAAAUGAGGCUACAACUUCUCGUUUAAAACAAGUUACCCCAUGAUUUAAGAAUUAAAAGGUGAAAAGUAUUCAGCACCAUGCAGGGUGAAGAGUGCAUGUUGUGCCACCAAGGUUUAAAGUGCCGUGGCACGGCGGCGUUCUACUGUCUGCCUGGCAUGGUACGGCAUCGGUACGCUUCCGUGUUAACACAUGGAAUGCUUGUGUGCCGAUGGAUACGCACGACCUCCUACUGGCAUGUUUUGGUAUGAACUUAUUUCAGUUUUUUUGGUUCCAAUAAGUUCUUAUAAUAUUAUUUUGAAAGAUUUAAUCAAAUAAUUAUGAAUAUUUGCUAUGUAUAGCUUACUAUUCACAUCAAUUAACAUAUUUGUAAGCUUUUUUGUAUGUAAAGUACAAUUAUACCUGAUGCAGAAUAGAAAUUUUUACAUGUUAGAAUUUUUAAAAUGCAAAGACUUUUUUUUUUUUUGACCAUAUUAUAGUCUUUCUUUUAUAAAAUACAAAAAAAUUAUUUUAAAAAUUAUUUGAAAAAAUUAUUUGAAAAAAAUAUUUUUUUAAUUAUUUUUUUCAAAAAAUUAGUAGAUCUAUCAAAAAAAUUAAGCAAUAAUUAUAUGACAAAUAAAUUAAAUAAAUUUAAGUAUCAAUUGAUUUAAUUUAGCUUUUAAUUUUAUUAGUAUUUUCAAUCUUCUAGUGCAAAAAUAAAAUUUUAUGUUUUAUGUGGCUCAAAAUUUGUUUAUUGAGUUCGAUUUUGUUCCUUUAGUUCGCCAAAAAUUUUGCGGUGCGACAAAUUUUGAUAAAAUAAUUUGUAAAGAAAAAAUAGAUAUCUGUGGUGGAAGCAGAGGGCUCGGAUAAAUCUUUUGUCUGUAUAUUGAUAAACAAAAAAAUUAAAUUAUAAUUUUUUGACUUACCUAAUAAGUAUAUUUUCGAUUUGUAAUGUCUUUGGGAGAGGCAUGGAGUCAAGGAUUUAAGUGCCGGGGCAUGGGAUCGUGCCGGAAAUUUGCUGGCACGGUACGGCACGGUGCGUGCCGAGCCGUGCCGAUGCGUGCCGGUCAAAAAAAUUCUUGUGUGCCGACACAUAAUAGCAUGAAAUAUUUAUUUUCUUUAGCAACAAAAUAUUCUAACUAUUUAUUAUGUCUUUUUAUCACAUCUUUUGAACUUUAUUGAGGAAAUUACUUACUAAUUUUAAAGAAUAGAGAGUUUUGAGUUGUGCCAUCGGCACAAGGUCUGUAUCGUGCCGGUAUCUUGUUGGCACGAUACGGCACGGUGGAUACGACCCGUACCAACGGGCAAUUAAAACCUUGCAUGGAGUACCAGAAUGCUUUGGAUAUCCCAAAGAACAAAAUAAAAAGAAAAAAAAAAACAAAAGCAAAAAAAAGCAGAAAAAAAAAAUUAGCACUGCCGGCACGGCACUGUGCCGUGGCACGCUGCGCCGUGCCGCUCUAUCUCGUGUGGCAUGGCGCUGCGUUCCGCACCACAGAGGGGGGGUCCGAGAGCCCCCCUACCGUGCCACUGCCCCGUGCCGUACGGCACGGGGCGGCACUUUAAACCUUGUGUGGCACAUAAUAUGCUGGCUGCUUGCCACACGUCCAGGGCAGGGCAAACUUGGAUUGUAGCGCACAAAUUUAGUAGCAUACAUUUUGGGACCUUACAAAUCAAUGACAUUUUACUCUGUUUCCUCUUGCAUUGUGAUUUGUACGUGUCUUUCGGACAUAUCUUUUAUGAACAAUUCCUUUUUGUAGCCUUCUUAACAGGAUACUUGUUUGAUCAUCCCACCUGAUAAGUUGAAAAUGUUUCAUAUAAUCAAAAUAUUAUACUUGUGUUAGGUAUGUAUCUUUGUAAUUUUUAUAGUACUUGUAUCCUAUUGUUUUUGUCCUAUAUGUUUUAAUAAUUACUACUGAAAAUAUUCGUAAAUUGUCUUAUAUCCAUUUCCCUUCUAUGUAGUCCAGAAAUUAAAUUAGUCAGUUAUUAUUUCCAGCGCUGGAAAGUAGGACUUUAUUUUAGUGCAUUUCAAACUUCAAAGGAAGAUGUUUGAAUGAUGUCAUCGAUUUUCACUGGCUAGUUGUAUCUUUUAAAAGAUUAGCUGAGAAAACUACGAGCCAUUGGCCUUCAGGAUGAAAUUGUAUUUAUUGUCUUCCGUUGGCAUUCAAAUGAAGGAUUAGUGGGAAGUAUAAUUAGUGUAAGGUAGCAUAGAAGAUCAUCUAGUUGCCAUUCAUUCUAAUAUGCAAUAUAUUCCUCUUGUUCUUUGAGUUGCUACAAUUUACUGAGUUAGGCAUGUUUUAUUUCAUCCCCACACUCACAGGAUUUACAUUUUGCACUCAAUUUACCGAACUAGGCAUGUUUUAUUUCAUCCACACACACACAGGAUUUAUAUUUUGCACUCAGUAUAUUAGGGGUGCCUUCGUCUUUUUAGGAUCUUUAGAAUUUCUUCUUUCCCUGUUUUCACUAGUAACCUGCUCGCGGUGAACAAGCCAGCAGCUAUAUUCUCCACUAUAAAAGCAUUUCUUUUGUUUUCAGGAAACUGGUCUUGGUUGUCGUUAUUUUGGAUGUUUGCAACCAAUGCGUGUUGUAUCGACCUUUAAAGUGCCUUCACUUUACUGCAUUUUAGACUAAUCCAAACAUUUUCUAACAAAUUGGAAAUUUCAUCGUUUUCAUUUACUUUUGUUAAUAGGUUUUCUAUCUUGUCACCUCAUGGUCUUGAGAGAGAGAGAGAGAGAGAGAGAGAGAGAGAGAGAGAUUGUUAAUAGACUUUCUAUAUUGUCACCUCAUGGUCUUGGGGGAAGGAGGGAGAGGAUGGUUCAUCCCGCAAUGCAAUGAGAUUUGUCAUUUUAUUCUUGCACAUUUGGCUUUUUGUUAAUAUUGAGUUGAAUGGAUUAAUGACAGUUUUCAGUUCCAGAUUUUCAGAUUUAACUGGAACUGACUAUAGCGAAGGAGCUAUUGAACUUGCACGAAGCCUUGCUGUUCGUAAUGGAUUUUCCAAUAUAAAAUUUGUGGUAUGUAAAAUUUUCUUACUAACCAAAAUAAUGGAAAUUCUUGUUUCCUUUUUUGCUUAAUGUCCGGCAGCCUGAUAUAUCAUUUUGGAAUAAGUUCACUGCCCUUGUGCUAUAACCACUGACUUAUGUUUGACGAUACCAUAACCAACAAGCCGAGACAGAGAUAUGUGCAUCAUUAAAAAUGUUUUUUGUUUGUCAUUAGAAAAAUGAAGUCAUUUUCAAAAUUGCUGGCACAUCCUUGUUGUUUCCAUGUUUUUUGGGUCCUUGAUAUGUCAUUGAAGAAUUAAGUUCUAAUUAUGAGCAUUUUUUUUCCUUCUGAUUUUGGGGCUUUUGGUAUAUAAAUCACUAUGAUGAUUUCUUGCUCUCAUUCUGUUUCUGAUAUUCCAAAUGACUGACAUUUGCAUAUUACAACUGUACCAUGACUAUUCGUUUCUGUCAAAAGACCUUUGACAUGUUUGCUAAGUGGAAAUCUGUCCCAAGCCUAUUAUAGUAUUCCUCAACAGCAAAAUUUAGUUUCAUCUUUAUUGUUCCUCAGCAGCAAAAUUUAGUUUCAUCUUUACUGAUUCCAUACGAUGUAUUGGACAAGAUUAUUUAUCUUGUAGGUCUUUAAUUGGUUAUUCAUGGUUCUUGAAUUUGGACGAAUGUACUAGCCUUAUAUGUUGUUUACUUGUGCAAAUUGUCGGAUGCAACUGCUAGCACCGGAAAGUAAUAAAAGUUAUGUAGAUUUUGUACCAAAUGUUGAUAACCUCAAUGUUUGAGAAAGUUAUCAUGUCGAUGGACUGAAUAUGUUUUAUACAAGAUAUAAGUAUAGAACAAGAUAACAUCAUAUGUUUAAUAGUCAGCCUUGCAAUUUUGGUGUCUUUUGGGCUUCUGCUUAGGUCUUGGAGGAUAUUGCAACUAAAUAGUUUCCCUACCAAAUAUGAUGCAAGAUAAAGGGAACUAUUGGAAGUGGCAAAUCAUACCGUGAACUAGUGUAGAGGCGGAGAUGGUGAGAGAUUCUCCUUUAGUUUAAGUCUACAGACAUGAGUUUGAGAGUAACAAUCUAUCUCUUAAUGAAAAAUAGGCUCUUUGUUUGAUUGGUUCAAAAGAGUAAGUAAAUCUAACAUGUUAAGUGGUUAUUAGGAGUGGCCGCAUCGUUUGACUGGUUAGAAUGUCUGUCCAGUUGGUUGUUACUGAAAUUGCAAAGCUUGAAUUUGUUUUAAGUCCUGAUUUGUUUUUUGCAUAAAAUUAUAUGAAUCAUGAAAAUCUUUGAAAGCCGAUGGCACCAAGGACCAGAAAGAAAUUUGAAGACAAGCUGAGAGGUUUGUGGAGGAUUAUGAUUUAGACAUUUCAAAAAGAGGUAGACAGUGAUUUUCAAAAAGUGGAGGAAGAGAAAGUAUAUAGAGUCCUCCAAAAUAUCUGUUAAAAUUUCAAUCAUAUUUAUUUUUUGGAUGAAAAUUUCUUUUACGAACUCUUAUCCACAAACUUUUUGCUAGAUUACAAGUCUUAAGUAGAUGGAGAAGGCAACAAUGUCAAACUAGGCUCUCUGCAUAUACUGCUGCAUGCUGAGAUAGUCUAUUGCGAUGCCUACUGGUCUGAAGUGUUCAAAUGUCAUUUUAGCAUAUUGUAUAAACUGUGGUCCUGCUUUCUUUGGUUACUAAUUUCUUUACUUUGUAUGUGAAAUGAGAAAGGAAAUAAUCUUAAGUCUAGCUAAUACGAUUAUAUUUGAGCAAAUUAUAUCCAGUAAUUGUUAAUCCAAUUUCACUUUGAUCCCUUCAAUUGGUGUCAAUUGAUGGCUCACAAUGUGCAUUAAAUAAUUCUUCAAGUCUGUUGUCAGCUUCCUCGUAUCUAUUAUGUCAGGAGAGUCUGGUGUAAGUUUGGUCUAUGUGCCUGCCCGAUCAACAUAUAUUUAAUUGGACCAAAUAGGUGAGAAGAUACUUGCAAUGUUAGUUAAGUCUAUGUGGCUGCCCGAUCAACAUGUUAAUUAGACUGAAUGGGUGAGAAGACACUUGCAAUGUUAACCUGUGGUGCUAUGUGACCAUCCAAUUGAAAACAAGUUUCGAAUGUUCGACAGGCACCUUUCUGUCACCAAUAUGAGCCAAUUAAACACUAACUUUGGAAACCUCGUAUUCUAUGUUUUAAUGACAUCUACUUCCCCGAGCUCUCAUGGGCUGGAGCUGAUGUUGUGAAUUAGUUGAGUCACUUAACAAAGUUUAGUCAUCAAGUGAAACAAGAAAAGUACAAUUCAACGCAUAGGUAAGAUAUUUCUUGCGCAGCUUUCUGCUGAGUAAACCCUCAUGCAUCAGAAGUUCUAUAGAAUCUUAAGUUAGUGUACACUGUAACACAAGCUAAACUCUUAAUAUGAUGGUACUGUAUGUUAUUUGCUUGUUCUCCCUAUUGCAUUCAAAACUUUGCACAAUUUUAUGAAUCUGUAUGCAUGAUAAUCUGGAUGGCUGUUUAAUACCUGGCAACAGUUGUUUCUGCUUUCAGACUAUUUCAUCUAUGUUUUCUUUGGACGUCCUUUUCUUAGUUACGUGUAUAUGCAUGUUUCUACCAGGUUGAUGAUAUUCUAGAAACAAAAUUGGACAGAAAAUUCCAGAUUGUUAUGGACAAAGGGACUUUGGAUGCCAUAGGGUUACAUCCUGAUGGGCCGAUAAAAAGGUGAGGUUACUAGAAAGCUGGUGUUUCCUAGCUUAUUUGGUUUCGUUUUUUGUUCUUUUUCUGCAUGCUUGUAGAAUGUUCCUGAUGUUCGCGAUGUUCCUGCAUACUCUACCACAAAUUUGAGGUGCUUUUGAGCUUUCUUUUCUAUUCCUGAUUAUCAAUUGAGGAAUAUGACCAAUAAAAUGCUGCGAGUAUUGGUGAAUAUUUUUGUGGUGAAAAUGCUUUCCUAUAGCUGUUGUAUUAUGAAUAUCGAUUUACAUAAACUCUCCUUUUUUCUGAGGGAGAAGAUUUACAUAAGCUAUAUAAAUAGCAUCGUAUGACCACUAGUUAGUGCCAGUGCAACAAAAGAAAUAAAUGUUUUCUGGUGGAUAAAAUUUGUGUUAUAUCAGUUGCUUAUAGUUGAGCGGGAAAUGUUAGUGUAAAUGUUUCUACUUGUUCACUUUGCAUUUUAUGCAAUCCCCUUUUUCAGGAUAAUGUAUUGGGAAUCAGUAGCAAACUUGGUUUCCCCUCGUGGCGUCUUGGUGAGUAAAAUUUUUUUGCUCGCCAAACUUCAAGCUAGAUGCUCCUUGUAUUCAUUUCACAACAUUGUUUCACCCUACUGCUAUGGUAAAACAUUUACAGGUGAUAACAUCUUGUAAUAACACAAAAGAGGAGCUGGUGCAAGAGGUGGAGAACUUCAAUGAUAGAAAGUACGGUGGUAAGGAUGCAGACCAAGAAGCAAGCGGUGAGCCUUGGGUCUUCCGAUACCUUGAUUAUGUGCGUAGUUACCCCACGAUUAUGUUCGGCGGGGUUGAAGGUUCUCGUGUGUGCACUGUUGCAUUUCUGCGAAGCUGAUAUUUGUAACAUGUUAUUGCCCUUUGUUUCCGGAAUUUUAUUGUGGGGGUUCAUGUUGCAUGUGCUUAAGUGUUUAUCUUUUCUUUUCUUUUCUUUUCUUUUCUUUUCUUCUGAUUUUAAGACCCGGUUAGAAGUGUUAAACAUGUAUGUUUCUUUAUAACAGAAUUAGAAGCGUUAAACAUGUAUAUUUUCUUUAUAACAGAAUAUUAGAGACAAAAUAGGGAAGAUAUUUAUUGCAGGACGGUUAUAUGAUCUUUCUUUCCCGUGGCUGUUGUAUGGAUUAGAUGCAAGAUAAAUUAAGGGCGUGUUUGGUUCAUGAUUGGAAUAGGAAUAAGAAUGGAAAUUGGAUUGGAUGGAAUGGAAAAUGGAAUAAUAAAUUAUCUAAAAUUAUUUGGUUCAAUAUUGGAAUGGAAAUUGAAAUAAACAUCUAGAAUUUUGAGAGGGCUUUGGUUGAGGGAGAGGAGAGUUGAUGAAGAGAGGCGAAAGAGAGAUGUUUGUGACGAGGGCUUUGAAUGAUUUACUUGGAUUUUUGUAAAAUAAAUGAAUUUAUUGAAAUUAAUGAAUUUUAUUUUAGUUUUAUUGUUUAAAUUAGGUGAACCAAACAAACUCUAAAUCAACUUUCCUAGGAAGAUGGUUUUUUGAGAAAAAGGUAGCAUGCAACUCAUUUUGUUUAUUUCUUUUAGAAAUAAAAUUUAUUGGUAAUAUAAAUCUACUAGGAUUCAAACUUGCAACCUCAAAUAUUAACCAUUAAGCUCUUUGCCAUUUGUGUUAGGGACGAAUUAUUAUCCAAGGAUAACUUGGUUAGCAUCCUACUGGAAUCUAAGACAAUUCUAUAAUUCUGACUACACUCCACACCCUGCGAUCUAUUCUACUCGAAAUCAAAAUAGAAAAAAAAGAGUUUAAAAAAAAGACAAGACUAAAAUGUGAAAUAACAUAGGUAAAUAUGUAUAAAACUUAUGUAAAUUAUGAGUUUUUUGAAUUAACUAUUCAGUUUUUCAAAAUUUUGAUUUCAUUAUCCAAUAUUUCAAUUUGUUUGAAUUCAGUAAUUUUUUUAAAGGAAAACAUGCUCUAAGAUAAUUUUAUUUAAUUAAUCAAGUGCUACAGAUUGAAAAAUCUCAUCUAUAGAGUACUAGAAAAAUUUUUUUUGCUGGUGAGUUUCCGUUGGUCAAGCAAUACUCGGCUAUAGCAUUUUUCGAAAAUCUCGAAGUCCAUCCAAACAUUAAGUGUUUGAAUCUCUAUGUAGAAGUCCAAAGCUUCAUGAUUCUAGCCUUAGCUUCAUAUAUUAUUGAAUUUGAAUAAUAAUUUCUAAGGUGCAAAGCUUUGAUAAUGAAUGUUGAAUCUGACAAGAUAUGAAAAGUUCCUCGAGGAUACAUCUGCCAAAGGAAGCAUUGUGGACUACUUGUAUUGCAUUAGAUAUGCAAGCAAUGGUUCCAUGCUGAAUGGUAAUCAGGCAUCCUACACCACUUGCCAUGCUGCCUUUUCCAACUUCCAUCUACCCACACAUAGUACGAAGAGGUUGUGGGUUUUUGAAUCAGAGUUGGAUCCUGGAUGUUGAUUCUCAUCAUAUUCUAGUUGGAAUAUUAAGGUCUUCCAGCUAUGAGCCCUUGAAAUGAUAUUAGUGAUUGAGAAAUUUUCCCCCUCAAAGAUCACCUCAUUCCUUUCCUUCCACAAGCUCUAUAAUAGAUGAACAUAGAAAGCCUUAUAUGAGUCUCUAUGGCUUUGUUAGUUAGGAUAAAAAAUAUCCAAAAAGAUAGAGCCUUCUCCGGAUUGAGUUGUUGGCUUCGGUUAAACCGAAUCGGGUGCGUCCAUGAUCAGAUUCGAUCUGACAGUUAUUAUAUUGUCUAAUUGGACUAGACUUAAUCUCACUUUUAAUUUGGAAAGCUAAUUAGAGAUAUAUCUUAGCUAUAUUAGGAUAGCAAUCAAACACGGAUUCAUCCUAAUUUUCUACUUAUCUAUUAAAGUGUUAAAAUCCAUUAUAAAUUUAUAGAAUAUUUUGUCAUAAAAUAUAAACAAAAAAAAAGAAAAAAAUAAUUUGUAGAUAAUUUACAAUGAGCCAUCUUGUGUGAGAGAGAGAAACUAUAUCCUCCAUUAACUAUUGCUUCUAGAGGGUCUUCAAUGGUGGAUUAUAGAUCUAACUCGUUCAUAGCUCUAUCUACCAGACGGUCUUCAAUGGUGGAUUAUAGAUCUAACUCGUUUGUAGCUUGAUCUACCACUGAUUUGGAGCGUUAAAAGACCUUCGUAGACGAUUGGAGGAUACGUAAAUCAACCUCUACGAUCCGGAACUUAUCACGUUCUAGCAUGAGUCGCUUUCGUAAAAAUAUGAACGAAUACUUCCGUUGUAUUCUACAUUAGUAUCGGAACAUUACUUGGUUGAUUUCGUAUCCUAGAUAAAUUUUUAACAAGAUUGUAUGUGUAGAUCUAAAGUUGCCAUUGUUUAGAAUUCUUUUUCCAUGUUGUGGGUGUUAAUGGCAGGGUGAAUAUAAUAGCAUGAUAUUUACACAUCUUAUGCCACUUAUGUUGUAGAUUAUAUGAGCAAAAUUUGGUUUGAUUUGAUUUUGUAUUUUAUGUGAAAAAUAAAAUAAUAAAUCAAAACUUUAUAAAUGGCUUGUUUGCUGUGUAGUGUAUAUCUCAUUGUAGAAUUUGCAUGGUUUGGUACAGCUCUUUAUAAGCCUUCCAGUGAAAUAGUUUAUGCAUGAUUUGGGCUUGUGGAUCAAAAAAUAUUAAAUUUCAAAGUUUCCCUUUUUAUUUCAUAAAAAAGGGUUUGCUGUGACGCAGUGAGCCACGUGGGUCCCUGCGCGCGAGGCCUGCCUUGGGCUUGGCCCAUGCAGGGCCGCCAAGGUUCUCAGGUCUGUGCAAGCCCGCAAGCCCGUGCAGGCUUGCAGGCCCGCAGGGGGCCUGCCCUACGCAGGCCUGCAGGCGACCUGCCUUGUCCCACCAAAAUUGGGCCUUUGCACAGUAAAAUAUUUGUUUAUAAAAUAAAAUAAACGAAAAGAGAAGGGAGGAAAUUUUGGAGAUAUAUUUUUUUGGAGCAUAUUAGAUGUUUGAUUAUGCCUUGAUGAUACACAUUGCAUGCAUUUAAUUUUUUUGGGGUAAAUUUAUUAUGCCUCAUGUGAUGUAUGGAUGAAGCUUUUGGCAUAGUAUAAAUUUUUCUAUGCAUGCUUAGUCAAGCGAGAGUUUGUAUUAAGAUAGAGUAAAUUAUAUGUUUUACUCCGUAAGCCCAUAAUUUUAUGAAAAAUUAGGCAUAGGGUGUAGUGUGAUUAUGAGCACAGCGAAAUUUUUCUUUACACAACUAUGAUCUAAUUUCUCAGUUUGUUUAAUUAGAGAUGCGGCAAAGUUUAAUAUAUGUAUUGUGUGCUAAUUUUUAAAAUAAUUUUCAUUUUUUGUGUACUAUGUGAACUUAGUGAGAUACUAUGGUGUCAAAAUAAGUUGUUUUUGAUUUGAUCGAAGGUGAGAAAUUAGACAGUGAUAAUUAUGAUAUUUGGCACCACAAAAUUUAAUAUGUUCUUGCUGAGCAAAAGGUCUUGAAAACUUGAGUAAUAAGAUGAACUAACCCACGGAGGGUAUUAGCAAUGAGACUCGUCGAGAGAUGGAACAUAAUUGGCUUAAGAAGGAUCGUAUUGCUCGCAUUACGUUGCUGAGCAGCGUGCAGGAUGAUUUCUUCUGUGAAUAUGAGCAGUACGCAACUGCUUAUGACAUAUGGGAGGCUUUUAAAACUAAAUUUGGUGUGACUUCGGCAGAAAGGUUGGCAGCCUGAUUAUGUGGUUUGAUAGUUAUAAGAAGUGUAUAUCGAACUUCUACAAUUAUGAAGUUUUGGUGGGCAUUAGCUUAAAAAGCUAUUAAAGUAGUUCCGGUGAAGUUUGGGGAGCAUUCGAGUGUUUUCGGCGCUAACCGGACGCGAAAACGGGUUUCAAAAGCUGAAAUCUGCCUAAGUUGCAGAUUUUGUAUUAAGUACCGGUACUGAAAUCUGGGUACCGGUAAGGAAUACAAAAUGAGAAAAACAUGCUCUCGGGUUUUGAGGAAUCAAACCUGAGUACCGGUACUGAGUUUGUAAUGGGUACCAUACUAGAAAUUGAGUACCGGUACGCAGUAGAAAAUUGGAAAUUCAACAUUCGGGUUUUGAGGUACUAGAAAUCGGGUACCGAUACUAGGUGCCCGAGUACCGAUACGCCAACCUGAGUACCAGUACUCAGCCCUGUAGAAUGCUGAUUUUGAGGGAUAGGUGGGUAAUUUCAUACGGAGGCAUAUUUAAAGGGGUGCCCUUCCCCUUUCUUCCGCAGAACACACACACAUGCACACUGAGGGAGAGAUAGGAGCUCAUCUCUCUCACUCUCUUCUUUUUUCUCCAACUUGGAGAUCUUGGUGGAGAUUGAACUUGGGAAGCUCGGAGAAGCAUGAAUCGAGUUCUUGGGCGCUUGGUAGCUCGGAGUGCUUUCGACUCGAGGUGAGUUUUGGGGUUUUAAGCUAGGGUUUUGGGUCUAAACCUUCUAAAUAGAUUCCUAUCAAACUCUAGGCUAAUAUAAGCUACAAAUUGUAGAGAUUAGCAAAUAGAAUUGGAUUUUUCCAUUGAGUUUGGAAAUCUCCAGGUUGACAGAGGGAUUUGUUUGUGGAGGGUUCUAAAAAUAUUUUAACCCUUUAAAACCUUAAUUGAGGGUAUAGAAAAUCAUGUAAGGCCACUUGAUUUCAAAAAGAAAAAUCAUUUAGUGGUUCGAAAGUGGUAACGAAUGGAUCUCUUGUUUAGGGUAAAGAAAGCUUGGGAGCAAGCUUGGAGAUACAAGAGGUUGGCGUAAUUACAAGUGUUUACAAGCAAUUAUGAGGCUUUGUGAGGUGGGUUGUGCUUCACCGAAGUAACUAGGUCGCUUCCAUGUCAAAAAAGUAAAGUAUGCUAUUAUUGUUGAUGCAUGUAUGUAAUGGUAAGUUAUAAGUUGUAAAUAUGAAUGCAUAAAUCAUAUGUUGCUAGAUGAUGUUACCUACCAUUGGAUAAUGACAUAGGCAUGUGAGAACAUAUAAGAUGGAUAUAUAUGUAUGCCUAGAUGUGGAUAAUGAACAUAGGCCAAUGAAUUGUAGCAAAAAUUACAAAAAUUAGAGAACUCGAUAAGUGUGAUUACCAAGGACUAGAUGUCAUGAAAUUGUGAAUCCUAGGUGUGGACAAUUAGAAUAAAGAAAGAACAUGAUUGGUGUCACGCCCCGGGACCGAUACCAAUUUGGGCCGGCCCGAGCACGUCAAACAGACGCCGAACGGACAGAGUUUUCCCUAUCCGCCCAAGGCUCAUCACAUGUACAUUUUCAUCAAUAGAGAAAAGAAAUAGCGGAAACAUAUACAAACGGCUUACACGAGGGUAAGUAAUAGCCAUUAGUGAAAGAAAGGAAAACUAAACAUUCGCUUGGACUAUGAUUCAUUUUUGAUCAUAUACGUUGUAUUCAUCUUGUUCAUUUUCGAAUUCCUUACAUUUCAUUUCAUCAUUUCUUUCUUACAUCACAUUUACCUCAAAAUACACAUUACAUUCUUUUCUCAACAUCACUAGUCAUCAAAUACAAAAGAUGAACAUAGGGUACUCUACUACAAAAUGUAACCCGACACAACUCUGGUNUUCUUUCUUCUUCUUCUCGUUUGCCUUCUAGAGAGAGAGAGAGGGAGAGAAGAGAGUGUGAGAGGGUGAGGAAAUGAGAGAAAUAUCUCAUUUGCCCUCAUACAUAGCUAUUGGGUUGCAUAAUUGCUAAUAAACCCCUCAACUUUCACUUUAAUGCACUGCCCGAACUGGGCUGAUCGCGCAGGCAGGGACCGGUCUCUUCUUCAGGGACCGGUUCCCGAAGGUCAUCCCAGCACAGCCAGAGCUGUUGCGCGCAGUGCAACCAGUCUCUCCUUGGGGGACCGGUCUCUCGGGGACCGGUCUCUCGGACAGGGACCGAUUCCCGAGAGCUACUUUCUCAGGACUUAGCCGAUUUUUCGGCGGUCUCAUUUCAUACGCGUUCGGGAACCGGUCUCUCCCACCAGGGACCGGUCCCCAAGAGCUGAAAAUCUGCAGUUUUCCAGAAUUUGAUUCUUUAGCUCUCGAAAACCGUCCACAACGCACUUUUGAUCGUUUUAACACCUUCUGACUUUCCGAAGUGUACCAUCCUCGCACUUUGGUCAACUUGACUAAAGUUCGAUAUUUAUUUUUCGAAUUUUCGGUAUAUUACAAUUGGGUAUUAGACUUAGUGUAUAUAUAUAUGUCACGCCCCGACACCCGCCUAUUUGGUCAGAUUCGGGGACGCCAACAGACCGCCGAACGGACAGAGUUUUUCCUGUACGUCCUAGGCGUCACAAUCGAUACAAUACAACAGGUUCCAACUAGGAACAACAUUCAAUCAUAGAUUGCAUUAGGAAGUAUCAAAAACAUAAAUACUAAGCUAUUACAAGCAUUCAACUCACAUGUAUCUUAACAUAUUACAUUUUGCUUACAUUCAACUUUCAAAUUACAAUCUAGUUAUUACAACACUUAAUAUAAGUUUGUUCUUUGUCUUUUAAACCCCUAAGUUAGACCACAUCAGGGUACCACUAUCUCUGGUCUCGGGGUAGGGCGCUAUUUACGGAGCUAUGCCCUUUCCUCGCGCCGCCGCACCGCUUGCGUGUGAACUUGUAAUCCCCAAAACAACGUGGUGUAAGGAAGUGAAUUCUCGAAAUUCGAGAGUUAAACUUCGUUCAAAAUCGACCAAGUGUCGUGUUGGUGUGCUUUGGAAAAGCCAAAGAUGACAAAAUCACUAAAAGUGCAUUGGAAACGAGUCCACGAGAGCAAAUAGUGCAAAACCUGCACUGGAGCAAAAUUGUGCUUGGGGACCGGUCCCUGGUAGGGAGAGAUCGGUUCCAUCGGCUGGUGGUUCCGGGGAUCUUUGAGGCAACUGGUCCCUGGCAGGGAGAGACCGGUCCCUGAACGUGAACCAAGCGAGAAAGCCAGAAAUUUGGCUAAGUUCCGAAAAUCCUGCUCUCGGGAACCGGUCUCUCGACGCGAACCCAGCGAGAAAGCCAGAAAUUUGGCUAAGUUUCGAAAAUCCUGCUCUCGGGAACCGGUCUCUCAGUCAAGGACCGGUCUCCCGGGACCGGUUUCUCGGGAAGGAACCGAUUCCCGAAUGCGUGACUCGAGCUGAAGCUCUCGGGGACCGGUCCCAGGUCGGGGAGACCGAUCCCUCUGGGCGCAGAAUGCCCAGUGAGGGCUGUGCACAGAGAUGAAAGUUGAGGGAUUUAUUUGGAUAUUGUUACAUUAGAGGGGUAUGUAGGCCCCCUCUCUCUCUCCAACCCUCAUUUCUCCCUCACUCUCUCACACUCUCUUGCUCCCUGUCUCUCUCUAGAAGGAAAAGAGAAGGAGAAGAAGAGAAAGAGAAGAAGAAAAAGGAGGAGGAGAUCAAGCUCAAGGAGCCUUGGAGCAUCUUCAUCUUCCUCUCCUCACCAUUGGAGUAGCUCUAGAGGUAAGCUACCAAACCCUAGCUUGUGGAACUUAAGUUUUUUGGGUUUUAAGCUUCGGAAUUGGGGUCAAAUGGACCCCAAGUACCAUUGUUGGUGGAUUAAAGCUAGAGUUGAGGUUCCAAAAUGCAAAUGGCAAGAUGUGAACCCUAGGGCUCCAAAAAAGGGGUUUUUUGGUAAGGUAUGAGAUUGAUCUCAUUUAAGGCCUUGUAAACCUAAUUGCUAGGUGCCUAAACGCGGGGGCGAAGUCGGAUUUUGCAUUCGUCAAGUGGGUCAAGAGCUAUCGACAAAAUAAGGCCGAUUGAGCAUCAUUUUGAUCCAAGAAGAUCGAGACUUCGUCGUAAAGUUCGUUGAAGGGCAUUUCUAGAGCCUCCAUAAGUGUAGUAGAGAUACUAAACUUGAAUGAGUGGCAUGUCAACUAGUUAGAAGAUAUUACUACAACGACUGAACGAGUGGCAUCUAGUCUAGUAUAGUAAACAUGACAUGGUUCUUGGGAUAGUAGAGGUGUGACGCACUGGACCUUUGCAAAUUUGCAAGGUUCGAGUAAUUGGAUGUGUUUCGAGCUUUUCCACACUUGGUGGAGGGUCGUAGAAUGUUUUUCGAUUCAAAAAGUUCGGAAACUUGAGUUUUGGACGAAACCUGAGAGUUUUUACUCUCGGGGACCGGUCCCUGAAUGGAGAGACCGGUCCCCCAGUAAACAAUGUUGCGCUGUCGGCAAGGCUACCGGUCCCUAGCAGGCGAGACCGGUCCCCGAGCGCGUCCUCGCAGUAAGAGACCGGUCCUGCGCGGGGAGAGACCGGUUCCCGAACGCUGGUUUUUCGGGUUCGCAGCGAGAGACCGGUCCCUUGCAGGGAGAGAUCGGUCCCUCAGCCCGAAAUCUGCCCAGACCGGGCUUUGCAUAGAAUGCAAAGUUGAGGGGUUUUUCUGGAUUUUGUUACACUAGAUGGCUUAUAUGGCCACACCACCUUCUCUCAUUCUCAUUUCUGUCCUCACCCUCAUUUCCCCCCACCAUUGUUAGAGAGAGAAGAGGAAGGAGAAGAAGGAAGAAGAAGAAGAAGGAUAAGGUUUUUGGUGGACUUGGAGCAUUUCUCUCCUCUCCUUCUCUUUCCACCUUGUUGGUGCUUGAGGGCUUGGACUUGGAGCUUGCAAAGGAGGAGAUCUUCACCCUUGGGGCUUGGAUUGAAGCUUCUAAGGACGUUUGUUGCUCAUUCCCUCCUCUAGACCUUGAUUUGUUGGUUUUUAGGAGAUGGAACCCUAGAUUGGGAUUUUAGGGUUUAUUUUGGAUAUUUUGGACCUAGGGCUUUUGGAGCUUGAUCACUUGGAUUAGAGCCUUCCUUUGGGUUGGAUUGGAAGGGAUUUAGCUCUCUUUUGGAGCUUAGGAAGAGAUUUUGCACUAGAGGUGAGUUUUGACCCUAUUCUUGUGUUUGUUAAAGUUUGAUCUUAUAGUUGAUCGUAAUGCCCGUGUAUCUCUUUGCUCAAUACUUUUAGGGUAUUUUGAGGUUCGUGGACAACUUCGUUCGGCGAAACCAGGCACUACGCGACGGUUCGGUGGGUUUGACCUAGUCACACAAUGAGAAAUUCUCAUUUGUGAUGAAUUAAGUAUUGUUAAUUGAAAAAGUAUGUAUAUUCUUGUUAUAUGUAUUUAUUGUGAAUUUUAGAAUGCCUAAAAUGCCUAUAUUGCAUAUAGUAAAAUUUGGACCUCUAUAUAGUAGAGAGUUGCUUGAGAGAGCUUUGGUUUGCAUUUGGCAUUCUAUACGAGACUUGGUUUCAUACUUCUAUAGCGUAAAUGAGCCUUGAUUCAUGCAUUUAAACUUAGAUUUAAUUGUGACAUGAAAGAUGACAAGAUUGCCAUAUAGAGGUAUUGAAGUAGAAUGUAUACGAAUUAGAGAGCUAAUGUCAUCAAGCGGCAUCGAGCUCGGGACAUGUGUGAACCUAGUGGUUAGAGCCAUUGCGGGACUUGGUUUAUGUUGAACAUCAAAUUGCCUAAGUGUCAUCAAGAGGCACUAGGCGUAGUGAGUGUUUGGAACUUCGCUUUGUGACUUAAACUGGAUCUUCGGGAUGCUAGUGACGAUACCAUGUUAGAGACAUGAGGAUUGGAUACUUGAGACUUGGACUAUGCUUGCUUGCCAUUUGUGCUCAUUCGCACAUGCUUGUGAGGGUCGCUCCCUACAAGCCGGCACUCCGGAGUUAGCCUACGCGACUUAUGUUCGCUCGUGCGGUAUUGAGAAGCCUACGGGGUCGAGUGGGACAGACACAUUCCAAGAGUAGGGAUGUUGGGCUACCACAGGCACUUAGGCGGCACAAGCUGGACUACCUUUGGUAGGUCCUUAAUUGGAAAUGGAAAUCGACACGGGAUGAGUUUGUUAUAAUCACUACUAAAUAGAGAGUAGUAGUUGGAUUACUCGGACUUGCUUCUAGUAUAGAUUUGGACUUUGGGUAUACAUACAUACAUGUUGUAUGCUAGGAGACAUUGCUUACUUGCAUUCAUAUAAACAAUGUUGCUAUGAUAAAGGAUAAUCCUCAUAAUUUCAUUAAGCAAACCAUGACAUUAUUUAUGGCUAAGUAGAGACAUAUCCUUCAUGACAAGAUAAUUGUGCAUUACAUAAAUGCCAUGUUUAAUUGCAAGUAAUAGUUUAGCAUUUUCAUUAUGCUUUCAUAAAUGCAAUUACUCGUUAUUACUAUUGCUUUCGACUUACCCUUUCCUUUUGGGGCCUAGUGGUGCAUUGAGCUGAGGUCAGUAAUUGCCCACUGGGAACUAUAAAUUAUAGUUCUCACGCCCUCUGUUUUAUGUUUUCUUUCAGAGCCUUCCACGCCGGGAGAGGCUAGGGACCGUGGGAAGGGCGUUGCUUCGAGUUAGCCCUUCAGUGAGAGACGAGUUUAGGUGGUCUACCUCUCGAUGUAUUUCUUUUUGGAGAGGUUGAGAGCUGUACCAGUGUACUAGAGACCACCCUUCUGUGUACCUUUGAGAUAGAUUUUGUACUACUUAUAUUUACUUUUAUGGUUUAGCUAUGUUUCUUUUUACUCUGGUUUAGAUGAUAGAACUUACUUGCUCUGAUAUCGUUAGUUGCUACUCGUUUUAUUUAUUCUAUUCCUUGCUUUUAUUUUCGCUGUUGUUGUAGACGCCUUAUAUGUGCAGACAUAUGGCGGGUCUGGGCGCGCUCUCGGUAGGGCCUCUGCCGGUCCCGGGGAGUGACAAGAGGUCCCGGCAUCUAGGAUGCAUUGUAUAUUGUGCAGCAGAGGCACAUUGACCCUAGUAGAUAGGGUAUCUUCUUGAGAGGAUUGGAUCAUACUCACUAGUCUGUUUUCGCUUGUCGGUGGUCGCUCCACCGAGGUAUAAGAGUGAGUCGAGGGCUUAACCUACGGGUUAGCCAAGUAGAUUGGGUAAUAAACAUGAAAUGCAUUGUAAAUUUGCAUUAUUAUCUUGAGUAGACAUAAUGUAUGUUGUAGAUUGCAUUGCUAUGUACCUUUUCAUACUCAUGACAUGAUACUAGCAUGAUAGUAGUUGUUGCAUGCAUCAUCAUCAUUGGUGGCAUGAUAGAGUAGUUAUAGUUUAUUUCUCUAUGUAUCUAUCUAUCUUUCUAUCUGUGCCAGCUUAGACCUAGUGAAAAAAUCGGCGGAGUCGGCGGCCGAACCCACUGGAAACUAUAUUUAUAUAAUUUUCACCCCAUGUGAUUUUGGGGUACAGGUACACACAGGGGCGAGCCGAGCGAGGAUCGCAGCAAGGGCAUAACGCCCUGAGUGAGUUAGCUAGUAGCUUUCCUUUAUGCAUUAGAGUACCCUCGUGUACUAGAUACCAUAUAUAUUUGGGAUAGGCAUUGGAGAGCCAUGAUGUAUUUGGAAAAGAACAUGUAAUUACAUUUUGGAAGAUGAAAAUGUAAUGUAACCAAAUGAUGUAAAAAAGUUGAAUGGUUGUUGUUGAACCAAUACGGCGCAGACAGUUGGCACACCGAGUCCAUAUAUCGCUGGAUCGGGAGCACGGAAAACGCGCCAGGGGAUAUGAGCUGUGAUUAUUUGAAAAAUGAUAACCGUAAGCAGUUAUGGGCAGUUCCCAAUGGCAGUUCCAAUCGGCCGAACGUGGCCUUCCAAUCCGGAGAAGAUGGCCGAUCGUGCAAUAACUGAACACAAGGGGAAAAUAUAUAAAUAGGCCUGUAGUACCCUAAAAAGGGGUCUUNGGAGAGCCAUGAUGUAUUUGGAAAAGAACAUGUAAUUACAUUUUGGAAGAUGAAAAUGUAAUGUAACCAAAUGAUGUAAAAAAGUUGAAUGGUUGUAAUAGCUAGAUAUUUUUCUCUUUAUACACUUGUAUUUUACUUGUGAACGUUGACAUCGAUUCAUUCCAACAUUACACUCUCGGGGCUUAAUAGAACAAUAUAAUUAGGUUUUACUCUUUGUUCGAUUGAAUGAGAAAAAGUACUCGUUGCAAAGUUAUACUGUUAGGACAGAACUGAGUAGUCUAAUGUUGUUCCGGUUUUGGUUCUUGUGAACGUUGACAUCGAUUCGUUCUAAAUUUAUUCUCUUGGGGCAUAAUAGAACAAUAUAAUUAGCUUUUACUCUUUGUUCGAUAGAAUGAGAGAAAGUACUCGUUGCAAAUUUAUACUGUUAGGGCGCAAGUUAGUAGUCUAAUGUUGUUCCGGUUUUGGUUCUUGUGAACGUUGACAUCGAUUCAUUCCAAAUUUACACUCUCGGGGCAUAAUAGAAUAAUAUAAUUAGCUUUUACUCUUUGUUUCAGAUUGGAAAUCAUGUGCUCUUGAAAGUCUCGCCGACUCGAGGGAUUAGAAGAUUUGGAAUCCGGGGCAAGUUGAGCCCCCGAUUCAUUGGAUCAUAUGAGAUUUUGAAACGUGUAGGCCCGGUGGCAUACCGACUUGCUCUACCACCGAACCUAUCGGAUGUACACAACGUCUUUCAUGUAUCAAUCCUUCGGAAGUACAUUCAUGAUUCGGCUCAUGUGCUUAAUGCGAUGCCUUUGGAGCUGAGGGAGGAUUUGAGUUUCGAGGAGCAGCCUGUGAGGAUCUUAGCUUGUGAGGUGAAGAUGCUGCGAAACCGCGAGAUCCCCUACAUGAAGGUUCUUCGGAUCAAAUUUAAAUUUUAAUGUAAAAUAGAUGGAUAGAGCAUAUUGAUAUUCUGGCAAAAAUUUGGAUAAGUAUGAAUUUAUUUCUAUUCUAGAGAUAAAAAAAAAUUAAACAAAUUUUGAAUUAAAAUAUAGAUUCACAAUAGAUAUCUUUCGGUUGGCAAAAUUUGAAUAAGUAUAUAUAUUUUUUUAUUUUAGAGGUAAAGAUGAAUUAAAAGUUUGUUUUAUUAUGUUAUUUAUUUUAUGUAAGGAAAGAGGAAUCAAAUUUUUUCCCCUAAAAAUGGGUCUGCUGACAUAUCGAAAUUUGAAAUACGUGCUAGAUAGUAUAGAUAUUAUAUUACAGUUAGAGAUAAAAAGAAUUAAAUAAAAAUUUAUAGUAGAUAUUUUCAGAUUGGUAAAAAUUUGGAUAAGCAUAAAUUUUUUUCUGUUGUAGAAAUAAAGAGGAAAUAAAAGUUUGUUUAAUUCUAUUAUUUAUUUUACGAAAUACAUGCUUUUAUAUAUAGUAUAGAUAUAGAUAGGGGUGGCAAUCCAGCUCGCUGUUCGUGAGUCAGCUCGUGUUCGGCUCGAAAUGAGCUCGAGAUCGGCUCGCUCGUUUAGUAAAUGAGCCGAACACAAGCUAGAUUUUUCAGCUCGUUUAAUAAACGAGAACACGAGCUGGGGUCAGCUCGCUCGUGUUCGGCUCGAUAACAGCUCGAAUGCAUAUAUUUUAUAUUUAUAUACUUUAUUUAAUUUAUAUUUUAUAUAUAAAUAAAUAAUUUUAUUAAUAUAUAUUUUUUAUUAUUUAUUUGUUAGUAAAUAAACAUAUAAAUGCGAGCUAAUUAUAAAAAACUUAUUUAUAUGUCAAAGUUUCAAAUAUUAGAUCAAAGUCUAAUAGAUAAGAAUUAAUAACAUUUAUUUUUAUAUAUAUUUUCUAAUCUAAUUAUUUUAAUUUAUGGUUGUGUGGCCAGCUCGUGAGCCAACUCGUGUUUGGCUAUUAAUAAAACGAGCGGAACACGAGGCUGAAUUUUCGGCUCUCCCGGUACUUUAACGACCAGCUCUGUUCGGGUCGUUUACAUAAACGAGCGAACCACGAUGGACCCCGGCUCUCGGUUCGUGUUCGCGCAUCGUUUACACCUCUAGAUAUAGAUAGUAUAAAUAUAGAUAAUAAUAAUAAUAAUAAAAUAAUAAAUUAAGAUUCGAGUCGGGUUCAGAUCGAAUAAAAUACAAAAUUCAUAGCCCUAUCCACAUUUAUUAGAUUUUUCAGUUCGGAUUCCCAUCGAUCCUUCGAGACACCCGUACUCCCCUGCAGCUCCUCCCUCCCGAUCUCCUCCUUUCCCUUGUUCUCGAUCACCCAAGCCCUCGUCCUUACGAUCCCCAUGGACGGCGAGGGGGGCAGCGGCGGCGGAACCCUUUCGGAGAUCUACCAGAGCGCACGUCGCCUCCUCCUGCGCGCGAGGGAUGGGCUCGAGAGGCUCGAACGGCUCGAAUCCUCCUCCUUCUCCUCCUCCUCAUCGUCGCCCUCGCUCGGGGUCGGCGCCGAUUCGCCCGAGCUCGCCUUCGCCAUCAAGAGGGAUAUCGCCCAGAUCCGGUCACGCUGCGCCGAGAUGGAUCACCUCUGGCGAUCCGUCGCUGCCAAGGGCCAGCGGGAUCUCUGGAAGAGGUAACUGAUCUGGAAACCCUAGCCAUUUCAAACUUGAUUAGGUUUUGCUGCUAUGCUAUGCUAUGCUAUGCUAUUCAGUGGGUUGAUCUGGAGAUUUAUUUAUUUUUAUUUUUAAUUUAUUUUUUAAAUAAGGCAGAAUUGAAUUGAUGGGAAAUUAGGGGAUCGGGGGAAUGUUAUUAUGAUUUGAAGAAUGGUUUGCUCAUGAUUUGGUUUGAUCUCAAGAUCAGCGUUCUCACGAUUAUUAUCUAAUAAAUGUGCGUUUGCUGGUAACUCACCUCGUUCCUUCUUUCUUCGCCUAUGCUUAUUCCGUGUCGUAUAUCGAUUUUGUGUAGUUGUUGGCUCUUGAUUGUGAGGAAUGAGCCUGCGUCGAGCUGACGAAUUUGCUGGGAUCAAUUUCUCAAAUGUGGGUAAAAGAUGCAACCCGCCGAGAUAUUGCUGCUACAUAUUUUAUCCCUUUUUGUCCUUGUUAAUUUCAGUUGGUUUUCUUUCAUUAAUUCAAUUUGAAAUUUUUAUCCCAAUCAAACUAAAUUGGUGGGUAUCAGUAGUUGAAGAGAUUGUUGUCUCUGAUAUUUUUAUUAGUUAUGUUGCUUAUACAAGAGCCUAAUUUUAGACUCUCUCAUCUAAAAUAAUAGGAAUAAGAGAUUUUCUUCAUAUCUCAAAGUCAUUCUUAAAUAAAAAGAGUGAGAGAAUAUAAGAAGAAGAAUCUGUAUUUUAUAUUUCAAAAUAGGAAGUAGCAAAACUGAUAGAAGAAUCAAUUAGCAUAAAAAAUCUAGCCAACAGAAUAUGGGAUUAGAAAAAGAAUCAGCUUAAAAAUAUCCAGAGAAGAUAGAAAAAAACUUAAGUGAUGAAAAUGCACCAAUAAAAGAGGCAACAGUCAACUCAAAUCAAAGGAAAGCCUAAAUUUAAGUUCUAUAAUGUACUGAAAUAAAUUUUAAACUCGUAUUUUAGAGUUAGGAAAUCUGCAGUAAUUGGAGUAGAUGAAGAAAGUACGCUAAUCUUUAGGAGUAGCAAAAUUUGGAGAACAUCUAAAAUAAAAAGAAUAAAAGGAAUAAGAGAAUAUAAGAAGAAAAAGCAUCAACAUUUUACAUAUGAAAAAGGGAAAUAGUAGAACUAAGUAGUAGAGCUGAUAGAGGAAUUAGUCAGUAUGAAAUAUAGUCAACAAAAUAUGUAAUUAGAAAAAGAACCUUCUACAAUCUAGAGAAGAGACAAAAGACUAAGUGAUGAAGAUACACCAAUAGAAGAAGAAGCAACCAACUUAAAUCAAAGGGAACCCUUCCAAAAUUGGAAAUAACUAAUAUAUUGGUUCUUUUUUCUACAAAGGAUUUUCUUUAAAAAAUAUCUUUUCUUUCUUCAUUUUUGCCCACCUUACUUGUCACGUCCCGAGACCGCCAAUUUGGUCGGAUUGGUCCUGCACACAGACGCCAAACGAACAGAACCUCCUCUGUUCGCCUAAGGCUCAGCAACAACAACUAAACAUGUAUAAUGAAAUGCCCAGAAAAAUUUCCAGUAUAUAUGGCUUACACGAAGGUAAGCAACACAAGCAAAUGAAAGUAAACUAACUAAACCAUUCAUACAUUGUAACUUGAGUACUUUAAAUCAAAUACAAAGCUUACAUGUCACGCCCCGGAGACGGCAAGGCCCUCCCGGUAGCGCGCCCAGACCCGCCAUAUGUCUGCACAUAUAAGGCGUCUACAACAACAGCGGAAGAGAAGCGAGAGAUAAUCAACAACUAGAGAUAUCAAAGCAAGUGUAACAACUAAAUACUAACAACAAGAGAAGGAAGGUAAAGUAAUCCACUAAAAGUAAGCAUAAAGUAGUACAAUAAUCAUCUCCAAAAGGGUACAAUAAGGGGUGGUUUCUAUACAUGGGUGAAACUCUCAACCUUUCUAAAAUGAAAACAACGAGUGGUAGACCACCUAUAGACGCGUCCCUCGAAGCAGCUAACUCGAGGCAAUACCCUUUCCACGGUCCCUAGCCUCUCCCGGCGUGGAAGGCUCUGAAAUAAAACAUAAAAUAGAGAGCGUGAGAACUAUAAUUUAUAGUUCCUAGUGGGCAAUUACUGACCUCAGCUCAAUGCACCAUUAGGCUUCAAAAGAAAAGGGUAAGUACGAUAAGCAACAAUAGUAGUAAUAGAUGAUAAUAAACUGCAGAAUUGAAAGCAUGAGUGAAAUGCUAUGCCACAGGUAAACGUGAUGUAUAUCAAUGCUAUCAUGUUUGAAUAUGCCAAUGUCGGGUAAAUACGCUCAUCAGUUACCAAGUAUACUAAGAUGCGAUAAGUAAUCCUAUCAAGUAUACUACAUGUCCCAAUAUCUCAAAGCCACACUAUGAGUAUGUCCAAUAAUCCAACUGCUAUGAUCUAUUUAGCAGUGAUUCAAAUUUAAGAGGUUAUGUUCAAGUUCAAUCUUGUUUUGGAACUUACACGAGUGUAGUCCGGCUUGCGCCGCCUAAGUGUCGGUGGUAGCUCCAGCAUUUUCACUCUGGAAAUGAGCCUAUCCCUCCCGAUCCCAUAGGCUUCUCGAUACCGCACGAGCGAUCAUAAGUCGCGUAGGUCAACUCCGGAGUGCCGACUUGUAGGGAGCGACCCUCACAAGCAUGUGCGAAUGAGCACAAAUGGCAAACAAGCAAUAUCAUCGUCUCAAGUAUCCAAUCAUCAUGUCUCCAACAUGGUAAAAGUCACUUGUAACCCGAAGGUCUAGUUCUAUGUCUCAAUAUGAGGUUUAAUCGUUCAAUCAUUUCUAUGUCAAUGACCAUAGCUUUACUACGUCAAAUCCAAGCCCAAUGCCCCUUUUAUGACAUUAGCUUACUAAAUCACGCGUCAUGUACAUCUAUGUUCUUUGAUUUCAUUACAUUAUGCUAAGUCCAAAUUCAGUCCCAACACUAGUGCUGCUUUAUGACACUAGGUUUCACUUGUCCCAAUUACAUCACACGCCCAAUGCCCCUUUAUGACAUUGGCUCAAUAGUAAGCUAAUAGUGUAAGUUUCAAGUCUCUUCACGGCAUUAUGUAUGGUCCUAUGUCCAACAUGAGAGUUAUGUCUAAAUGCACAUUAUCCUUCUCAUUCUCACUAUAUAAAACAUGCUCUUGAGUCUUAUCUAGAAUGCUAAGCACAUGCAUAAGUCUCACAUGCCACUCUCUGCUACAUAGAGGUCCAAAAAUGUAUUAUAUACAAUGUAGGCAUUUUAAGCAUUCUAAAAUUCACAAUAAAUACAUUUAUCAUGGAAAUGCAUGAAUUUCUACUUUACGAAGUAUAGAACAUCGGAUAUGAGAAUUUCUCAUAUGCUAGGCUAGGUCAAACCCACCGAACUUCGCGCAACCCUUCGUUUGCUCCAACGAAGAUGUCCACUAAGCUCCUAACACCCUAGAAGCAUCAAAAAGUGAGCUACAAGAAGUAAACGAACAACUAUUAACUCAAUCAUUAACCAUCUAGGCAUAGAGGGCUAAACUCUCACCUAUAGUGUAGAAAUCCCUUCCCAAAGCUCAAAUGGAAGCUAGAUCUCUCCCAAAGCAACCUAAACCAAGGUUCUAAUCCAAAUAGAUUAGCACAAAAAGCCCUAAAUCAAAAAGCCCCAAUUUAACCCUAGAUUUUCCAUUCUAGGGUUUCAUCUCCCAAAAUCCACCAAAACUAGGUUUAGAGGGGAGGAACAAGCAACAAACCUCUUUAGAAGUUCCAAUCCAAGCUCCAAGAGUGAAGAUCUCCUCUCUUGCAAGCUCCAAAUCCAAGCCUCCAAGCAUCAACAAGGUGGGAAGAGAAGGAGAGGAAAAUGCUCCAAGUUCUCAAGCUAGAUCCUCCUCCUCUUCUUCUCCUUCUUCUUCUUCUCUUCCUUCUUCUCCGUCUCUAUCUAGGGUGUUGGGAGAAUGAGAGAAAGAGAAAUGAGAAAAGGGAGAGGGUGAAAUGGCCAUGUAGGCCAUCAAAUGUAACAAAAUCCAAAGAGGCCCCUCAAUUUCCCAAUAUUGCAUCAGCUCGGACUGGGCAGUUUUCGGACUGAGGGACCGGUCUCUCCGAUCUGGGACCGGCCUCUCGGCCUGCCCCGAAAAUCCAACGUUCGGGAAUCGGUCUCUCCCUGCAUGGGACCGGUCUCUCCCCGCAUGGACGCGCUCGGGGAUCGGUCUCAUCCGCCAAGGACCGGUUGCCUCAAGGCUGCCGCACUACUGUUCCGGGGGGACCGGUCUCUCCUAGCCAGGGACCGGUCCCUGAGAGUAAAAACUCUCAGGACUAGUCCAGAACUCAGGUUUUCGAACUUUUUAGGUCGGAAACAUUCUACGACCCUCCACCAAGUGUAGAAAAGCUUGAAACACAUCCAACCACUCGAACCUCGCAAUUUGCACAGGUCCGUGUGCUACAUUACAGGUUAUGCAUUCACACAUUUACAUUGCCAUCUCUCAAUGAAUAACUUACAUUUCCUUUCAUCAACUAUAAACAGAUGAAAUAUACAAGGUAUAGCUAUACUCAAUAGAUGUUGCUAUCUAUAGCGCGUUGUCUCUGUCACGAUCCUCAAUCACCCCGCACGAGCUAGAACCUGCAUGGUUAGUGGGGUGAGAACUACUAAAAAUUUCCAGUGGGUUCGGCUGCCGACCUCGCCGACUCACCUACUAAGUUUACUCAGGCAUAUAUAGGCAAAGAAAAGAACAGAUAGUAACCAACUAUAACAUGUAAUUACUACAAUACCUGUACAAAGCUGAAAGGAACAAUAUAUAUAACAGAUGAAAAUUAUGCAUGCAUGCUAUUAAUAACCAUUACCCAAUCAAUCUGGUUAACCAUUUGGUUAACUAUAACUUACCAACUCAAUCACUUUUGUCGGGCCCUAAGCUGCCUCCCGAUGGGACCGUCUACUGGGAAGACUUAUACGAUCAACCGAGUUGAUGACACACUCCGGAGCUCAUCGCCCAAGGAGGAGAGACCUUACCUUGAGCAUUAGACUAAUGUGAGUAUGAUCCAAUCCUCACUUAGAGGAUGCACUGACAAUGCCACACUUUGACUAGCUCUUUAUGCUAGAUUUACAUGUCCAACUCUAGAUGCUAAUCAGUUCAUCUAGUUUUAAUGCCACACAUUUUACAAGUUCAUACAUCUAUAGGGUUCUAUGUUUACUAACCAUUGUCCAACUGUACUUUGCUUUCAAGGUAUACAAAUAGACCACAUGUCAAUCUAAUCACAUAUCAAGCUCAAUCCUAUAAUGCAUGAAUUUCAACUAAACAUAUACAAUCCAUAUAUGCUCAAGAAAAGUGGCGUAAACAUAAUAGGUCAUUCGAUGACUUCGGAAAGCACCACCCACCUUUAAUUAAUGCCGGAGUGCGAGAAAUCCACUUCCCGCACUUUAUGAACCAUCACGACCCUCGCUCGCGGUAAACGAAGCUAAAAUGAGGUUUUCCUCACUAGCUUGCCGUAGGCUCAUCGAAACGCCGAUCUGAGCUUUCCAACGCGUCAGUUUUACCCUCUAUUAGGUUUUCACGCGAUCAAUUCCAACCUAGAGCCUCAAUCUUGCAAAAUUGCAUUUCUAAUUUUAGGCCUCACAUAACUGUUACUACACCACUCUACAACAACAUAUAAAGUAACUCAACUUUAACUAGUCCAAGAACCUCAAAACUAACAGUUUAGAGGAUUUACCACAACCCUCAACAAAAACCUGCAUGCUGGUUCAUCACAAUUCCCAGCAGCCUAGCUUACAUAUAACAUACGUAUAGUUUCAUUAUUAGGUUCCCUAACAACUUUAACUCAUAUACAUAUUGUUAACUCCCUGGUUUACACAGCAUCCAGGAAUUCCAAUUCAAACUCCUUUUCGAUAAAUAAUUACUCCAACUUACCAUAGAACUAGCAACUUAAAUUCUAUAUGCUAUCAACUUAGCAUAAUUUCUAGAUUUCCAUAGCAUUCAAGAUGCUUUAGCAAUCAAGAUUUAUAAUUUAAACUUCUUUAGAGUGUAACUAGCUUAAAUCCCAGCUGAGAAACAACUUCUUACCUCAAUUCCUAAACUUCCUCCGCUAGUUUCCUGCUCCAAAAGCUUUCUUCUCAGCUCCAACAGCAAGAAAUCUGCUUCGAAAUUCUUCUCUACCAAGCUUUUCCUCACAGCCACUACAAGCUGAGAAUUAGCAAUUCUAUUGCUUACAACUCUCUCUAAAGCAAUUCUAAAUGUUAGCUACCAAUAAUUCAUAGCCCAAACACCUCUCUAUGUUAAAUACCAUAACACAAAACAGGGAAUAAGAUCAAUCUAUCCCUGAUUGCAUUUCUAAUCCAUAUCCCAGAACAUCAUGUUCACAAAGCAGUUUUUUUAUGCUUCUACGAGCUUUCACAGCUAUAAAACCCCAAAUUAACCUCUUUCCAAUGUAAAGAACUAAACCCUAAUCAUAACUUGAUUAAGUUUACCUUAAUUCGAUGCUCCAACAGCUAGCUUCCCUGCUCUAAAGCCUUCUCUUCAGCUCAAAACACCAAAAUCUGCACUUCUCCAACUUCUUCUUCACCAACUUGCUUCUAGGGUUGAGAGAGAAAGAGAGGGCGAAAUAGAUAAGAAGAAGGCUGUAGGAAGGAGCCCCUGGUACGUGGGCACCUGUAAAAUACCUGGGUUAAAGAGAUAAGACUGGAAUUUUACAACUUAACCCCCUAAAUAGCCAAAAGUGCAUUGCAGUCCAGCAAAUUUCGCAUGCUGGUACCGGUACUGGCUGAGGUACUCAAUGUAAAAUUCUGCACUAGCAGCAGCCUGGCAGCAGCAGCAAUUGGAGGCCUUUUUGCGCGUCUAGUUCACUCCGAAUCCAUCUAAGUACCUCCAAAACAUGCCAAACACUAUCCCCAAGCUAUCAAUUUAGUUUGGGAAUACCACAUUUACAUUAUUGCUUCUCUUUGAGCAAUUGAAUCCAAGUUAACCUUGUCAACCAAAACUCUCUUCUAAUUUCGUUUCGCGCCCGAUUUGCAUCAAACACUCAAUUACCUCCAGAAAUCAUUCCCACACCUCCAAAAUCACUCGGGAAUGAUGCACAUCCAAUUUAAACUUCACUUUGAUCUUCCAGAUCAAAGUUAGCAUCGCAACUCAAAAUUUUCAGUAUAUUACAUUACUAAUCAAGUGUAAAAACUGAAUGGAUAAGAAGAAGUAGAGAAUAUAAUAGAUAGCAAAAGAACACCCAAUUUAAAGAUGAAAAAGAAAAAAGAAAGCAGCAACAACAUGAACGUGACCGACAACAUGAACAACAACAUUAUUUUAUUGUGUAGUAGAUGGAACAUAUCAAUAGUAUGAACAAUGCAGACAAUGUAAACAACAAUCCAGCAACAAUAGACUUAGUUGCAAUUUCCUUUUCUUCAUAAUUUUAUUAAAAGGACUAUCACCAACACAAAGAAGGGCAAAACAACAAAGAAAGACACCUAAACAUGUGACAGAAUUCAAGCCUAAACGUAGACAAAGACUAUUUCUGAAAUUCGAGAUGCAAAACCAACCUAAUAACAUACUUAGUAGGUCGGGAAAAAAAAGAGAGAACAAAUUGUAUCCAAUAAUCUUCGUCAAACGGGAGAAAGGCUAGAUCUUGUAAUAACUAGGAGGCGUUUCCGGAUCAUCACUAGUUGUUGCUGUUGUUUCUACAGUACCUGAUGUUGCCGGAUGUCCAGUGGGUUCUUCUUCCAUCGGAUCAACAUUAGGGGGAUCAAUGAAAGCGCAGCAUCAAUACUUUCCUUAAUUUCCUUCAAGGCAGUGACAAUUUAUUUAUUUUUCUUCAAUUAAAAAAUUAUAAGACUUUUUGAGAAGAUCAGAGUUCAAAUUAAACAUUUCGUACUCAUUUUGGAGUUCCAAAUGCUCAUCAUAAAUACGAUCAUGUAAGUUCUUAUAAUAUUUCUUGUUCUCAAAAUUAACAUCUCUAACUUUAAAUCCCAAUUCUUUACGAAGCCUCCUAAUAGCUGCACAUGCGGCAUCUCUUUAGCUUGAUUCGACUCAGAAAUUGAAGCACCAUAACAUGUAAUUAUCUUCAUAAAUCGGCUACUUCUGGGUACUUCCACAUCAACAUAAGAACAGAAUCAACAAUCAGCAUCUAUAGUCAUGCGGUAUCUCGGGGGAGGUAAGGAAAUUUGCAAACAGAUAUUACGAAGCAACCGGCGAAAGCUGAUGUCGACAUUUAUGGAAGAAUCCAUCUCUGCAAGAAAAUGCAAGUUGCCGAAAAUUACACGGUGACCGUAUAUUUUAGCAUAGACUUGUCUUUCAAUUUAGUUAAUAAAUACAUUAUCUAUCAAUUUAUACAUAUUUGGAGAUAUACUUACAGGCAAUAAAUUUAUAAUUAAAAAAAGCACAUGAAGAGAUGCAAUAGUUAUUUAAAUUGUAAAUAUAUUUUUGAAACAAAACACAAAUUGCUGAAAAUUACUUACAAUAACAGGGAAGCAAUGCAGAAGCAAACAAAUGUAGAACGACAAUGCAAAUCACCGUCACUUUCCUGAGGGAAAAAAAGUUAUGUUAAUUAAAAAAUAGUUAAUGUCGGCUAGGAUUACGGGUAGAUAAAAUUAAAAAAUAAAAAUAGUAUAAAAAUUUUAUAGCUUACGGGAGAAAAAGGAUUGGGUUAUCAGAUACAGGAAAAAAUGGAUGUCAUAUGUGUUAUUGUAUAGCCGAAUGGACAUGUGUUAGGGUAUAGGAAGCUCUGCUGCGAAACGCUUCACCCAUAGUGGAUUAAUCCAAAAUCGAAAACGGCGACGAAGGAAGACGAAAAGACGAUGAAAGAAGCGGCGGUGAGGGGAGAAAUCCAUCGUUUGAUUCCGGCACCACAAACAGCUAGAAUAGAAGAAGAAACGGUGAUAGAAGAAGCGGUGGCAAGGAAAAGGAUCCAUUGUGCCCAAGGAAGAGGAAAAGGGAUGGUUCGGCCGGAACGUAACAGCCUAAGGAAGAGGAAAGGUCUGACUCGGUUUGGUUCAUGCAAGGAAAGAGUGAACCAGGUUAGGUUCAAGCAAAGAAAAAAAAAAUUGAGCCGAUUCGAGCAGGUUCACCCGGUUUGGUUCAAAAAUAAGAAAGAGGGAACCUGGUUCGAUUCAAGCAAAGAAGAGGGAACCUGGUUCGGUUCAAACAAACAAAGAGAAAAACUUGAGUUGGUUUGGGCACAUUAACCUAGUUCAAUGAAAGAAAGAUAGAAAUACAUAGAGGACUUGAGCCGGUUCGGGUUGGCACCAACACUAAACAAUCCGGUUCGGUUUAAGGAAAAAAAGAUAGAAACAUGUGAAGGACUUGAGCCGGUUCGGGUUGGUGCCCACACUUAGCAAAUCCGGUCCGGUUCAAGCGAAGAAAGGACAUGCUGCCACGUGGCAAAUUUAAGGGAAAUAAUGAUAAGAAAGAAAGAUAGAAAUACAUAGAGGACUUAAGCCGGUUCGGGUUGGCACCUACACUAAGCAGGACUUAAGCCAGUUCGGGUUGGCACCUACGCUAAGCAGGACUUAAGCCGGUUCGGGUUGGCACCUACACUAAGCAAUCUGGUUCGGUUCAAGAAAAAAAGAUAGAAACAUGUGAAGGACUUGAGCCGGUUCGGGUUGGUGCCCACGCUCAACAAAUCCGGUUCGGUUCAAGCAAAGAAAGGAUAUGCUACCACUGGCAAGUUUAAGAAAAAUAAUGAUAAGGAAUAGAUUGUUCUAAUUAAAGAUGUAUGCGUUGAGAAAAGUUCACUAACAUAAUUAAGGUUCCGUGGAAGUUGAUUUCUCUUAUUUAUGAUUGUUUUUCUGGAUUAUCCCUUUAAAUAUAAUGAUUUUGUGUAGUCCUUGGUUCUUACUUGUGAGGCAUUCAUUGUGCAGAGUGAACAAAUUCGGAUGGAAUUCGAUUCUUGAAUGCAUGAAAAAAACUGUAAGCCUGGAGGCUGGAGCCAGAACAUGGCUUUUUAGAAUGGCUGAAAUUACAUGAUUAGUCAUGGUAAUUUGAUCAAAAUUUUCCACUCGUCCACAUCAACUCGUUGUACCUUUGUUGAGAACAAAGAAAAUUUGAACCCUUUUUUUUUUAUCUUAUCAUAAUUGAAAUGACUAAUAUCAAAAGAAUGACAAAUGAGAACCGAUGAUCAUUUGCUCUGAGAAAAAUUUUGUUGAUUUUUAGAAAUUUUUAGAAAUGUUCCUUGAUUUAGUAAAGCAUUUGAAAAUUUUAAGACAUAAAAUUUAGUGUUUUGAUCUUGCGUGUAUUGAUUAGUGGUAGGGGUUGUGAGAUAAUUAUUCAGUAUUACGGUGCUGUACGACUCAUGUGUGGUAAAAUAAGCCAUGUAUAAGUCUUGUUAAUGUAUAACGACUGAUGGUUCUUGCGCAUUUGAGAUGUAGUGCAUGCACUUUUGAUACGUUAUAUGAUCAAUGCACUAAGCUGCUCUAUCAUUAUCUGGGUUUUGAGUGCAGUUCAACUAAUUUUUGCUCAAAGUAGGUUUUCUUCAACCAAAUGGAGAGAAUGUUAAGGACGCUUUAGUUGUGAUUAGCAGGAAAAAACAAGGAAAAGAAAAAGAGAGACAGGUUGCCGCACACUAUUUAACUCGUUUUCUUUGCUUUGUAAUUAGAUAUGCACAAUACUGUUCGUGCUCUUUGGCAAGCAUCUAACAAAUUUUGAGGCUUUUUGCAUUUUGCUGUAAACCAAUGCCUAUAAUCUAAAACACUACGUACUGAUCCAAGUACUAGCUUAUCAAAUAAUAUGUGCUCAACUUUGUCUAUCUCCUUUUGCCUAUAGUUGGAUUAUCUUUAUUAAGGCCGUACUAACAGCAGUGACAGGUAUUCUGUAUUAUGGGAAAUUAUUUUGGGCAUGUUGACACUGUAUAUUCUAAUUGGUAGCAUCUAUAGCCUUCUGUCCUCUCCUGAAAAUCACAAAGUGCAAUCAGCCUGAAUCUACAUUAUCUGUCACUAAGUCGUGGUAUAAACUAUUUUGCAUUUUGUGUUACAUUCCUUACGCCUACUUUGUUCUCCCAUUAUCAUGUUCCACCUUUUGACGAACUCAAAAUUAAAUGUGAAAAUAACAUUCCUUCUUGGUGGACUUUCAUAUUGCUUAAACUGUACUUUGCUGGAGCUUAUGGAUUAUUUCUCUUCUUUAGCCUGUGGGACCCAUGCUUCUUAGUGCUCUCCUUAAAAUUGGUUCUAUUCUUAUCAUUUAACCGGUUUGUUGUUUCCGCUAUCGUCGCUUCGGAUUCUAUGGGCCCUGAGCGCGGAGGUUCCUUCUCCUUUCCCGACCAUUUCCUCUCUUCGCCGCCUUGGUUUCUUGCAUCUGUUGAAGUCGAAGAGUUGUUCUAUGCCAUUUCUCCUACCUGCCUUUGCGUAUGUAAUUCAGUCUCGCUUCCGCGAUCUCUGCUCCUCUAUAUAAGGUGGAGAGGGAAGGGAGACAUCCUUAGGCGUAGUCUAAAACCCUAGUGCCACCCUUCCUCGCGAUCAGUGACGGCGCCUCUUGGCUCUCUCUCCCUCUUUGUGAUCUGAUUAAGGUUCGGUUGAGCUACUUGAGGGCUCACAGUGCGAUUUGGGGCGUCUUGUGGGGAUCGGAUCGCUUUAUCCCUCAAACUUUUAGGUAAGUUUUGCAAAUUUAGCUGAAGAAUCUCACUUGAAGAACAUUUUUUUUCCUCUCUUUAUGAUCCUUUUGAGGUUUAUGUUGCUAUAAUUUUGGGUUUGGAGCUUGAAUCCUUUGGCAUCGAUCUGAUCGGUUUUUCUUUUUUUAUUUUGUGCAAACUAUAAAUUAAUUUGUCCACAAGUUUAAUACCCUAUGAAGAAUCUGACAUCAAGGAGCUGUUAAUGUGCUCUUCUAGCAUAUUCGUGGAUCAAAAGAUAGAGUUUUGGUGCUAUUAUUGAUGGUAUUAUGUCUUUUUGAUGCAAUUUAAUUGUAAAUAAGUGCAAUUUCAAAGGAUGCAUGUAUGAAUACAUUCCUAUAAACUUGCAUAGAUAUAGAUAUAAACUUCUCUACACUUCUUUAGUUAUUUAGNCCGAAUUAGUUUAUCGAAACCAUGUGCAGUCAACACAACAGAUAACCACAUAAAAACACAUAAUAAAUAAAUAAAUGAUUAACUAAAUAACUAAAUAAGUGCAAUUUCAAAGGAUGCAUGUAUGAAUACAUUCCUAUAAACUUGCAUAGAUAUAGAUAUAAACUUCUCUACACUUCUUUAGUUAUUUAGUUAAUCAUUUAUUUAUUUAUUAUGUGUUUUUAUGUGGUUAUCUGUUGUGUUGACUGCACAUGGUUUCGAUAAACUAAUUCGGUAUCAAGUAUUUACUGAUUGAAUGUUUAGUAGAGAAAACAAAUAUGAAUUUUUGAUGGGUGUCCAAAAUUUUUGUUGUGUUGAAUGUACAGAGUUUUGGGAUUUGGAAAAAUAUGUUUAAGCGUUAUUGAAGAACGGAUCUUUGUUAUUUUAUUGUUCAGCUACUGGUUUGUAUGUGUUUGAUGAAAUGCCGAUUUGAAACUUAAUUCAAUAUAAAGAAAAUGCCUAUAUUUUUCCGCAUCCUUACAUUUUGAUUUUUUUAUUUUAUAGCAUGAAGAGGUGGUGAUAAAUUAUAUAAUCAGAUUAUCUGAAAAUUAAAAUACGGAUUAUGCGGUAAAUAGUUGAAUUUCCUUUUAAUUGGGCACCUCCUGUUAUUUUCUUUGAGUUAUUUAAAGUUCCAUAUCAGGAAUUGAAUAGCAAGAAAAGGUUGGAUGCAACCAACACUAUUAUUUAAGGUAGUUUGGAUGCAGGUGCUGUGGACAUUCAUUCUUGAAUGGAAUUUAUUUAAGCAUUGGUAAGAGAGGAUAAAUUGAUCUUUUGUAGGGUGGGUGGCAUUGGAUUAAGUUGAUAUUUUAUAGGGUGGGUAGCAUGCGAUUAUUUUCUUUGCAGUCGCCAUAAUAAAAUGAGUGCUACUUAGGUUGAGCGAUAUGUUGAUUAUUAAAACAAAAUGGUGGACUUGGAGAUAGCAAGGAAUUUGAAAAUCAUCUAUCAUCAUUUCUAAACAUGUAAUUGGUUCUGAUUGGUUGGCCCAAUUUGAAACCUUGAUGAGUCCGUAUAUUUGUAUACUGGAGCUAAUUCGACUAUACGCUGAAAUAAGAAAAACUUACUAUGAUGGUGGUUCGCAUUAAGAUUGGUUGGAUGGCAUCAUUCAUGUCAAAUGCAGCACUAUGCAGUAAACUGAGGACCGUAUCACCUGAGCCGUUCUCAUAUUCAAAUGCUCAGAUUUGUUGAAGCCAUCGGAACUAAUUAGAUGCUUGAAAUUAUUAAUGAACUACCAAUUUUUAUCUAUGGUUGAAUUGAAUGUGUGGAAAUAGUGAGCGAUGAUAUUAUAGGCUGAUUCGAAUUUGAUCAGGACAUUAGGGAAUUAGAAUUGCUAUUUGUUUGCUGGUGUUAAUAGAGUGUAGACGAUUCAGUAAGUACUUACACUACAUUAGUACUUUGUUAAAAACAGCUUCACUUUCUUUUUUCACACCGCCGUAGUAUAUACAAAUCAAAGAAGAUUUUGCUAACAAAAAGUGUUAUUUUAGAGUAAUUACUUUGUGGUUUUCCAUUCUACUGUUUUAGUAUAAGCUUUGAUCACAAGAAAAAAGAAAAGAAUUUUAUGCUCCAAUGCGAUUUUCCAGUAUAUGUUGCUUUUGAAUUUUUUUAGUUUUCUCUCCCCUUUUUUUGUGUACUUUGAAACUUUUUCAAUGUGUGGAGGUCCUGGCAUUAUUUUCUACCCUAUCUAUUUCUUUGUGCUGGAGUAUUCUUUUAGUUGUUGGUUAUUUGACUAUUACUUCACUGUUUGAGAAUUUCUUGCCUUUCUCCAUAAUUUGAUUGAUACUUUUUUGUGGCUGGGUAUUAAACGAUCAUAAUUUGCCUAUUUCUAAAAGAAAUUUUUUUCGUCGCGCCUUAAGCUCCCUUCUUAUAACUAUCGCUUCAUAUAUUUAACUAAACCUCACUGUCUAUUACUUCAUUUUCUUACUACCUAAGAGUUUUUUUCAGUUAUUUUGAAAGAUUGAAUAAUAAGGUUCUCACACGAUGUUGGUGAUGCCAAUGUGUGCAUUCUUGAUUUUUCUUUGAUUUGCUCUUUAAGUUUCAUAUGGAUGGAUACUUUUUUCUAUGCCUUUUUGAUAUUAUUUUAUUUAUUAUUGAUCUUCUGUUGUUAAAUUUUGAUUUAAAAAAUAUUUAUUUUCUUCAUCAAUGAUGCAAAUCAGUAUUUGACCGUAUACUCUAUUGUUUGUAUUUUCUUUUUUUUCCUGAAAUUCAUGUUCCUCAUUUGAUAGUUACAGGAUUGCUUUUUAUAUAUUUGAUGAAUUGUUAUUGCAAGCUUUCUUCUCUAGACUAUCGUCAAUAAUACAUGAUGAUAAAAAAAAAAAUUGCUUCAACAUUAAUAUCUAUCCGCUGCAUCGUGCUGGUACUAAACUAGUAUGUACUUAUUGCCGUAGUCUUUACCAUCUAAGCUUCCUUAUCCCUAAAUACGUAAUGCAGGGCUAGAGGCUUUUUAGAAGCUCUGACCAGAAACAGCAAAGAUUUGAUAAUUCUUUACAUAUUAUGACUAAUCCUUGACAUAUUAUAUGUCAUUACAGAAAACUGGAACAGCUAGCAGAAGAGGUUGACUCGCUGAAGGAGAGUCUUGACAAGCAUUUAAUGCGCCAACAAAAGCGAAUGGUCGAAGCUAAAGAAAGGGCAGAGUUACUGGAAAGAGCAGUAAGAAUUCCUUGAUUUGGAAUAUAAAAAAGAAGUUUUAAUAUCAGUUAUUUUUUUCCACCUGCAUAGUUGUUGGUCCUCUAUGAAAUAAGGAUAAUUUGGCUUGCUGUUUUAAUGGAAUAUUAGAGGUUAUAUGUAUGAUUGAUUGCAAUGAAUGGAUUCAACAUGGUUGUUGCAGAAUGGGGACUCCUCUCACGUUCUGAGGAUAUUUGAUGAGGAAGCACAAGCAAUGCAAUCAGCUCGAAACUCCUCCAUAAUGCUUGAGGAAGCUUAUGCCACUGGAGUGGCUAUUCUAUCGAAGUAUGCCGACCAGAGGGACCGCUUGAAGGUAAUUACUGAUCACCUACUUGUAUGAGACAUUCUCAAAAUCAGAGAUCAGCAUGAAUUUAAUCGACUUGAGCUUAUCUGAGACCAAAUAUAAUCAAUUUGCAAGUUAGGUCCCAUGUGGAAAAAAUAGGGCCUGUUUGAAUGCAUUGAUAUCUUGUUUAAUGUGCUUCUUUCAUUUCCUUUAGCUGGCAUGUCGUAAUUGGUUGAUGCGGUGUUGUACUAAUGUCUACCGCAGUAUAAUAUAACUUACCUUUAAAUGAUUAAUAUGAUAAAUCACAUAACAGGUGGUACUUGCUAUGUGGAAAAGAUGGAAGAAUCAAAUAUUUCAUGAUAGUUAAGAAUGUAACUCGAAAGUGGUGAUCACAAAAGAAAAACAAAAAAUCACCAUACUACACCAGAUCUCAAUUGGAUGACAUGUUGUGGCAUCCAAAUAGACCCAAGUGUCGAAAUAAGUUUGAACGUCGAGUUCUCCUUGGACUACUAGAUGUUCUUUUCUUUACUGAUAACUGAUUUCUGUGUCUGCAGAGAGCACAAAGGAAAGCGUUGGACAUCCUUAAUACGGUGGGUCUGUCUAAUUCUGUCUUAAAGCUUAUUGAGAGGCGUCAUCGUGUAGACAAAUGGAUUGCUUAUGCCGGUAUGAUCAUUACGAUUGUGGUGGUAUAUGCAUUUUGGAGGUGGACACAUUGACUGUAAUUAUUAGUGUGAUAUCUGAGAGAACCAGCAAACAAUUGUUACUGAGGAUGGUACUCGGAAUAUUCAUUUGGACUUUCCAUUGGCCGAUUGUUGAAGUUGUAUCUUCGCAAAACUAGUCUUUAUAUGUAGGUUUUUAUCAUUUUUUUUUUGAAAAGGGUGACAUUGUAUAUGUUUGUGACCUUUUUCUUUGGGUUUUCUAGUGCAAUAGUCUUCUCCUAAAAUUUUAUUUUAAAAAUAGAUCUGUUUAAUUUUUAUUUAUAAAUAUGGUUAAAAGCGGUGAACUAUUCACCACAUUCUUUUUUUUUCUCACUUCUCAUUAUAUUUCUAUGAUAGUAAAAGCGGUGAAUGGUUCACCACUUUUAUUCUUUUUCUACUCCCAAUGAGGAGUUAUGAAUGCGGUGAAUCAUUCACCGCAUUUAGAGAUCUAUUUUUAUAAUUAAUUUUUAAAAAAAAUUUAUUUUUAUAAUUAUAAAAAUCAAUAGGAUUAUUUAUAAAAUUUUUUUUUUCCUUUUCCUUUUUCCCUUCCCUAGAGUAGGAAUUGGAUUGUAGACUUGCAACAUGCUAUUUGGGACUUACUAUUUAUUUGCACGGCAUGUGCAAGUUGGUUGAAGAUGUUGGGAAUCACCGUUGUAGCAAAGCAAAAGCGAAACGCAAAAGUCUAGACCUUACACCAUUAAGAAAGACAAGCAUGUAAGCAGCAGAGCGGGGAAGACAGCAGAUUUGUUGUUCCAAAUGUUUAAUCUUGUUUUUAUUUCAGUCAAGUUUCCAUCGAAUAUUGGACAUCAAUUAGUCUCGCACGGACCUGUAACAAUUGUAAAUAAUAAUUUUUUAAAAAAGCAGUGUCGACAACAAUUGUUGGAGAAGAAAAAAAUAGAAGUUACAUAGGUUGAUUCAGUAGAUAUAUACAGGUUGCUUCAGUAGAAAAAAAAGCAGUGUCGACAACAAGUCAUAAUUCUCAUCCGCUUUUAUGUUAUCUUUUCAUACAGGUGAUGUAUUCGAUGAUGAAGAGCAAAUAAUGGGGCAAAUCAACACUAACGUAGAAGUUAAAUAUCCCUAAAUUUUGUUAAUAACGUGUUUGAGGUGAAAAAAAAAAAUUAAAAAUGAUGAAUAGAAUGUUGAACUUGUAGAAUAUUAUUUUUGAUGUGUGUAUUAAGUAAACCUUAUAUAAAUAGUAUAAUAAUAAAAUGUUGUAUUGUUAUGUAAGCUUUAUUUUACUCAAAAAAGGAAGCAGAAUACUAUAGGAAUGUUGUCAAGAUAUUGUAUUUCGUUUGUCAUGUAAUAUUAUAUAAAUUAUAACUAUUACAUGCUGCUUCUAAUUCUGACACUUUACAUGUACGAAAAAAAUUUUGUCCAUGAAUUGGAUCUGUUACUCACCUAGUUGGGGCUUCAGCACGUCUAACGACAAGAAGAAGCAACGUGAAGCUGAAAAUAAUGUUGUCCCCACUUUUGAAAUGGUCGGCCCUUGAACAAUCAAUUGGACCAGCUAGAAACACUGAACAAGAUUGUUCUGGAAGUGGCAUUCUAGUGGUAUUACUCGCUUGAAGACGAAUCCAUCAAAAUUAAAGACUACAUGGAAGAAGCUUUUCUAGCUGAGUUCACUACAGUUGACGAUAAAAUCAAAAUAGCUACCCUAGUCGCUACCAAAAAGGACAAAGGCAAAUCAAUAUCAGACUAUUAUACAAAGGUAACAAAAUUUUAGUCUCAAAUGUCAAUGUUUUGCCGUAGAACCGUUAUUUAAUAAGUGAACUACGUGCAGUGAGUGGAUUAAUUUUGCUUACAAUGGAGUGCUGUGUCCGCGCACUAUAAUAAAUAGAUUGUAACAAUUUAUACUACAGGAGGAAUCAAACAGCAGAAUCCACCAUUCAAUGGUCACCUGCUUCAACAUAGAAAUUCGAUGAAAAGAGACAUUUGCAAACAGAAUACAAAAGACACAACAUAAAAGCUGGUCCCAAAAGGUAGAACUAUAGAAGCUACAGGGCCAAAAUUACACUACCCAGUACAGAGGAGCACCCCCAGUUCAAUUUGCAGCAGCCAUCACAAAAUAAGACGCCAUAAAGUAUAGAGUUUAUUCAAACUGGAGUCCUUAUAGCAGCAUUCAACAAACACCAACACCAAAAAGAAAACAACCGACUCAACAGCGCAAGAUCGAAACAGAACACAACUAAAGCUUGUAGACUGCUAACAUAGCAGGACACUAUAACCUAAUACACUGCCCAGAGCAAGACAUAGAGACAUAGUAACAGUAGUAAAAGACUUAAUACACUCCCAAGAGCAAGACAUAGCAGUAGUAUUAAUAGGAAUAGUAGUAGUAGAAGUUGACAAAUAUAUGCAAUCAUAUCACUCUUCCUCCUCAGACUCUGCCGUCUGUAGCCACUCAACAAAGGGCUUCACAUUCUUCAGCACCUGAGAGCUCUUGCCGCCAGCUGUCCCUUCCUCAUACCACUGUGCUAUGCUUUCUUCCUCCAGAACAUCCGCAUCAUAAAGUGCUUUGAGAACGAGUGCCACCUCCUUCAGGGCUUCUGCGCGGCACUUGCCACAAAAUACUUCGAUAGCUUGGAGCAAAAGCAGCUGAGAUGCCUCAUCCUGCACAAAAGCAGCAAUGUACUUCCUUUUCUUGCCCACCUCCUUUGCAAAUCCUUUGCCAACACCUCCAAAAAGAGCCUCAAAAAGGGCUGUCAUUACGUCCCGAGAAGGCUGACCUGCUGUACCCAGAAAACUCUGAAGCUGGUUUGGGGUAGAACCCUUGUUUAUAUGAUCCUUGAUCUCCCGAAGCAGUGAAUCAUAAGCACUGAUAUUGGCUUUGUCACCAUUUUGGGUAGCACAAGAUUUUUCUUCAUCUUUGAUCUUUCCAUUAGUGAGCCCCUCUUUCUUUGCCUUCUCUUGCUUUUUGUUAUCCUGCUCAGGCUCAGUGGCGGAGAGCAUCACCAUCUCCGAAGUCACAGCAUUAAGCUGUUCUUGAAUCCGCUGCUUUGCUGCCUCCAGUGAGGUGUCGGUUUGCCACUGGACAUCAUCAUCAUCAUGGUCAUCAUUAUCACCAGCAGCAUUAUCACCAUCUUGACUCUCAACAGGCGAAGCCGAACGAUCCUCAUCAGAACCACCACCAUUAGCUUUCUUCUUCGAAACACCAGCUUUUGCACCAGAGGCUUCCUUGGAAGAAGCACCACCUUUCUUCUUCACAUCCUUUUUCAGCUUCUUCUGCUCCUCAUCAGCAGCCUCCCCUUCCUUGAGCCGUUCCUUCUCAGCCCUCCUCAUUGCCUUCUUAUUAUCUUUUCCUCCCUUCUUUUGCUCAGGUGGGUUCUUAAGAAUGAAGGUUGUGAGCUUAUCCCUCAUAUCAACAUCAGACACAUACCCACAGGCAGCACAUUUCAGGGUAAUCAUCUGAGUCUUAGUGAUCACAAUUUCAGUCUCAGGGUUGCCACAUCCGUAGCACUGCACGUACUUCUUGAUGAAGUUCUCGAGAAGGCCAGCCAGCUUGGCAGUGUCAUGGGCUCCAUUCACUAGGGAAGUGCCAUUCUUCUCAUCGAACUUCGACUGCGCACCAAGCUCACAGCCAAAGUACUUGGUGGUGUAAGAGGCUGGCCUGGCUAGUGCUUUUGCAAUGUCCACCAUGUUCACAAUGUUGGUCUUGAUACCGUUUCCUCGGCCUUCAAUCUUCGUUACCAUCUUGGGCAUCUUGUACCUAUAAAAGGCAUCAUCGCUGUUCGAAGCACCAAUAUUUUGCAAAGCCAUAUUUGCUUCCUUCUUAGAGAAUGAGAAACUUGACACUAUAUAGGCAGCAAAAGUUAGCAGUGCUGUUUCAUUCGAGGAGGCCACGCAGCUGUGAGAUGUUGAUUACAGUAGCAACUACCAAACUUUUGCAGGAAUGCCAAAUGGACUCGUGAUGCAUGCAGCCAAAGAGACUCUCGUAGGAGAGUCGGAACCUUUUUCUUGAUGUAGGAGAAUACUCUCCAAGCAAUCCAAUUGAUCCAAAGUAAAGAGAGGCUUGCUCAGACAUAAAAGAAACUUCAAUGUUCACGGCUUCCACUUUGGCUAUGUGCUUGUAACAGAACAGUCUGGAGAUGCCAACUUCCUGAAUAAGAAUUAGACACAUUAAAUUAAUAUUAAUCGAUAUCCACAAGAUUGCGUAUGCAUGAAGAGUGACAAAAUGGGAAAAUAAAAAUUAUUCUGUCUGAGGUAUCAUUCCACUUAAUCAUUCUUCAAACCUCAAAUAAAAACAAAUGCAAAUAUGAGAAAAGCCACUAGCCCACUAGCAAUUCAAUUUAGUCCGGGAAAAUGUCGAAGUAUUAUGAAUCUUUAUUCCAUCAUUUCAUUACCAGAUUAGGUAUUUAUAAAUCCAAUAAAACAGUUCGACCACAUAAUAGUAAUUAUGUUAUAUGUAGUGGUUAAAUGUCUUCUGAAACAAAUUAAUUCAUUGUAUAAAUAACAAAGGAAAGGGUUAUUCUAAUGAUAUAUAAUUAUGUUCUAUGUCAUUAUAAAAAGUGCGGUUUCUAGCUGUUAGGUAGCCACUAUUAAUGAAAAUGCUUAGUUUGCUUCGAUAAUUGAGAUGACGAACUCUAAGCCUUUCAACUUUUCCUAGUAAACUUUGUCUUCUUUAAGCUUUGCACCAUCAAAACUGUUUAGCAUUUUAUGAACAUGUUUUUCUUCAUUAUUGCAGUGAACAAGUGAAGGACAGAUUUCUACUUCACUUUUUCUUUUCAUCCAAGGUCCUUUUGUGUUGAUUUACAAAUCGAUAACUUCAUGCGCGUAAUUUAAAAGCGUAUAAACCUUAGCCAAUCAAUCAGCCUUCCCUGAGACCCAAGUAGAUUAGUAUGUAAAUAUAUAACUACUGACAUCAUAAGACAAAUCUACAAACAAGAUAAUACUUGAUGUUAUAAGAAGAGAGUCUUCCGACUGCAUGAACAAUCCACGAUAAUCAAAUUGCAAGUCCAACACAAGAAUUCAAAGUGCAGUUCAUGCGUUAGACUUAACCAUACGCCCGACCUCCAACCCAUAAAUAAUAAGUAGCAAUCACAUUAUCAGGUUUGAACUUAACACAGCCUAAGACACAAUUCUAGUGUCGAGCUUAAUUAGAGACAUGGGCUUGGCACAUGCAAAGUUUUACCUUGGAAGAAAUUCACAUGUAAUAUCUAUUUGGGAAAGGGAAGUGGAAGAGAUGAUCAACCUAAGAACAAUUGAGCACCCAUAAUAUCUCUAUAAGAAGACAGGAUAAAACCCUAGCUCAGAAAAAAUUGCAUAAAAUCACAUAUUAAAAUAACACAUAUCAUAACUACAAGAUCCGAUGAGAUCGUUUCCGAAUCAAAACACGAGGAGAGGCAAAAAAAAAAGAAAAAAAAAAUCAAAUCAAAUCAAAUCAAAACCAGAUCGAACAAGAUCGGAAGAACUCGUAACGGUGAAAAUCGAUCAACCUAUCGAUCGAUCGAUCGCUCGCUCGCUCGCUAGCUACAAGAAGAGAAAAAUUUGAACGUGUAUUCCAUUUGGGAAAGGGAAGAGGAAGAGAUGAUCACCGCGAUUGGGUUGCUUCGCCGCAGAGAGCUCCUCAGAUUUAACCUUUCCUCUUUCUUCGAUGUGGAGGAAACGAAGAGAGAGAGGGGGGCGGCGGGGUAGUAUUUAUAGCAAGGAGAAGGGGAUCGGAAGGUAACCCUUGUGUCUCAUGGUUCAGAUUUUAGGGCACCACUUACAUUAGUUUGCCCGCAAUUUGCCUUUGAAUUACCUUUUUGCCCCUCCAAAGGCGGUAGCAGCAGCCGCUGCUCAUAGGGGUGUAAACGAGCCGAACACGCCCAGUAAAAUAUCGACUCGAAAAAUUCAGCUCGUGUUCGGUUCGUUAAUAAACGAGCUGAACAUAAGCUGGCUCACGAGCUGACCAACGACCAAUAAGUUAAUAAGGAUUAGAUUGAAUAUGCAUAAAAAUAUAAAUUUAUAAAAUCUUAUCUAUUAAACUUUGAUCUAAUAAUUGAAACUUUACAUAUAAAUAAGUUUUUUUAUAAUUAAACUUUUAUUUAUAUUUUUAUUUUACUAAAAAUUAAAUAAUAAAAUUAUAUCUUAUAUAUAAUAUUUAUUUAUAUAUAAAAAUAUAAAUUAAAUUAAUUAUAUAAAUAUAAAAUAUAUGUAUUCGAGCUGUUAUCGUGCCAAACACGAGCGAGCUUAUCCCAGCUCGUAUUCGGCUCGUUUAUUAAACGAGNCUUGUUUAUUAAAUGAGUUGAAAAAUUCAGCUUAUGUUCGGCUCGUUUACUAAACGAACGAUUCGAUCUCAAGCUCAUUUUGAGUCGAACACGAGCUGGCUCACGAACAACGAGCUAGAUUGCCACCCCUAGACACAGGGGGUGUUUGGCCUAAAUUUUAAAAAGUGUUUUUGAGUUGAAAAGUGAUUUUCGGCUCAAUAGAGCGUUCGACAUCUUCAUUUUUAAAAUCUAAUUCUGCUUCUAAGAAUCAGAAAACUGAUUUGAAGGCCGCAGAAUCAAAAGUGCCGGAAGGUCAAGGAAGUUGGUAACCUGAUGACAGGGGAGCCGGCGACUGAAGCCUCGGUGAACGGCGGCCGUAACUAUAACGGUCCUAAGGUAGCGAAAUUCCUUGUCGGGUAAGUUCCGACCCGCACGAAAAGCAUAACGAUCUGGGCAUUGUCUCGGAGAGAGGCUCGGUGAAAUAGACAUGUCUGUGAAGAUGCGGACUACCUGCACCUGGACAGAAAGACCCUAUGAAGCUUUACUGUUCCCUAGGAUUGGCUUUGGGCCUUUCCUGCGCAGCUUAGGUGGAAGGCGAAGAAGGCCCCUCCGGAGUCAUACUUCCUUCACCUAAACUAGAACUUGAUUUAGCGGCUCUUUCCAAAAGGCGUGAAUGUAAAUAAAAAACAUCUCCUGGAUAAGCUUCACGACCGGGAGGUCUUCUUAAUAGAAGAGACAUUUGGCGAUAAGCUUGUACUUGUUUGGAGAGAUCAUCAUAAGCCCAUGCUAAAGUUUCAAACAAUUCUUGUCAAUAUCCACACCAUUAAAUUAAGAGCUGCUUCUUAAAAUCUAAUUAUGAUUUUAGAAUCAAACGUCAAAUUUUUAUUUUAAUUUAAAUUCAAUGUUUAAAUUUAAAUUUAACUUUAAAUUUUAAUUUUCAAAUUUAUUUUUAAAUUUUUAAAUUUUAAACUUUAAAUUUUAAAAAAUAGAUUUCAAACUUUAAAUAUUAAAUUUUAAUUUUAAAUAUCAAAUCUAAAAUUUUAAAUUUCAAAUUUCAAAUUUUAGAUUAAAUUUAAAUUUUAACAUUUUAGAUUUUAAAAUUUAAAUUUUAAAAUUUAAAAAUUUUAAAAUUUAAAUUACAAGUUUUAAUCUUCAAAUUAUAAAUUUCAAAUUUUUAAAAUUUAAAAUAAAUAUUUUUAAAUUUUAAAUUUAAAUAUUAAAAUUUUAAAUAUUAAAAUUUUAAAUUUUAUAUUUUAAAUUUAAUAAUUAUGUUAUAUUUUAAAUUUCAUAAUUAUUUUAAAUUUAAAUUUUCAAUUUUUAAUUUUUAAAUUUCAAAUUUUAAAUUUUAAAUUUUAAAUUUAAAUUUAUAUUUUUAAAUAUUAAAAUUUUAUAUUUUUAAUUUCAUAAUUAUNAAAUUAAAUUUAUAUUUAUAUUUUUAAAAUUUUAAAUUUUAAAUUUUAAAUUUUUUAAAUUAAAAUAUCUAAUUUUAAAUUUUGUAUAAUUUUAAAAUUUUAAAAUUUUAAUUUUAAUUCAAAUUUAAAUUUAGAUUUUAAAUUAUUUUAAAAUAAAAUUUAAUAAAAAUAUUAAUUUAUACAAACAUCAAAAAAAUUUUGCCAAAUAGAUUUUCAAAAUCACUUCAAAAAAAUCGCUUUUGUCUAAACUCAGCAAAACGCUCUACAGCAUUUAGCCAAAAUAACUUCUCCAAACUAUGGGCCUCUUUGGCCUAACUUCUGGAGAAGUGAUUUAUGUAAAAGUGAUUUUGGUUUGGAGAAAGAUUUGGAGAAUUGAUUUUGGUGAAAAGCUGUAGAGCGUUUGGUUGAAUUUAGAAAAAAAUGAUUGUUCUGAACUGAUUUUCUAAAGCUGUUUGGCAAAAAAUUUUUGAUGUUUGCAUAUAUUAAUAUUUUUACUAAAUUUUAUUUUAAAAUAAUUUAAAAUUUCAAUUUAAAUUAAAAUUUUAAAUUUAAUUAAAAGUAUAAUUUUUAAGUUUCAAACUUGUACAAAAAUAAAUUUGAAAUUUCAAAAUUUUAAAUUUAAAAUCUAAAUUUUAAAAUCUAAAUUUAAAUUUUCAAAUUUAAAAUUUAAAAUAUAAAAUUUAAAAUUUAAAAUAUAAAAUUUAAAAUUUAAAAUUUAAAAUUUAAAAUUUAAAAUUUAAAAUUUAAAAUUUAAAAUUUAAAAUUUAAAAUUUAAAAUUUAAAAUUUAAAAUUUAAAAUUUUUAAAUUUAAAAUUUAAAAUUUAAAAUUUAAAAUUUAAAAUUUAAAAUUUAAAAUUUAAAAUUUAAAAUUUUGAAAUUUAAAAUUUAAAUUUUAAAAUUUCAAAUUUUGAGAUUUGAAACUUAAAUUUUAAAUUUUAAAUGUAAAUUUUAAAUUUUAAAUUUGAAAAGUUGAGAUUUAAAAAUUCAAAUAUGAAUUUAAAAUUUCAAAAUUUAAAUUUAAUGUUAAAUUUAUACUUUGAAUCUAAAAUAAAAAUAAAAGUUAGAAGUUCGAGUUCAAAAUCAGAAUCAGUUUUGGAGAAGCAGCUUUUUUUUGCUUCUGAUUCUGGAGCCUUCAAAAUCAGUUUUCUGAUUCUAAAAAGCAGAAUCAGAUUUUCAGAAUGUUAUUCUCAAACACUCUACUGAGCUCAAAAGUAAUUUUGGGCUUAGAAUCACUUUUGAAUAGCUAGGCCAAACACCCCCUAAAAUUACUUUUUCAGAAAUCACUUUUUUAGAAGCUAGGCCAAACGGGCCCACUAUUCACUUCAACCUGAAUCCGCCAAACCGAAUCGGACUCGUUUACAAAUUUAAAAUUAAAAUUUUUUGAAUAAAUUAAUUUAACUAAUUUUUUUGAUAAUUAAGUAUAGUACUUAAGUAUCCACAUGUUCCGGUGGGUCGAUUUGUAAGAGAAGACGAAGAAGGAAGCAACAACGAUGAUAAAAAAAAAAAAAAAACAGUAAACGCAUAAUAAAAAGUAUUAUAAAAAAAUAAAAAAUAAAAAAUAAAAGAUGAAUACAAAUCAAAAGUGUCAUCAGUUACAAGUAUAAAUUAUUUUAGAGAUAAAGUUCAUAGGAGAAAUAAAGAUAUGAAAAAGAUAUUAUAUGAAUAUGACCUAAAACCGUUGCCUUUUUAUCAAUAAUUUUAGAAAAAUAAAUAAUUUGUUAAACACCAUAAGAAAUAAAAUCUUGUAGUGUUAAUUAGGUGCAUGAUGGUCGAACAAGCAUCCACUGCAACUAACAUUAGAUUCAUACUCAAGUUCCAAAGUACAACCAUCUGUAAAUAAUGGCGAAAGCACCGUAAGAAAUCAACAUGACAAAGAAAGGUUAGAAAAAGUAACUAAAGAAAAAAAAUGAUCAAUUAGUAGUAAUAACAACACCAACAGUAGUGAACAAACUAAAUAAAAAAAGAUGGAAAGGAGUUAGCACAAAAAGGUGUAAUAGAAAGUAGAGUCUCUCUACAAAACUGUCGACAUAGUAGCAAGAAUCAGACUGCAGAGAAUAAUACAUCAGCAGCUUGGACAAUAGGUAAGUUCUAUGUAGUCAAAAUUUAGCCAAGUGUGCUGCAACAAUUGCAUGAAGAAUGACCAGAACUACAAAAGUAUGAAAGAAGUUAAGAAGAAACUACAACUAUAACAAAAAGAAGAAAAAGAAGAAAAAGGAGCAAGAGUAGCAGAAACAAUAGUAAAGCACUAAAUAGAAAUAAAAUACCAAACAAUAGCGUAGGCAUACCAACAUAAAUUCGAUAUGCAGUAGAAACAAACGAGGAAGAAAAGUGAAUAUAAAAGCAGAAAAAGCUAUAGCAAUUUUAUUGAAAAUUAGAUUAUAAAAUUUUUGAGUAUUGUAAUGCCAUACUUAUAAGAUAAACAGUAAAGUUAUUUGUAAUAUUAUCAAUUAUGAUGAAUGAAAUCAAAAUGACCAAUAUCAAACUUCGAGAUUUGAUUGAACGAAAAAAAGGUUAGUACAUAAACACUACUAGUUGAAAUUUGCAGAAAGUAAGAAAUUUUGCAAUGCUAACAGAAAGCACAUAUUAAUGCCCAAGAAUAUAUGCUUCAAGCUACAUAGGGAACCAAUAGCAAUAGAUGCAUAAGAAGAACAAAAAAACUAGGUGCAGCACAAGAAGAAGCAACAACAGCCUUAGUGUUAGAAGUAGUAGUAGCCCCGGUAUUAGCAGUCAUAGCAACAAUUUAGUCAGCGAUGAAUGGAGAAGCUAUGGAAAAGAAAGAACAAUAAUUACACAAAUUUACCGACCGUCCCUAGAGCAAGUGGCAAAGGGCUUGGUGGUUGGUAUCCGAGACCCAAGUUCGAAUCCUAGUUGAUUCACAUUUUCAGCUAAGUUUAUUUCUAAAUAAAAUAAACGAAGCAGGUAGCAUGCUACCUAUCUCUCAAAAAAAAAAAAAAAAAAACACAAAUUUCUGAUUUCUGUUUAUUGAUUUUAGUUGUUUGUAAUAUUAAAGUUUACAAAAGUUUAACAAAUCGAGUAGAAAAAAAAGUGGUUAAAAUUAAAUCGGAAGGUGGAUUGUGUCAUUAUCUCUUCCACACACAUUUUACUUCGCAAUUUCUGUGGAAUAACAGUUGUAAGAGCUGCCAUUUGGCCAUUAGAUUUGUAUUACUAUUUAAACUUCUUUGGCCUUUUUAUUCAAACAGAAAAUUUGUUGUAUACUAUAAAGAUUAGAUCUCCCAGUAUUGCGUAAGUGCAUCAUAGGUAAGGAAGCAUCUAUUGCAGCUGUCGAGCCUGGAGAUUCAAAUCAACAACAGAAAUGACUUUUGGCAGAAACUAAAAUAUUUUGUAAGGUAAAUUUUACUAUAUAUUCAUUCAUAGUCUUUUAUAAGGCGGGUUUAUGGGUUUGUUGGUUUAUAUGGUGAUUUUAGUAGAUUGUGAACCCAAUCCCUUACCAAAUUGAACUUUGAAANGAAUUAACUAACUAUGCUCAUCGCUUGAACCUGAAUUAUUUUCCGAUCGAUACGGUUCAAUUUUAAAAAGUAAAAUAAAAAAAAAAUCAAAUAAGCUGAAUUAAAAAAUUAAAUUAUUAGCUAUUAUUAUUUUUGAAUAGAGUAAUAAAAUAAAAUGUACCAUACUUAUAAGUUCUAAUUUAAUUUUUAAAAAAAUUAUAUUAUUAAAAUCAAAUAAACUAAAGCAAACCAAAAUUAUUUGGUUUAGCAUCCAAUUCAGCUUUAUUCAAUUAUUAAAAAAAAAACCUAAAAAUUGAAACGUAUUUAGACAGCAACUAGUUAGGAAAAUUUUCUUUAUAAGCGUUUAGGAUUCAAACAACUCUAUUGUACAUCUUUGAGAUUUGAAAAGUCUAAAAAUGAAUAAUAGAAUAAAUUUAUUGCAACUAGUUUUGGUUCACGCUUCGCUACGGAUCGAUAGUAUUUGUAAUACUCGUAUCCAAUUAAAAUUUAAAUAUGCAGGUAUGAUUGUAGUUUUGUGAUAAACCUGUCAUUAAUAUUUUUUUGAUUUAUUUGUACCGUCGGAUUAAGCGGAUUUGAUUGGAUUUGAUUUUCAGAUUAAUUAUACUCUAAUACUAGUUAGAGUAUGAUUUAGAUUUAGCCCUAAUUAAUCACCUAUAAAUAGGUAAUUUAGGGAGAGUGUACGACCAAAAUAAUAAUAAUAAUAAAUAUUGUGGCCGGAUUCUUUGUCCAAGCGUGGCCGCCAGCGGGAGCAAGAUCCGACGAUCGUGGAGGAGAGAUAAAAAGAGCGAGAGCGAGGCGAGUCUCCAAUAAUUAGUUCUCUAGUUUUUUUUUCUCUCUCUUUUCUUUCUUCUUCUACCUCACCAUCUUAUCCUCUCUUCUCGUUGUACCGCCACCACCGUCGCCGGAGUGGUCGCCGGCCACCUGUAGUGGAUUCAGGUGAACCCUGUAUGGGGUGACCAUGGUUGGUCAUAAGAGGUGUCACGCCCCGCGACCAACCACCAAUUUGGACCGGGUAGCGGCGCCGCUAACAGACCGCCGAACGGACCGGGGUUUCCCCUGUACGCGGACAGAGUCUCCCCUGUACGUUCUAGGCGUCACAAUCCAAACAAUACAACGAGUGUUCCAACUAGGAACGGAUAACAAUCCAGAUUGCAAAGGAAGUAUCAAAUACAUAAAACUAACAGCUAUUACAAGCAUUCAUUCACAUUCACUUAGUACACCUCAGUUCAGUUUACAUUUUUACUUCCAAUUACAAUCACAUUAUUACGUCAUUUAAUUUACAAGUUUGAUACGUCUUGGUUCUUGCCUUCUAGUCCCCUAAGCUAGACUGCCUCAAGGNNNNNNNNNNNNNNNNNNNNNNNNNNNNNNNNNNNNNNNNNNNNNNNNNNNNNNNNNNNNNNNNNNNNNNNNNNNNNNNNNNNNNNNNNNNNNNNNNNNNGGUCUGGCAUUGGGAUUUUGGCGAGAUUUAGCUGCAGUUUAUUAUGAUCUUAAUGAUUGUAUUGGUCAGCUAACUAAUUGCCUAGGUCUCUAAACGCGGUCGGCGAAGACAGGUUUGCGUGGCACAGAGGGCGGGGGUUGCGGUUAUCGCGAGUCGGGUAUCGAGGUCGCUUCGCCGAGGAGUGUGAAGCCGCGUGCAAAGAUCGCAACAUCGAGUUAUCUAUUGGUUCGGCCGCUCGCAUAGGUGGGGUAGGAUGUCCAUCGCGAAGCUGGGCUCCUUCUUAGUCUUAGUACCACACUGUCGCAUAUCUGGACUCUUGUAUUUUUGCUCUAUAGGAACUUAUCAUGUGUUGCCUUAUCUUCUGCGCAUCCUUCGUCGAUGGCUAUCGAGCGUAAUUGGAUAUUUGUAUCAUUGGAUUGAUAAGGAUUUGGUCCUGAUUUGUGAUUAUAUGUAAAGGAAAUCGAUGAACUCAUAGAGUGAGGGGCAUCUAGUCAAUUAGUCAACCAUGACGGUGGCAUCUAGUGUAUCACACACACCAGCGAACAAACGCGACAAUCAUAGUUAAAUAGGAGGGUAAUGUGACAGCCUUAUGCGGACUGAUAUGAUAGACUGUGACUCUAGGAGACAGGGUAAUCCUCGAGCUUAGAGAGAUUUGUGAUCAUGUCACGAGUCUGAUUAAUUUGUGAGUGGGCAAGCCCACACAGGUAGGUGCGGUCCGGAUGUUGGGUCACGCGGGAUUAGGCCUAAUAUGGGCCCGCCAGCGGUCUCGCGAGUCCGGUAUGUGUCGAGGCGUUGAUGGUGCCCUGUAGCGUCGGAUCGGGGCUAGGUGAGACUGGGCGAGCUCGGGUAAGCGAUCAGAGGAUUAAUUGAACAGGUAAACAUGAUGGUUAUGGAACGAAGUGAAAGGGCUUCACCUUUGGACUUGAUGACAAGUUAAGUUGCGUUACCCAGAUUACACUUGGUCAUGCAUGCAUAGAUUAUGUUGAUGUAGAAUAGCUGUCAUUGUCGUUCGUUAGGCCCCCCCCCGCCGCGCACCACCUAUAUAUCUAUCUAUCUGUCUAUCCAUCUAUUGGUAUAUCUACUUGUGCCCGCUUGGACCUAGUGGGGAGAUCGGCGGAGUCGGCGGCCGAACCCACUGGGAACUAAGGAAGUUAGUUCUCACCCCCAUUUUUACCACAGGUUCCAGUUCGGGUGUCCCCGGUGAGCGUGAGGAUCGCGGUAAGGGCCCGGCGUUUUAGUAGCAUUAGCUACCUUCCUUUUUGCACUAGCCGUCACCCUUUUAUAUUUGAGAGUAGAUGAUGUAUAGGGUGAGGUUCGAGUGAUUGUAUUUAUAUUUUGGAAGAAUGUAAAAGAUGUAAUUGAAUGUAUUGAGUCAAAUGAAUGUAAUAGAUAGCUCUUCUCUCUUAUGUACUUGUAUAUGUUUCUAUACUUGUAUCUUGCUCUCGUCUUAUUAGCACUUGUUGUGCUCUUGUGAUUGUGUACUUAUGAGUUGAUUCCUGGGUAAACUCUUGUACAUGAUCGUUUGCUUAGCCUUGGGCGGACAGGGGAGACUCUGUCCGUUCGGCGUCUGUUCGACGCGCCCGGGCCCGAACCAAAUUGGUAGCGGUCGCGGGGCGUGACAGAAACCGAUACCAAUUUGGUCCAGUUCGGGCGCGUCGAACAGACGCCGAACGGACAGCACCUCCCCUGUCCGCCCAAGGCCAACAGCGAGAUCAUGUAAAACAAGUUCCUAGGAAAUCACUUGAAUACAUACAUGAUCACAUAACAACUAUGAGGGGAGCAGAAUCAGUGCUAAACAACUAAGAGCAAGAUACAAGUAUAGAACAUACGAGUAAUAAUAAAGAGAGAAGAGGCUAUCUAUUACAUUCAUUCAGCCUUUAUAAUACAACUUGAUUAUGCAUUAAGCUUCUAAACAUAAUAUAAAGCUUACAUCUUCUAAAAUAUAAACAUUAGCUUACAUUCAUCCCAAAAUAGCUCACAACCUAUACAUCAUCUACUCUCAAUGUAUAUAAAGGUAACUCUAGUGCAGAAAUAGGAAAGUAAACUAAUGCAACUAGGGCGCUAGGCCCUUACCGCGAUCCUCACCGCGUGAACUCGCGCUCGGCCCUGUAGUAAAAUGGGGGUGAGAACUAACUUCCUUAGUUCCCAGUGGGUUCGGCCGCCGACUCCGCCGAUCUCCCCACUAGGUCCAAGUGGGCACCAGUAGAUAAUUGAUAGAUAGAUAGAUAAGGAAAGCGGUAAAUGACAGAAGUAAAGGUACUCUACUAUGCCCAAUCAUAAAUAUAUGAAUGCAUGUACAAUGAAAUAGGUAAGCAACUAACCCAUUACCAUGUCCAAAGGUAAAGUCAUUUACUCGUUCAUCAAUCUUAUUUACUUGUUUCUUAAUCUCGUGGCUUCCCUGAAGGAGCCUACAGCUCACUAGCCAUCUCGAAGGUAGGGAGGGUCAACUCGCACUACGAACCGAGACCGUCUGCCGGGGCCUAAAAUAGGCAAUCCCUUGGGACCCAAACUAGGCAAUCCCACGUGACCAACUCCGGAGCGCACUACUUGUGUGGGGCUUCCAUCACAAGAUUUAAAACAGACCGUGAGCAUGAUCCAAUCCUCGUCUCGAGAAUACCCUAUCCUUUAGGGGUACAAUCAUCAUAUAGUCCAUAGGUUUCACAUACACUAUGACUCAUAUGUGUCAUUUGUUCUUUUGCUUACUAGCAACUAAAUGCCACUUGUUCAUUUGUUUGCUAUCGACUAGAUGCCACUCGUUCUUUGUUUAACAUUAGACCAACCGUCGAGCCCAUCUCUUUCUCUGCACUAUAGGAUUCACAAGUCUCGACCCAAUCCUUAUCGAUCCACUACUAUGUCAAGUAUCCAAUACAUGCUACGAUAUCAUCAAAGAAAGCAUAAGGAAAGGCAGUGCACAAUCAUCCUAUAAUGCAAUAAUACAAGAUGCAAGAAUCGACAUGUACUAAGACAUAGAAGGGAGCCCGAUUGCUUCGGGAUGGACACCACCCACCUUUUAUAGCGUUCCGAUUGCUCGUCGUCACUCGCAAUCGGCCUCCCGCGGCGCACGCCGCUUGGCUCGACCCAAUCCGCGCGCGCGACCACCAAACGACCUCCGAUCCGCGAUCCGAAAAUUAAAGGUCUUUGGUUUCCUAUUACGAUGCUUCAAAUCCGUUUCCAGGAUUUUACAACGUCGCCUCGGCCCUCCAGGCAGAAACGAAGCCUAAACGUCCGUUUCUUUAAUAACUUUGCACCGGCUAGACGAAUCGCCGAACCGUCGCUUCCAACGCGUUCAGUGACCUAUCAAUUAGGUUUCCAGAGGGUUAAAUGAGAUCAAACCCUCAUAUUUUCAAAAAUUGCAUUUCAAGCCCUAGGUUUAUAACUAGGUAAGAAUUAAUUAAAUUGAUCCUAGAUUCUAGCAAUAAUCAUCUAUUUAGCAUGCUAGAAUAGCUCUAAAUCCAUUCUUGAAGCUUAAAACCCAAACUACAAAGAGAUACCAUUAAAGGGUUUUGAAGCUUACCUUCAAACCAUGCUCCAAUGGAGAGGAAGAAGAUGGAGAAGAUGGAAAUCCACCUUAGAGCUUCAAUCUCCACCAAAAUCAUCUCUUUUUGGGAGAGAUUUAGAGAGAGAAAGGAGAGCUUUCUCCUUUCCCUUCCAUGCGUGUAUGGGUGUGUGUGUGUGUGUCGGUUUGGGGCUGCUACGGCUGAGGAAGAAAGGGAUUUGAUCCCUUUUUACGAGUUAGCCCCUCAACUAUGCAAUCCUUCAAUUUAGUCCCUAAAUCUGAUAAGUUUCGUUGGAGCCCUUCUGGAUGUCCGAUUGAGCUCAAAUUUGACAGGCAUGCUCAGUUUAACGUACUGAGCAAGAAUAUAUCUUAAGUUUUCAGUUUCGACCCCGUUUGGUCACCGAAAACUGUGCCGAACUGCAAUCUUUAUCAGAUAGCCUUCGGAUUUUAUUUCUCACUCUACGGGUGUCAGAAAAAUAUGAAACCUUAAAUCUAGCCUCAUAAAAAUAUUCCUGACUUAUUCUCUAAUUUUCAUAAUUUUCUGAGACUGCAUUUUCUGCUAAUUUUUCUGUCCCGUUUCCAACAGAAAAUUUCAGAUCUUCUGUUUUCAUCCCGAUUUCAGCACAAGUCACUUCUGACUUAUGUUUUACUUCUCUAAAUCCAAUAAAAUAGUAUCUCAUACUAUUUUUAUUUAUUUAUUUAUUUUUUAUUUUUAUAUUUAAAUCCGGUAUGUUACAUUACACCGCAACCUUCCCGGAACCAUUCAAAUGGCUCUCCAACCAAAUGGACACCGUAACCUCAUGAUUUUCGAAGUCCGAUACCCUACAUCCUCCCCUCCUUAAAAAGAGUUUCGUCCUCGAAACGAACUCAAUAUUGCAAAACUUAUUUAGAACUUUAAAUUCUAAACUCAUACCUUGACUUAAUCCUCGAACAAGUGAGCAUGAUUCGCCUUCAUCUCCUCCUCAAGCUCCCAGGUGGCUUCGCGAUCGUCAUGAUUGCUCCACCGAACUCGGACAUAAGGAAUUUUCCGAUUCCUUAACUUGCGCACUUCACGAGCAGUAAUCGCCACCGGAAACUCCUCAUAACUUAGGUCUUCCUGAAGCUCCGGUGGUUCGUAUAACAUUGCAUGCUCGGGAUCAGGUAUGUACUUGCGCAAAUUGGAGACGUGGAACACGUUGUGCACAUCCGCUAGUUUUGGAGGCAACGCGAGCCGAUAAGCCACCAUUCCAAUCCGUUCCAAGAUCUCAUAGGGGCCAAUAUAUCGGGGACUUAAUUUUCCCCGAACUCCAAAUCGCUUAACGCCCCUCAUAGGCGAAACCUUCAAGAAAACGCGGUCGCCCACCGCGAAUUCCAAAUCCCGUCGGCGCCUAUCCGCGUAGCUCUGUUGUCGAGAUUGCGCAGAGAGUAACCGCUUCCGAGCAAGGCGGACCUUUUCUUCCGCCUCCCGCAACACAUCGGGGCCAAAUUCCGUGCGCUCGCCCACGUCACUCCAAUAAAUAGGAGAGCGGCACUUCCGCCCAUAAAGAGCUUCGAACGGUGCCAUCUCCACGCUAGCGUGAUAACUGUUGUUGUAGGCGAAUUCGGCCAUUGGCAAAUACUUACACCAACCUCCUUUGUAAUCGAUGACACACGCUCGCAACAUAUCCUCCAGAGUCUGAAUAGUCCUCUCGAUUUGUCCGUCUGUCUGGGGAUGGAAUGCAGUGCUAAAAUCGAGCCAUGUGCCAAGGGCCUCCUGUAGGCUUUUCCAGAAAUGUGAAGUGAACUUGGGGUCUCUAUCCGACACAAUCGAUUUCGGCACCCCGUGCAACCUCACUACCUCGUCAAGAUAUACCCCACGUGUGACGCUCUAGAUGUGACUGGUGUUUUCAGACUUUAUAGAUAAAUGGGUCUUCCUCAAUUUGUACGCCGUCUCCGCCACCGAUCUCGAUAAUUUCCUAAUGCUACAGCUGUAAGAGAUGGUGGGACCGUUUCGUUUACACCAACGCCUACGCAAAUCGUCCUUCAGCCGCUUCUUGGAGCGAAAACUACAAUGGGCCGUUUGUGGGGAUCCCGACCUCUACCUCGCUGACCUGGAGCUUCACCAGCGAGGGCUCCAGGGCCGAGUCGACUACCGCGAGCAAUAAGUUGGCUGGAAUAACCUCUCCUAGUCUUUAAACGUUGGACGUCUAGGCUCAGAGGUUUUCCACGCCGCGUUGUAGCUCCUUCCUGCUCUACCGNUAAAGUCACACCUGCGGCCACCGCGCGAGGCCAAAGCUUUGGCCACCACGCACGGGCUCUUACUUCUCGAAGCGCUCAACUAGAACGUCCUUCGGGUGGCCAGAGGUAUGCGCCUAGUGGGCCCGCCGUGGUUCUACAUAGUACUCAAUUCUCGUGAGAUAACCACCGGCCCCUACUAUCGACUAUAACCCGCGAAGCACCGCUUCACAAACUGAACAGUCGUUCACUUUCGCCUCGCGGCCAAAGGUCGCCCUUUCGAAGUUUCAGAUGGAUAAGGACAGACCUUUACCCUCCUAUAUAGAUACCUAAAGUAGCAACCGAAUGGAGCGAGCUGUCCCCCUGUGCUGCGUUAGACCCACUAACACCUAGCGAACUGCUUCAGUCGCGUGAAAAAUGGCUAGGUGUGGUGGACCCGCCCUCUAUUCAACCGCGUNGGUAGUGCCUCCACAACUUCAGCGCAAAGAUCACCGCCGCCAACUCCAAGUCAUGGAUGGGGUAGUUCUUCUCGUGGUCCUUCAGCUGACGGGAUGCAUAAGCUAUCACCCUCCCGCCUUGCAUCAGAACACACCCCAAGCCCAGAUAGGAUGCAUCGCUAUAGACCACAAAGUUCUCGCCCUGCACUGGUAAGGCGAGUAUCGGAGCCGACGUCAAUCUUUUCUUCAAUUCGUUGAAGCUUUGAUCACACUCGUCGCUCCAAAUGAACUUGACGCCCUUCUGAGUCAAACCGGUAAGUGGAGUUACAAUUUUCGAAAAGCCCUCCACAAACCGUCGAUAAUAGCCCGCUUAGCCCACAAAGCUUCGGACCUCCGUGACGUUUGUCGGGCGUGGCCAAUUCUCGACCGCUUCGACUUUCCUCGGGUCAACCGAAACACCGCCCUCGAAAAUCACAUGCCCCAAGAAGGCAACCUCUCGAUGCCAGAAAUCGCAUUUCUUUAGCUUUGCGAAUAGCUUCUCCUCCCGAAGGAUUUGAAGCACUAUCCGCAAAUGCUCCGCGUGUUCCUCAUCGUUUCGCGAAUAGAUCAAGAUGUCGUCUAUGAAAACCACGACAAAUCGGUCCAAGCACGUUUUAAACACACGGUUCAUUAGGUCCAUGAACGCUGCCGGGGCAUUUGUGAGCCCGAAAGGCAUAACCGUGUACUCAUAGUGUCCAUAACGUGUACGAAAUGCGGUCUUCUGAAUAUCCUCCGACUUAAUCUUUAACUGAUGGUAGCCGGAUUGUAGAUCUAUCUUCGAGUACACUCGUGACCCCUGUAACUGAUCAAAUAAAUCAUCGAUUCGGGGCAACGGGUACUUAUUCUUUAUCGUGACCCUAUUCAACUCUCGAUAGUCCACGCAGAGUCGAAAUGAGCCAUUCUUCUUGCGCACGAACAACACCGGCGCUCCCCACGGCGAUACGCUCGGCCGGAUAAACCCUUUGUCGAGAAGAUCUUGUAACUGGUCCCUCAAUUCCCUUAACUCUGCCGGCGCCAUACGAUAUGGGGCUUUCGAGAUUGGCGUCGUCUUCCGAAUCAAGUCUAUAACGAACUCGAUCUCCCGAUCCGGCGGCAUCCCCGGUAACUCCGUGGGAAAUACAUCCGGAAAUUCCCGCACCACCGAUAAAUCCUCUAAUUUCGGCACCACCCGGUCCACCUCCACGACGGUUGCCAAAAAUGCUACGCAGCCGCCGUUGACCAACUUCCUAGCUCUCGUCGCCGAUACUGUCGCGACGAAGCAAGAACUCCGACAAGCUCGAUAAACGACCUCCUUCUGUCCUGGCUCCCGAAAGGUGAUCGAUUUAUUCUUACAAUCGAUCGUGGCAUAAUACUUUGAGAGCCAGUCCAUGCCCAAAAUGACGUCAUACGCCUCCAGUUUAGUGAGUUCCAACAUCCGGAUGGGCAUCAUCCAGUCACCUACUUGUACUAGGCAUGACGAGCACUCCGUGUAGGUAUUAAACGACGAUUCAGGACCCUCGACUCGCCACUUGCCACUUGCUUCUAUGGGUAUGUCAUGCAUGCGUGGCACCCGUAUCGAACAUAGCUCUGGAGCGAACUCCAUUGAUUAGAACCAUACCUGCUACAACAUCAGGCUCCUCGGCUUGGGCGGGCCCCUCAGCAUGGGCUUGAGCGGCGAAUACCCGUCCGCUCGGCGCUGAUCGAGUCACCUCCGGCUGGUGCGGCGCCAGUGCGCGUCCCGCCGACACAGGAACAUACGGGGCCCCUCCUUGAUAAGGCGAGGGCGCUGGAGUCGAUGCGACUGACGGAGUAGACGAGGCCCUUGCCGGACAGUCGCGGCUGACGUACCCUUCUUGUCCAUAAUUAAAGCACCGCCCUUGUCGUUGUCUACACUGCGGUGCCCGAUGGCCUCGAUCUCCAUAGAUAGGGCAACGCUGCGGCCCACGGCCCCAUGACUGCGACGGCGGAUACUUCGGGGGCCUCCUUGAACUCGAUUGUCCCCCCGAACUGCCGCCCGAUUGCUUCUUCCCCUUGUCUGGGGAUCCGGUCAACAACUCACGCUCCUCCCGCACAUGGGCAUCUCCAUGCUCUGCCCACAGCGCCUUAUUGAAAACCUCAGCGAAAGUUGUGAGCUGGAACAAUUGCACUGCCCGAUAUAUCCAUGGCCGAAGUCCUCGCAAGAACCAUUCGGCCCGAUCCGCGUCAUCCUUGACCACGUCUGGGACACAGUCUAUAAUGUGGGAGAACUCCUGCUCAUAGUCCGCCACGGAGCGAUCCCCCUGUCUCAAUUUGCGAAACUUUUCCUUUAGCUUCCACUUCUCGGUGUCGGGGAAGUAAUUUCCAAACACUUCCCUCUUCAACUCAUCCUAGAGCAUUGGUGGAAGGUCAGAGGGUCGAUCUCGCUUCAACCGCUUCCACCACACCUUCGCCGCCUUGUCAAGGCAAUGGGUGGCGAAAGGCACUUUAUCCUUCUCCGAGGUGUAUAGGUCCUCGAAGAGGGUCUCCAUAGAGUCAAUCCAAGACUCCACCACCGAUGGCUCCACUUUCCCCCCUUCAAAAGUUGGUGGCUUAAACUUCAUAAACUUCAUUAGAGCCGUCAACGCACGCUCCCGCUCCACUUCGUCGGCCGUCGUAUCAAGUAUCGCCGAACCUGAAGCUGUCGGAGGCGCAUUUGCCGGCGGGGGAACUGCUGCCAUCGGAACUGCCGCUAUGCCCUCACCCUCGGUCGCUACCAGCGCGCGUGCCGAAGGUGCGGGCGGAUCGUGAUCUCCAGCCGCUGUCGCGGCCACCGCUGCUGCCGCUUGCCGCUCCACAAAUCCCUGGAGCUGCUCGAAUCGAGCCUCCUGGCGCUGCAUCGCGCCCAACAUUGCAGCGACCUGCUCCCGCAGCUCCUGCACUUCCUCCGAUCUUGUCUGCUCGGGCUCCGCAGAAGGCGGUACCGGAGCAGACCUAUGCACGUAACGCCUCGGGGACAUUUGCUCCUGAAAAGCAACGACUCGGUUAGUUAUCUUAAUCCGAUAACUUUUUCAACGCUCACGAAAUUAAACGACUCGACAGUGAAAUCGGGCGGAAGCUCACAAGUGUUCCAGUUCUGGACUCUUAGCGUCGCGUCGUCGGCCGCCGACACAACCACGACGAGCCGAGAAACUAGUAUCACUUGGAUCCGUCUCUAUUCACAGCUAGAGACAUGACAUAAGUUCUGGACUCUUAGCGUCGCGUCGUCGGCCGCCGACACAACCACUACGAGCCGAGAAACUAGUAUCACUUGGAUCCGUCUCUAUUCACAGCUAGAGACAUGACAUAAGUUCUGGACUCUUAGCGUCGCGUCGUCGGCCGCCGACACAACCACUACGAGCCGAGAAACUAGUAUCACUUGGAUCCGUCUCUAUUCACAGCUAGAGACAUGACAUCAACUUUGACCCAAUCGAUCAACUUCCGCCAUCGCCAUGAGUUCACGUUCACUCACGUCCCUAUAACCUUAGGGUUUACCGACCUAGUGUCUCCUAGGUCAUCCUAGACUCUCUCUUUACUUGCUCUGGUGCUCUGAUACCACUUUGUGACGCCCCAGCUUCCCAGGGGGUCACCCAUCCUAGGACUACUCCCGUCCUAGCACGCUUAACUCUCUUAACCUCUUGGGCCUUGCCACCACCCAAAAUGCUUAAGCCGGGUUAAAAGUUUAGCCCUAUUAUAUCUUAUAUAUAGGACUACCCGGGGUCUCACACCUCAAGUGAAAAACCCUCUCUUAAUCUUCAAAUGGGAAGUAGAGGUUUUCCAAUCUAACUUAUAUAAAGGUUCUAAACCAUUCCAAUAAGAUCAAGAAGCCUCAAAUUAAGAAUCCCAAAAUCUAACCCUAAAAUCCAAAAUCUAGGGUUUAAACAAGCAAAAUGCCCCAAAACUAAGAUCUAGAGGAAGGAACCUUGCCACUUACCUCUAGGAUGCUCCAAUCCAAGCUCAAAAUCUUCUAGGGUUGAAGAUUGAUCCACCACAAAGUUCCAAAAGCAAGCUCCAAGCCUCCAAAGGUGAGAAAUGAGGAAGAAGAUGGUGCUCCAAAGCCUCCAAGCAAGCUCCUCUCCUCUCCUUCUCCUUCUUCUCCUUCCCUUUCUCUCUCUAGAAGUGUAAGGAGAGUGUGAGGGAGAGAAAAUGAGAGUGAGAGGGGGUAGAGAGGCUGCCAAAAGCCUCUAAGGUAACAAAAUCCACUUAGGCCUCUCAAAAAUCCACUCUGUGCACUGCCCGGUCUGGGCCGCUCACGCGCUGAGGGACCGGUCUCUCCCUGCCAAGGACCGGUCUCUAGGCUCGUCCAGCAAAACCAGCGUUCGGGAACCGGUCUCUCACAGCCAGGGACCGGUUGCCUCAAGCCCUGUCGCAGCACUGUGCUGAGGGGACCGGUCUGUCAUAUCAGGGACCGGUCCCCGAGAGUGAAAACUCUCAGGACUUGCCAAAACUCUAGAGAUCGAACUUUUAGGCCGGUAUACAUCGACGGCCCUCCACCAAGUGUGGAAAAGUUCGAAAUACAUAUCGAACACUCGAACCUCGCAAUUUGCAAAGGUCCAGUGUGCUACAUUCAUCCCUCCUAAAAAGGAGUUUCGUCCGCGAAACUCGAAUACUAACAUACCUCAAAACUCCGUCUGAAAAAGAUGGGGAUAGUGCUCCCGCAGCGCACUCUCUAGCUCCCACGUGGCCUCCCGCUCCCCAUGGUUGCUCCAAAGAACCUUCACGGACGGAAUAUCCCGGUUUCACAGUUUCCGCACCUCGCGGGCCAAAAUCUUCGCUGGGUCGAAGACAUACUUCCGAAGGACCGAUACAUGAAAGACGUUGUGCACGCCGGAUAGGUUCGGUAGUAGAGAAAGUCGAUAUGCUACCGGACCCACACGUUCCAAGAUCUCAUACGGUCCAAUGAAACAGGGGCUCAACUUACCCCGAAUCCCAAAUCUCUUAAUCCCUCUAGUCGGCGAAACUUUCAAGAAAACAUGGUCUCCAACUUGGAACUCCAAGUCUCGCCGUCGUCGAUCGGCGUAGCUCCUCUGUCUACUCUGCGCCGUCAAAAGUCGCUCCCGAGCAAUUCAAACCUUGUUCUCAGCUUCCUGGAGCACGUCGGGGCCUAAUGCGAAUCUCUCACCGACUUCACUCCAAUGAAGUGGCGAUAUACACUUCCGUCCGUAAAGUGCUUCGAAGGGCGCCAUCUUGAUGCUUGCUUGAUAACUAUUGUUAUAAGCAAACUCUGCCAUCGGUAGAUGCUGCAACCAUCCUCCCUGGAAGUCAAUCACACAUGCUUGGAGCAUAUCCUCUAAAGUCUGAAUAGUGCGCUACGACUGUCCAUCACUCUGCGGGUGGAAUGCUGUACUGAAAUCCAGACGAGUGCCUAAGGCGUCCUGCAGACUCCUCCAAAAGCACGACACAAAUCAGGUGUCUCGAUCCGAUACAAUCGAUGUAGGCACUCCAUGAAGUCGCACAAUCUCAUCGAGGUACACUUGUGCGAGCUUCUCCCCAGUCCAAGUUGUAUGAAUAGGUAUGAAGUGUGCCGACUUCGUCAACCUAUCCACGAUCACCCAAAUAGCAUCUUGCACGGCCUGCGAGCGGGGCAAUCCUGUCACGAAAUCCAUGGUGAUCUUCUCCCACUUCCAAACGGGAACAGGCAAACUAUGAAGUUUUCCCGCGGGAACGCGAUGCUCAGCCUUUACUUGUUGGCAAGUUAGACAACGAGCUACAAACUCGCCAACGUCCUUUUUCAUCCUGGGCCACCAAUAAAGCAACUUUAAAUCCUUAUACAUCUUGGUGCCACCCGGAUAUAUAGCGUAGGGCGCUCGGUGCGCUUCUUGAAGAAUAUCCUCUUUAAUUCCCGAAUCCGUCGGUACACAAAUCCGUCCACAGAAAUGCAUCAAUCCUUGAUCAUCCACAAGGAGUCGCCGGUGCAACCAUUAACCAUUUUACCUUUAAUCCUUUGCAACUCUACAUCGGAAGCUUGCUUUUCUUUAAUUUUAUCCAAUAAUGUAGGUUGCACCACCAACGUCAUCAACCUCAAAGGCGUGUCAGGAGUCACCACCUCCAACUCAAACCGCUUCGUCUGCUCGAUCAACUGCGGUGGAGUAACUAAAUGCAUUGCUAAGUUUUCCGUCGAUUUCCUACUUAGCGCAUCUGCCACCACAUUAGCCUUGCCCGGGUGGUAAAGAAUCGUUAGAUCAUAAUCCUUGAGUAGCUCCAACCAUCUGCGCUGUCUCAAGUUCAACUCCUUCUGAGUAAAGAGGUACUUUAAGCUCUUGUGAUCCGUGUACAUUUCACACCGCUCGCCAUAAAGAUAGUGGCGCCAUAGCUUCAAUGCGAACACUACGGCCGCCAACUCCAAAUCAUGCGUCGGGUAGUUCUUUUAAUAUUCCUUUAGUUGGCGAGAAGCAUACGCGAUCACCUUGCCAUCCUGCAUCAAUACACAGCCCAAUCCAUUAAGUAACGCAUCACUAUAUACCAUAUACCCUGCUCAAGCUACUGGUAGGGUUAAGAUCGGGGCGGUCGUCAAUCUCUGCUUCAACUCUUGGAAGCUUCGCUCGCACGCAUUAUUCCAAAUAAACUUGAGUCCUUUAUGCGUGAGCCUCGUGAAGGGAGUGGACAACUUAGCAAAUCCCUCAACAAAUCUCCGGUAGUAACUGGCCAAUCCAAGGAAGCUCCGUAUCUCCGUGACGCUCGUCGAUCUCGGCCAACCCUUGAUAGCUUCAAUCUUCUUGGGAUCCAACGCAAUAUCUAAUCCUGAAAUCAAGUGUCCAAGGAAAGCUACCUCUCGAAGCCAAAAUUCACAUUUCUUCAUCUUGGCGUAAAGCUCCUUUUCCCGAAGUACUUAGAGUACAAUUCUCAAAUGCCCCUCGUGAUCUGCAUCACUUAGAGAGUAGACCAAAAUGUCGUCGAUGAACACCACAACGAACCUGUCUAGAUAAGACUUGAAAACACGGUUCAUUAAAUCCAUAAAAGCUGCCGUGGCAUUAGUCAGCCCAAACGGCAUAACUGUGAACUCAUAGUGUCCAUACCGUGUUCUGAAAGCGUCUUCGAUACAUCCUCGGGUUUGAUCUUCGGUUGGUGGUAUCCAGACUGCAAGUCAAUCUUGGAAUACACACACGAUCCCUGAAGCUGAUCAAACAAGUCGUCAAUUCUCGGCAACGGAUACUUGUUCUUGAUCGUGACUUUGUUGAGUUCACGAUAGUCCACACAUAGGCGAAGUGAUCCGUCCUUUUUCUUGACGGAUAUAACUGGCGCUCCCCACGGCGAGACGCUUGGUCGAAUGAAGCCCUUGUCCAACAGAUCCUGUAGCUGUGCCCUCAGCUCCUUCAGUUCCGCCGGUGCCAUCCUAUAGGGUGCCUUCGAGAUUGGGGUAGUCCCAGGGACAAGAUCCACCACAAAAUCAAUCUCCCUAUCAGGAGGCAUGCCCGGAAGCUCAGCUGGAAACACAUCCUGGAACUCCCGCACCACCGGAAUAUCCUCGAUCCUAGGGGUGUCAUCCUCGCCCCUCAUCACAACACUAGCCAAGUAGGCUACACAUUCUCGGCUGAUCAGCUGCCUAGCUCGAGACGAGCUGAUCGACAUCGCGAAAAGCGAACUCCAGCAUCCUUUAAACACAACCUCAGUCUGCCCCGGUUCUCUAAAGGUAACCGUGCGAUUCUUGCAAUCUAUCGUGGCAUAAUAUUUGCUCAACCAAUCCAUGCCCAAGACCACAUCAAAAUCCCCCAGCUUGCGCAAAGCUAGCAAAUCUACAGACAUGAUCCAAUCUCCUACCCGAAUAGGGCAACUGGGGCAAUACUCUCUAAUAUCCAGAACGUGGUCGGGUACAACAACAUGUCCCGUGUGCAACAAAGGAACCAAUGGAAUGCCAUGCAACUCGGCAAACAGCCGAUCUAUAAAUGAAUGCGAUGUACCGGUAUCAAAUAAAGUACGAACUCUAAUGCCAUCAAGUAAAAUGAUACCUGCAACCACAUCCUCGGCUGCUGCCGCCUCCUCGGUCUGAGCGGCAUACAAGCGUCCACUCGGGGCCUGCCGAAACCCCUCGCUCUGCCGCUGGACGGUUGGCCGCCCAGGCUGGUACUGUGUCGACGGAGUCCCCUGACUGGCGGCUGGUAGAGCCGGUGCCGAUGCAGUCGACGGUGCGGGUGAAGAACCUCUCGGGCACUCAGUCCGCACGUGGCCCUCCUGACCACAUUGGAAGCACCUGCCCGCCCGCUGUGGACACUACGGUGGGUGAUGAGGACCACCACAGAUCACACACGGGGAGGGCCGGCGUCGAUCAUAGCCUCCUCGCUGAGCUGUUGAGCCGCGUCCACGUUGCUGGCUCUUCGGAUGCUUCGGCGACCUCCUAGAGUGCGUCUGGCUCGCACCCUCAGCCGCAGGCCUCUUGGCCUUGCCCUUGUCCAUGGCCUCACGCCGCUCCUGUACCUCUGCCGCGCCGCUCUCCACAAUGGCGCGCGAUCCACCACCUCCCGGUAGGUUUGCAGGUUAGAGGAUUGCACAAACCGGAAGAUCGACGGUCGCAACCCUCGCUCGAAGAUGCGGGCCUUGUCCUCGUCGUCCCGCACGAUGAAAGGCACGCAGUGUAGAAGCCGAGAAAACUCCCUCUCGUACUCGGCUACGGUGCGGUCUCCCUGGCGCAAGCUGUGCAGAUCCUGCUCCAUCUUCCUCUUGACGCUGGUCGGGAAGUAAUGCGCCAAAAUAAGCUCCUUCAACUUCUUCUAUGUGAUAGCUGCUAAAUCAGUGCUUGGGUUCUCCUGGAGAUCCAACCACCAGCGAGUGGUGAGUAGCGAGCCAAACUCGAUCCCUCUCCUCCACGAAGGUGUCGCGGAAGAGCUUCUCCAUAUGUAUCAACCACUUCUCCACGAUCCAGUGGUCGACCUUUUUGCCGUCGAAAACUCGGGGACUACACCUCCUGAACUCAUUGAGGCGCUCCAUCAGUCUGUCUCGCUCUGCCCCCUCGACCAAGGUAGGGAAUGCAGCUCCCACCGGGGGCCUUUAAACAGGUGGUGCCACCAAAACCUCCUCCUUGGGUGCGGCCACAGGUGCCGCACACGAAGAACUGGGCGCGGGGGAUGGCGCUCUCGGUGCAACGUCCACAACGGGUGCUGGCGGUGUAGGGCCCUGCGUCUCCCUAGAAGCUGCUGCCUGUUGCAGGAGUAGAUCCUCCAGGAGCUUCAUCCGCGCCUCCUGUCGGUGCGCCGCCUCAGUCUGCUGUCGGGAUGCCUCCGCCUGCUGAGUGACUAAAUCGGUGAGGGCCGCAAGCUGGCCCCUCAACUCACGGAUCUCGCCAGAUCUGGAUGUAGCGGAGGUCUUGACCUCCUCAAAGUUCGCCACAUUGUCCGCCUCGGCAUAUUGGGAGCGAGUAAUCGGCAUCAUCACUACAAAACAUCAUAAAAGCACAAGUUAGCAAAAACCGAUGCUAUCGCAUCCCCGCUCAAAGAUAAUACCCAAAUCAGGCAAAAAUAAGGAAGUGUGCUUCACUACUAACUCCCGACGUUACGUUGUCGGCCGCCAACGUAACCCUCUGUGAAGUUAGAAGCUAUACACUUCAAUUCAACUCUAACUUUUUAGAGUUAUCAAGAUACCCAAUCAAGGUACUUUCGCUCACAAAUCAAAUAGACCUCGUCUCUCACGAGCCUAUUUCCUAUAGUCCAACCGGCCUAAGGUUUGCUAGGUCCCCUGAGACUCAACCCUAGGCUCUGAUACCAAAUUAAUCUGUCACGCCCCGGGACCCAGCGGAAGCCCGCCCGGCACGUGCCCAGACCCGCCAUACGUCUAAAACAUAUAAGGCGUCUAAAACAACGAUAAUUAAAGCAAGAAUAAAAGAUAUCUAGGAGUAUCAGAGCAUGAUAUAAGACUAAGUUCUACAAUAGAGAAAGGAACAUAAAGCAGGAAUUCACUAAUAAAAGCAUAAGGUAAUACAAAGGAGAUCCCAAAUACAAGUGCUCAAAGUAGUGUAACGCACUGGACCUUUGCAAAUUGCGAGGUUCGAGUGUUUGGAUGUAUUUCGAGCUUGCCCACACUUGGUGGAGGGUUGUAAAAUGUUUUCCGACCUGAAAAGUUCGAAAACUGGAAUUCUGGACAAGUCCUGAGAGUUUUUGCUCUCGGGGACCGGUCCCUGGAAGGAGAGACCGGUCCCCCAGUGAGCAGUGUUGAGGCAGCCUGAGGCAACCGGUCCCUGGCAGGCGAGACCGGUCCCCGAGCGCGUCUUCGCAGUGAGAGACCGGUCCCGCGCAGGGAGAGACCGGUUCCCGAACGCUGGUUUUUCGGGUUCGCAGCGAGAGACCGGUCCCUGCUGGGGAGAGACCGGUCCCUCUGGGCGAAAACUGCCCAGUUCGGGCUGAUGUAAAUUUGAGUUUUUGAGGGGCCUCUCCGGAUUUUGUUACACUAGAUGGGCUUAUUAGCCAUUUCCUCCUCUUCCCUCUCUCAUUCUCUCAUUCUCACCCUCUCCCUACACUUUCUAGAGAGAGAAGAAGAAGAAGAAGGAGGAGAAGAAGAAGAGGAGCUAGCUUGAGGGAGCUUGGAGCUCAACCCCUUUCUCUCUUUUCCACCUUUGCAAGGCUUGGAGCUUGCUUGUAGAGCUUGGUGGUGGACCAAUCUUCAACCCUAGAAGAUUUGGAGCUUGUUUGGAGGCAUCUUGGGAGGUUAGUACUUGGAUUCUACCCUUUGAUCCUUGAUUUGGUAGAUUUUACCAUAUGAAACCCUAGUUUUGGGUAUUAGGGUUGAUUUUUGGGGCUUUUUGAUCUAGGGCUUUUGGGGCUAAAUUGAUUGGUUUAGAACCUUCCUUGGGCUUGGAUUGGAAGGGUUCUAGCUCUCUUUUGGAGCUUUAGAAGAGAUUUCUUCUCUUGAGGUGAAUUUUGGCCCUAUUUGCUUCUAGAUUGAUGUUUGAUCUCAUGGUUGGUCGUAAUACUCUCGUAUCUCUUCGCUGAUCACUUUUAGGGUAUCUUGAGGCUCGUGGACAACUCCGUUCGACGAAUCGAAGGAGCACGCGACGGUUCGGUGGGUUUGGCCUAGCAUACAAUAUGAGAAAUGCUCAUAUUUGGUGUUAAAUGUUUCGUAAAGUUGAAAUUCUUGCAUUUUCAUGUUAAAUGUAUUUAUUAUGAAUUUUAGAAUGCUUAACAUGCAUAGGUUAUGUGUAGUAAAUUUUGGGACCUCUAUAUAGUAGAGAGCAUGCAUGUGUGGCCUAGCAUUCUAGUUGAGACUUGAAAUUAUAAUCCCUAUUAUGAAAACGAACCUUGCUUUCAUGCAUUCAAACUAUAUACCAGAUGUGACAUUAGGGAUUUUUGGAAGCCUAGAGAGGCUUAGGGACUUAGAUGAUAUGUGAGAUUGGGCCAAUGUCAUGAAGAGGCAUUGGGGCCCGGGGCAUAGUGAGCAUUAAUGUUAAUGUCUUAAUUGGAACAUGAUUAGUUGUGGAGCUUAAGUGUCAUAAAGAGGCACUAAGCAAGUGUGUGUUGGGACUUCACAUUAUGACUUUGAACUAGAUCUUCGGGAUGCUAGUGACUAUACCAUGUUAGAGACAUGAGGAUUGGGUACUUGAGACAGUGACCUUGCUUGUUUGCCAUUUGUGCUCAUUCGCACAUGCUUGUGAGGGUCGCUCCCCACAAGCCGGCACUCCGGAGUUGGCCUAUGCGACUUUUGUUCGCUCGUGCGGUAUUGAGACGCCUACGGGGUCGAGUGGGACAGACACAUUCCAUGUGUAGGAAUGUCGGGCUACCACAGGCACUUAGGCGGCACAAGCCGGACUACCUUGGGUAGAUCCUUAAUUGGAAAUGUAAAUCGACACGGUUUGAGAAUGAAUGAUCACUACUAGAUAGGCUUAGUAGUUGGAUUACAUUUACAUGCUUUUAGCAUAGUGUGAGACAUGUAGUAUACUUGGUUGCCAUGAUAGGACUCCUAUAUCAUGUAUUGACAAAGGUUAACAACAUUAAACUAGUGCCAUUGGACUUAAUUGCAAUGAUAGAAUAGAUAUACAUUUUGGUUGACAUCAUGCUUACUUGAGACACAGUAGACUAGCAUUUCAAAUAUGCUUUCUUUCAGCAGUGUAUUUACAUGCUCCUUAUUGCUUAUUAUUAUUAUUAUCGUUGCUUACCCUUAUUUUUAGGGCCUAGUGGAGCAUGAGCUGAGGUCAGUAAUUGCCCACUGGGAACUAUAAAUUAUAGUUCUCACGCCCUCUUUUUCUCGAUGUUUUUCAGAGCCUUCCACUCAGGGUGAGGCCAGGGAUCGCGGGAAGGGAGUUGCUUCGAGCUAGCUUCCUUCGAGAACGAGUUGCUAGGUGGUCUACCUCUCGAUUUUUAUUUCUUUUUGCGAGAGGUUGAGAGUUUUACCAGUGUACUAGAGACCACCACUUUUGUAUUUUGGAGAUAGAUUUUGUACUACUUGUUUUCUUUCAUGUAUUAGUUAUGUUCUAUUACUAUUGGUGUAGAUGUUAUAACUUUACUCGCUCUGAUAUCAUUAGUUGCUAGUUAUUUCACUUCUUUUAUUUGUUCCAUCUCUUGCUUUUACUUCCGCUUUUCUUGUAGACGCCUUAUAUGUGUAGACAUAUGGCGGGUCUGGGCACGCUACUGGGAGGGCCUCCGCCGGUCCCGGGGCGUGACAAGUAGAUACAUAGGUGGUCUCUAUACGUGGAUACAAAAUCUCUCGCUUUCUCUCAACUACAAAAAGAAAGAGUAAACCACAUAGGCAAAGAACCGCUCCUCGCUAGCUAGCUAUGCGAUCCCCUUGCCGCGAUCCCGUGCCUCCGCCGGUGCAGAAGGCUCUGAAAGAAACCACGAAAAAGAGGGCGUGAGAACUCUUAAAAAUAGUUCCCAGUGGGCAAUUACUGACUUCAGUUAAUGCACCACAAGGCCAAAGCUACAAGGGAAGUGGUCAGCGACAAUAAAAACAGUAAAGCGAAAUGUAAGUAAAAGUGUAACUUACUAUAACAUGAAGUCUCUACUUAGCAUGAUUUGCAUAAGUAAUAAAGCAACUAUAUCAUGGAUGUACAUGGAUAGGUAUGACAUGCAUAAUCAUAGAAAUGCAACCAACUCGAUGUCCUCAAUGCAAAAAUAGUAAAGAUGUCAUUGUUUACUAUUCUAAUCCAAGUCCACGUUUCACUUUAAUAGUUUUAAAGUUCAUAUGGCAUACACUGUCACUAUGUUCCAAUCAUAUAAGACCCAUCCGAAGGUUGUUUGGCCUGCGCCGUGCCUAAUGGCCCCGUGGUAGUCAACAUCCCCACUCUAGGAAUGAGCCUCCCCCACGGCAAUCCACUUCGGCGCCCAAUCCCGCACGGGCGAGCAUAUGUCGCGAUGGCUAUCUCCGGAGUGCCGGCUUGUAGGGAGCGACCCUCACAAGCAUAUGCGAAUGAGCACAAAUGGCAAGCAAGCAAUGAUCCGUCUCAAGUCUCAUGUCUAAAACAUGGAAUAUAUCGAAUGUCCCCAUGGUCUAUCUCUAUGUCGUCAUGUCUCUAAUAUGGAAUAUAGCAGAUAUGUGUUGGCCUAUCAAUGUGUCACUAUGUUGUAAUUUCAUAGUUUACUAGUUUCAAGUGCCCCUUAAGGACACUUUGUUCUCUAUGUCAAGCAUGGUAACUAUGUUCCAAGGUUCAUGUUCCAAGUCGUAUUCUUCCUAAGAGAUAUGUUCUCAACUUGCACAAACAAACACUUUAUCAUAUGCAUGCUGCCUACACAUUUAGCUCUACUAUAUAGAGUACAAUUUUUAUGAUACAUAGCACAUGCAUUUUAAGUGUUCUAGAAUUCAUAUAAAUUCUACUUAGUAUAGAAAUGCAUUCAAAAGUACUUUACAACAAGUAUUAAGAGCAUAGGGGCCAUUUUGCCCAAUUUCCACGAAGCCAAACCCACCAAAAUCGUCUUCUUCGUUUCGCCGAACGAAGGUAUCCACAAGCUUCCUAAUACCCUAGAAACAUCAAAAGUAGGGUCACUCGAACGAAACGAAGAGCCAUUGGCUCAAUCAUUAAGCUUCUCAAGCUAGGGUUGGGAAAAACUCAUCUCAAGUGAAAAACCCUCUUAAUCUUCAAAUGGGAGGUAGAGGUUUUCCAAUCUAACCUAUAUAAAGGUUCCAAACCAUUCCAAUGAGAUCAAGAAGCCUCAAAUCAAGAAUCCCCAAAUCUAACCCUAAAAUCCAAAAUCUAGGGUUUAAACAAGCAAAAAGCCCCAAAACUAAGAUCUAGAGGAAGGAACCUUGCCACUUACCUCUAGGAUGCUCCAAUCCAAGCUCAAAAUCUUCUAGGGUUGAAGAUUGAUCCACCACAAAGCUCCAAAAGCAAGCUCCAAGCCUCCAAAGGUGGGAAAUGAGGAAGAAGAUGGUGCUCCAAGGCCUCCAAGCAAGCUCCUCUCCUCUCCUUCUCCUUCUCCUUCUUCUCCUUCCCUUUCUCUCUCUAGAAGUGUAAGGAGAGUGUGAGGGAGAAAAAAUGAGAGUGAGAGGGGGUAGAGAGGCUGCCAAAAGCCUCUAAGGUAACAAAAUCCACUUAGGCCUCUUAAAAAUCCACUCUGUGCACUGCCUGGUCUGGGCCGCUCACGCGCUGAGGGACCGGUCUCUCCCUGCCAAGGACCGGUCUCUCGGCCCGUCCCGCAAAACCAGCGUUCGGGAACCGGUCUCUCACAGCCAGGGACCGGUUGUCUCAAGCCCUGUCGCAGCACUGUGCUGAGGGGACCAGUCUCUCAUAUCAGGGACCGGUCCCCGAGAGUGAAAACUCUCAGGACUUGCCAAAACUCUAGAGAUCGAACUUUUAGGCCGGUAUACAUCGACGGCCCUCCACUAAGUGUGGAAAAGUUCGGAAUACAUAUCGAACACUCGAACCUCGCAAUUUGCAAAGGUCCAGUGUGCUACAGGUAGAUAUUCGUUGUUCAUCGUAUGAGCAUAGCUUAGGAAGGAUCAAUGAAAGAACGUUCGUGAAGUCAUCAGUGCAGCUUCGAACUCUGUCCCAGCGUGCUUCUUCCCCUUCUGCUGCUCCACCUCCUGCUGCUGCUACUUCUUCACGUCCUUCUAUGGACAUUUUCGAGGAAGAUGUCUCAGUUUCCUCUGUGUAUCGUGAGCAACAACGUUUGUCUGAAGAGCUUCAGAAACUAUCUGCGGAACAAGCUGCAAUACGGAAUGAUGUAAGCAAAAUGAAGCGGUUAAUGCAGGCGAUUUUUGACAAGUUAGGAUAUUACCGAGCAGAUUUACCUCCAGGGGAUGAUUCAGAUUAGAUGUUACGGGGUUCCUCCUUUGGUCAUUUUGGCGCUUUCUGACAAAAAGGGGUAGAUGACAUGUGAAUGAUAUGAUGGCUCAUGAUGAUGAUGAUGGCUGAUGAGAUGAUGAUGUCUAAUGAGAUCUGAUGAGGAUACUGUUUUUUUUUUUUUGAUUAGUUGUGUAAAUUUAGGCUAGAUGUUUGUUUAGGUGCUUAACUAUGAACUAUGACUUGUUGUUUUGAUUGCUUUGACGUUUGAUCUUUUAUGAUAAUUGCUUGAAUCUUGAUUGUGUUUUUUUUAAGAAUGUUUUUGCAGGAAUAUUCAAGACUUCAAGAUUCCGGGUCUAAGUCAUAGAGUCUGUAUUAAGGUUGAAAAAUGUAAUUUUUCUUUUAUUGGAUCGAUCGUGCAGGAGAUUGUCGUUUGGUGAUUGCGAUGAUCUUCUUUUUAUUGUUUCUGAGUUGUGUAUGAACUUUGUAGUAUAUUUUGUCACGAAAUCACCAAAGGGGGAGAUUGUUAAGGAUGUUAUAGGUUGGCGGAUUUCGUAAUGUUGAAUGGAGUCUUGAAGAGUUGAUCGCGGAAGUUUGAAGAAAAGAUCCAAAUUGAAGAACAAAGACUCAUUCGGAAAGCUCGGCAUCUAAGGUAUGAAGAAUGGAUGAUUUAUGGUGAAGUUAUUUAAUUAUAAUAAGUUCAGAAGGCUUAGAUUGCUUUAAAAAUUAUUUUACUGAACUUGUAUGUGUUCUGGGACCGGUCCCUGUGUUGAAGAGACCGGUUCCCCUAAGGUUCUCACUGCGUGAACAUUGAUGCAACCGGUCGCCUGAGAUGAGAGACCGGUUCCCGAACAUUGGAAAUUCUGUCGCGCAGCAAGGGAUCGGUCUCUGGCUUGAGAGACCGGUUCUCGAACGUUGUGUUUUUGAUCACGCAGCAAGGGACUGGUUCCUCACUUGAGAGACCGGUCUCUCACAGACCGGUCUCCUCGAGAGGACCGGUCCCUGAGGACGACACAUGUUUUUAAAAAGGACUUUUUGCAAUCCUAGUCUACUUUUAAGUCUUCUAAACAUAUAAAUAAGCCAUGGGGGUCAUCUUAAAGUUUAAGGCUUUGAAUUCUUACUAAUUCUAAACCCUAGAAACUUGUUUUUCCGUUCUGAUGAUUCUACUCACAUAACAAGUUUCGAAAAAUCAACAAUCGACUUGGUUCUUUGAUUUUACUUGAGAUCUUAUUCGAGAAUCAAGUUGAUGUUUGAUUAGAAGACGGACCCUCAUAGCUUAUGGGAUUCUAAAGCUUAAUCACCACAAAUCUUCGAUUCUACAAGCUUCGGAAGGAGAUUCGGCGUGUGGAUCUCGCGUGUAGCCGAGGAUUCGGUGGACGCUUUGAGGAGUUGAGGCAUUGACGCUGCGUAGAGUUUCGGCGAGGUCGAUUGGAGGAUUCCUAUCGAUCGAGGACCGGCGAAGAUCAUCAUCAACAAGAAAUCGGUAAAUUGAGUCGUGUGUUUUUGUCAAAAUCACUUGUACUCAAGCUUUCUUAGUGGAUUUUCUUUGCGUGAUCGGUCCCGUGGGUUUUUCACUCCGGCUUGGAGUUUUUCCACGUUAAAUUCUCGGUGUGCUGUUUUAUUUUUCGCUAUUUCAUUUUAUUUGCAUCGAGAUUUUUGAGUUUGCCGUUUUUACACCUAUUCACCCCCCUCUAGGUGUUACUUAUCUUUUAGAUCCUCGGGAUCCAUAUCUUAUACCGGUCACUCGGGGAGAGACCGGUUCCCGAACGCGUGCGCCCGAGGGGGGCUCUCGGGGACCGGUCCCAAGUUGUGGAGACCGGUCCCUCCGCGCGAAUUCUGCCCAGUAAGGGCUGUGCAAGGAUGGAAAAGUGGAGGGGUUUAAGUGCAAAAUGGCCAUCAUAUGAGGGGUGUAUAUAGGAAAUUACCCUCUCUUUCUCUCAUUCUCAUCCCCUCACUCCCUCUCAUCACUCUCCCUCUCUCUCGCUAGAAAGAGAAGAAGCACAAGAAGAACAAGAAGGAGAUGAAGGAAAAGGAGAAGAAGAAAAGGAAGAAGAAGAAAAGGAAGAAGAAGAAGAAGGAGAAGGAGAUCAAGGAGAAGGCUUUAAACAACUCCCUCUCCCUCUCCUCUUUCCAUUGGUGUAGCUCAAGAGGUAAGCUACAAACCCUAGCUUGUAGAACUUAGGGUUUUGGGUUUUGAGCUUUGGAAAUGGGGUCAAAUGGACCCCUAGCACCAUUGUUGGUGGAUCAAAGCUAAAGUUAGGGUUCCAAAUAACAAAUGGCAAGAUGGGAACCCUAGGGCACCCAAAAUGGGGUUUUUGGUGAAGUAUGAGAUUGAUCUUAUUUGAGACCUCGUAAACCUAAUUGGUAGGUCACAAAACGCUGGGGCGUAGUCGAUUUCGCGAUUCGACUAGUGAAUUGGGAGCUAUCAGCGAAAUACGGCCGAUUUAGCCUUGUCUUGGACCGAGAAGGACGAGAUCUUGUCGUAAGGUGCGCCGAGGAGCGUUUCUAAAGCCUCUACAUCGAUAAAAGGUGGGGGGUGCUAUCCCGAAGCUUUCAAACUCCUUUCUAUGUCUUAGAUUGCAUUUAAUCUCAUUUCUUACAUGUUGCAUUGUAGGAUUGCAUAGUAGCUCCAUUCCUUAUACUUUCUAAUUGAUAACCUAGUGCAUUUGGAAUGCUUGAUAACUUAGAUAGGUGAGGAUUGGGUCGGAAUGUGGAUCCUAUGAUGCGAAAGAAAAUAGAUGAACCCGAUGGAGGUUGGUGACAUAGAAAGUAGUGUUUAAUGUCAAAGAACAAACGAGUGGCAUCCAAAUGUUAAAGAAUAACGAGUGGCAUUAAUGUAGUGUAAAUGACACUAGAGGUUUGAGAACCUAUGGAUAGAUGGAUCCUUUAGAAAAUGCCUUGUGGAUAAAGAACUUAGUAAACCUAAGUACCCUCACAUGGAGAGGUUGUCGAUGAGUUAUUGAGACAUUGACUCUAGUUGUAGAGCAUCCUCACUUGGAGAGGAUUUGAUUGGGUUAUUGACUCUAGUUGUAGAGCAUCCUCACUUGGAGAGGAUUCGAUUGGGUUGUUGACCCAAGUUGUAGGGUAUCCUCACUUGGAGAGGACAGAUCUAGCUCACAGUCUGCUUUUGGGGUGGUAUAGCCAUCCAUAUACCCACAUGGAGGGGAUUGUCGUCGAGUACUCCGGAGUGUUGUGCGACUAGGACCACUUGGAGGUCCGGACCACAUGGAGGUCCGCAGACGGUCCCGGGCUUGGGUGCACUUGGAGCUCCCUCCCCACUUUGGAAUUGAAAGGUGAGUUAUUGGCGAACCCUAGGGCUUCGCUACAGAUUGGGUAAAAGAACAGUGAACAAUGUCAUUGAACAUUAUCAUUCGAACAUAGAUCGAAUUUGUUAGAAUGAUAGUAAACCUUUACUAUAUGAUGCAUGCAUUCAUUACACAUGAUUAUGGGCAUAGUAGCAUAGUUUUCCUACUAUCACAUUUAUGGCAUUUAGAUAUCUAUCUAUCUAUCUAUCUAUUGUUGCUUGUGCCCACUUGGACCUAGUGGGGAGAUCGGCAGAGUCGGCGGCCGAGCCCACUGGGAACUAUGGAAGAUAGUUCUCACCCCACUCUAUUUCCAGUGGUAGGUACAGGGUUGCCGAGAGAGGACCGCGGCAAGGGCAUUGCGGCCGACCAGUGAGACCAUGGUAGUAUAAUAGCUUCCCUUUUUGCAUUAGUACACCUAUGUAUUGAGAGAGAUUCAUUGUAGGUGAGGAUUUGGAGAGCUAUGUAUUUUGGAUGAAAGAUGUAAUCAUUUAAAGAAAAUGAUGUAAAUGAAAAGGAUGAACUAUUGUUAUAGUUAGCAAGGUACUCUCUUUACUUCAUAUGUUAUUCCUGUGGAUUACUUGCUCUCGUAGUUGUUGGCACAAUUUGUGCCCCGUUGAAUGUGUAUGUUUAGAAUUUAAAUUCUUGGGAAAUUCUUGUACACAUUCUUGUUGUGAGCCUUGGGCGGACAGGGGAGGUGCUGUCUGUUCGGCGGACCGCUCGCCGCGCCCGAAUCGUGCCAAAUUGGUAGUGAUCUCGGGGCGGGGCGUGACAUGAGUAGUCUAAUGUUGUUCCGGUUUUUGUUCUUGUGAACAUUGACAUCGAUUCGUUCCAAAUUUACACUCUCGGGGCAUAAUAGAACAAUAUAAUUAGGUUUUACGCUUUAUUAGAUAGAAUGAGAAAAAGUACCCGUUGCAAAGUUAUACUGUUAGGGUGCAACUGAGUAGUCUAAUGUUAUUCUGAUUUUUAUUCUUGUGAACGUUGACAUCGAUUCGUUCCAAAUUUACAAUCUCGGGGCAUAAUAGAACAAUAUAAUUAGGUUUUACUCUUUGUUCGAUAGAAUGCGAAAAAGUACUCGUUGUAAAGAUAUACUGUUAGGGCGCAACUGAGUAUUCUAAUGUUGAUCUGGUUUUGGUUCUUAUGAAUGUAGACAUCAAUUCAUUCCAAAUUUGCACUCUCGGGGCAUAAUAGAACAAUAUAAUUAGGUUUUACACUUUGUUCGAUAGAAUGAGAAAAAGUACUCGUUGUAAAGUUAUACUGUUAGGGCGCAACGAAGUAUUCUAAUGUUGUUCCGGUUUUGGUUCUUGUGAACGUUGACAUCGAUUCACUCAAAAUUUACACUCUCGGGGCAUAAUAGAACAAUAUAAUUAGGUUUUACUUUUUGUUCGAUCGAAUGAGAAAAAGCACUCGUUGUAAAGUUAUACNGUUUUUGUUCUUGUGAGCGUUGACAUCGAUUCGUUCCAAAUUUACACUCUCUAGGCAUAAUAGAACAAUAUAAUUAGGUUUUACGCUUUCUUCAAAAAAAUGAGAAAAAUUACUCGUUGCAAAGUUAUACAGUUAGGGCGCAACUGAGUAGUCUAAUGUUAUUCCGGUUUUUGUUCUUAUGAGCGUUGACAUCGAUUCGUUCCAAAUUUACAAUCUCUGGGCAUAAUAGAACAAUAUAAUUAGAUUUUACGCUUUCUUCGAUAAAAUGAGAAAAAGCACUCGUUGCAAAGUUAUUCUGUUAUGGCGCAACUGAGUUGUUUAAUGUUGUUCCGGUUUUUGUUCUUGUGAGCGUUGAUAUCGAUUCGUUCCAAAUUUACACUCUCUGGGCAUCAUAGAACAAUAUAAUUAGGUUUUACGAUUUUUUUUAUAAAAUGAGAAAAAUUACUCGUUGCAAAGUUAUACUGUUAUGGCGCAACUGAAGUGCCUAAUGUUGUUCCAGUUUUUGUUCUUGUGAGCGUUGACAUCGAUUCGUUCCAAAUUUACACUCUCUAGGCAUAAUAGAACAAUAUAAUUAGGCUUUACGCUUUCUUCGAUAAAAUGAGAAAAAGUACUCGUUGCAAAGUUAUACUGUUAGGGCGCAACAGAUUUGUCUAAUGUUGUUCCGGUUUUUGUUCUUAUGAGCGUUGACAUCGAUUCGUUCCAAAUUUACACUCUCUGGGCAUAAUAGAACAAUGUAAUUGGAUUUCACGCUUUUUUCGAUAAAAUGAGAAAAAGCACUUGUUGCAAAGUUAUUCUGUUAUGGCGCAACUGAG